AGCUCACCACGCGCAGCAGCGAGCACCAAGCAGAGCAGGGGAGAGAGCAGAGCGCCAGCAGCCGUCCGAUCCUUCGCCGCAAAAGCAAGAGGCUGAUCCGAUGGCUCUCGCUCUCUCCGGCUCUUCCGCGCUCCGCGCCGCCCUGUCCACGCUGGCCCCGAGGGCCUCGGCCACCAGGGGCUACGCGGCGUCGGCGGCGUACGGGGCCAUGCGGCGGGCGGCUGCGGCCGCGGAGGGCGCCGCCGCGGGGGAGGCCAAGGAGGCCGGGCGCGGCGCCGCCGCCGAGAUCUCGUGGGUCCCCGACCCCGUCACGGGCCACUACCGCCCCGCCAACUGGGCCGCCGCCGCCGACCCCGCCGACCUCCGCGCCGCGCACCUCGCCCGCACCUACGCCAGGGCGUGAGGAGGGCCCCGUUUGCCGCCGUCUGAUAUAACAUACCAAAGGGGAAGGGGUGGUGGGGGUUCGUUUGGCUUGGCGUCGUCGUCGCGCGCGCUCCGGUGACGGCGGCGGGCCGGCAUGGCCGUGGAGGAAGUCCUCGGUUGGUUGGUCGCUGUGCAACUUGACGCCUCAACAUCUCGGCUCGGCCAAAGGGAGAAUGAAGAUACAAUACAAUACAGGAAGAGCGGCCUCCGGUCGCCGUGGUGUGCGUGCGUGUGUGGGCUGGAUGCCCUGUUCUCAGCUAGCGCUCUCUUAUCCUAUCAGAUUCAGAGCAGGGUUUUGCUGAUGUUCUACGUUUUGUUACUCGCUAUCACCAGAAAUAAAAAAGUUCCUUGCAGUUUGUUCUAAUUCCUACCAUCGUUGCAACAUUGGAUAUAGUGUCUAAGAACAGGAGAACCUGUAGAAAAUAGACAAGCACAGAAACUGUACUCGAAAUCGUCUGAAAUGCGAACUAGUGCAUUUUCCUUGCGAAAAUCUCUACAAAAAAUCUCGUGGUAGGCGUGCGUGGCCGCACUAAAAGAAAAUGUGCCCCGGUCGGUGCAGAGAACCCGUCCCGUCCGCUCGCUGUCUGACGUGUGGUGUGGUCCGGCCCUACGAGUAGGCCUCGUGCCUAUAGGAGCGUUCCAGCACUGCUUCCCCACUAGCACAGAGCCGUGCAAUUUUAUCACACAGGACUCGAGAAAUCCACGAGAUCGCGGAUUGGUAUUGCUUGAGCGCCCGGUGAUCCCCGUUGCACUCCAGCCGACCACCACCGACUCCUGCGGCGCCUAGAAUUUCCCGUGCUCCAGCGAUAGGGCGCGACCGGGGUGAAACUGAAACCAGUGGCAAUACCAUUGGGUCCCCACCGCGGGUGCCCGUGAACCUUAUCGUGGCGCAUGCCUCCCGCACCGACCGACGGCAUGGACGCCGUCGUCUCUGCUAGCCCUUUCUUUCUUUCUUUCUUUUAUUUAACGCGGCGGUGAUCGACAGCGACCGGCGGCGCGGGAAGCACCCGCAGAGCUUGCGUAGUUGCGUCCGGCUGGCUCCGUUCUCGGAUCAACUUGGGCUGAGGGCAAUCGACAGUGAACGGGCCUGGCCAUUGAGUAUUUGAAUUGAGCACCAGUGGUAGCUCAAAUUUACCACGCGCAGGUCGGCACACGGAAGGAUCGGGAAGGUAAGGCGACCUGGACCAGUCAUCAGUUCAUCACAUGACGCGCUGCCAAGAUACCCUCCAGGCUCCAGCAAAAGAAAAGCUGUUGGGAAUGGGCCGCCCUGCGUGGGAUCAAUCCCCGAGAAGAUCAGAUAUUAUAACGUGGCACUAAAAAAAGAAUAAAGUAGCCGCCGGGAUUGUCUCACAAAAGAAUAAAGUAGCCGUCGAGAUUGGUCUCACAAAAUAUUAAAGUUUCAGCGUGUUCAGAUCCGACAACGUAUCGAGGGUACCCGAGGUAGUGUUUAGUGCGUGGGACUCGUUAAGAUUAUGAAUUCGAAGGUAAAUACAGACAUACGAUUUAGACAAGUUUGGAUCGCUAGAUUGCGUAAUACGCUACUUCUUGUGUGUCGGUUGGAUUGAAUUGGUUUAAAGGGAUUCCUGCCUCGCCUUAUAUUGUCGGGAGCAGGGUUACAAGUUGGUUGAUUUAUAAGAAUACUAGUCGAAUUCGAUUAGAUAAGGCAUACUCUAAUUAUUACGAGUAGUUUUUCGAAUCCUCGACUAGUUACUAUCUUACCACGUAAAUCAUACCAUUGCAGUCUUCACAUCUUGAAGUACCUAGAACUCUCCAAACCUCCUGAUGAACCGUAGAUGUAUAUACGACGGCCGCCGAGGUUCGAAUGCGAACGGUGCAGGUCAUCUAGCUAGUUGGUGUGCAAAUUUUAUUUGAAAUGCUGUAGUCCACCGACGAACAAAUACUUCAGCCCAUUUUUAAGUCAUCUCUUGCUAUUUUAUCCUUCCCGAGAUACCCAAUGCCGACAGCAUCAAUUAGUUGCUAUUUUAUCCUUCCCGAGAUACCCAAUACUGACAGCAUCAAUUAGCGUCCAUAUAGCUUUCAGUAAAAGAGAAGGCUUCUGGGCAAAUAAUGAACACAGCUGAAAGGGAGUGUCAAUUUUCUUCAACACAUGCGUAGUGCGAUUUUCUUACUACGCCAUAACCUUUAGUACUGUCUUAAGCCCGCUCAAUAUGUGCAAACAGAUUAUCAUCUGGACCACAGAAAUCUGAAGGAAUGCAAACAUACACAGCCCAUACAGAUACAGAUCACCACACAUGGGCCACAAACUACCCAUUAACACCCACAGUAAGAACCACAAGCAUUGGGCGUGAGCAAGAGCUGCUUCCAAAGCAAAUCUCAAACAGAUCGGAGGGUUCGUCCAAUUUUUUGGGCAAUCAUAUUGCAAUAAGACAACGUCCUCACAACACCUAGAUAUAUCAGACGCAAAACAGAUACACAAUCUGAUCUCACACUGCUGGAACACGGAGGACAAUCCGUCGCUGAUACAUCAACAUGAAGACUCAUAAGAUUAUCGCCUUACCGGCUUCCAGCUUGGCUGCAGACGACUCAGAGAAAAGGGGGACAUACAGGAGAGUAACCGGAUGUAGGCAUGCAAGGGUGAUCGCAUUGGCUGUGCCAAUCACCCAGACUUGAAUAGCAAGACGGCUUUGGAAUCGAUGUAGAAGUAUACAAAGUAGUUUGUCUCAUGCGUUACAUACGAACCUGCAAUAGACGAAAAAUGGUUAGCAAAAGCGUGGGCGUUCAAUAUACAUAUCAUGGACUCAUAAAUGGAAGAGGUUAAUAAGCUCUCACUAUUUUCAGCUUUACUUUUCCAUUCACAAGCUAUGCAUAUACCACUAAAGUUCAGCGGUCAACAUAACCACAUACUCCACAACCAAAAGGAGUAACUGGAUGUUUUUAAUGUAGAUUAACAAAUCCAACCAAUUUAUAAUGGAGAAACUCUAGCAGGACUUGGCAUAUGUUCUGUCUCACUGCUAGAAUAACUAUCCCAUGUUACAGAGAUGGUAUUUAGACAUAGUAAACAAGAUGCCAGAUAAAUAUCAAUCAAAGGCAGAAGAGGCUAACGCUCUUCUAACUUGCUAAUUGAUCAUUUCUCAAGCUAUGAGAAGUAAUUUAAGAUAAGAUUUCUCCCAUAGUCCUAUCAUAAUAGAGUAAAACAGAAACAUGUAGAAAUUAAGACAGCUCUUCAUUGAGUUUUAUAAUUAGUUUGUGAAGUAGAAUCAGUCAAAAAUAUCUGGAAACUACGACAGCUCAUCACUCAGUCUUAGAAUUAGAGAAGCAAUUUAAGAAAAGAUUUCUCCCAUAGUCCUAUCCUAAUAGAGUCAAACAGAAACAUGUAGAAAUUAAGACAGCUCUUCACUGAGUUUUAUAAUUAGUUUGUGAAGUGGAAUCAGUCAAAAUAUCUGGAAACUACAACAGCUCAUCAUUCAGUCUUAGAGUUAGGUUGAGAUACAAUCAGUGCAAUCAAAUAGAAACAUCUGGGAACUAAGACAGGUCGCCGAAGUGUCUUAGGAUUAGUUUGUGUGACAGAAUCAGUCAGUUGUGAGUGUGUCAUUCUCUCUAACGUUUGUCCUUCUCUUCUUAUUAGUAAAAAGAAAGCUGAAGUGCUGCCCAAGUUUGGAACAACAAAGGGUGACCAAAUUUAAAGGAAAAAAAAAUAAAAAAGCACUGGAAUUCAGAGACAGCAACAACCAGCCUCUUGUUUCUAUGCCAUCGAUAGAGAAAAACCUUUUUAAUUUUGCUAAUACUUUCAGUGCUAAAAUGUGUGCUCAAUCAAAAGGGACAUUCAGCCAUUGGUCAAAUCUUUCUAGCCUUGUCAGAGUGGCAGAAUUCGUAAGAAUUUGGUGACUUGUUGCAGUACACCAAUUAUCAGAAGCACACUCCAAAAUUUAUUAACAGAUGUUGGCCCAGAACGAAAAAACCAAUAAAAAAUGUGCAGAUUUGAGUUAUGGCUAUUUUAUGAUAAUUGACAAUGCCUGAAAGAAAACCAAAAUAGUGUAUGUCUGACUUGCUUAUAGAGAAUGCAAAGGAAGGAGAGAAAGAAAGCAAUGAUAUGCUUUAUUUGUUAUGCACGAUAUAGAAGUUGCAGUGAUAAGACCUAGCUACUAGGCAUGCUGGAAAAUUUCCAAUAACAAUAUAAUUUGGCAUCUUGAUCGAGAAGAAGCUAGAAUGGAAGAUAAAUCAGGAAAUUAUAAAUGAUCCAAUGCUACACGUAAAGCUAUAUAGCAUGUAGAAGAAUAUGAACACAGUUGAGAAAUUGCUAUAAGAAAAUAUGACCUGAAGUAUAAGAUUAAACAUUUUGUAGAGGAGAGUCGAAAAACGAACAGCUAAAACUUAUGUUUGAUAAGAACAUAGCCACAUAAUUGCAAUAAAAAAAACAGAACAAAUGCAGAGUUAAACAGUUGCUGCAAAACACAAAAGCUGUUCAAUCUGGUACUGAAAAUUGUUAGCUUAGAUCCAAUAUCACAAAUUGGUUAGGCCCAUUGCAUUAGAGGUCUCUAAACUUCCUUUAUUGCACUGCUAAUUGCAGGAGUGUUUGUCAAGUGAAUAAGUAAUGUGCCAUGCCAGUUGACACGGAAUAUAAGUGACAUGACAGUAUGACAGUCAGCAUGCCCAGUCAGUUGCGAGUCUACAUAAAAUGCCAUGCCAUUUCUUUGUUACAUCUGAUUAACAGAGUACAGUGACACUAAGUUAAGGAACUGAAAAAUAAAGCAUGUGCUACUAAUUUAUCGAAACAAAAAAUUUAGUUUUAGAUAAGAAAGAGUUGAACAAAAAAUUGAAUAAGUCAAUUAAAAAUGUGUAAAAUUGAAUGAUACUCCCUCCGUUUCAAAAUGUAGGUCAUUUUUGCUUUUCUACAUAUAUAGAUUUUGCUAUGUAUCUAGACAUAACACUAUAUUUAGGUGCAUAACAAAAUCUAUGUAUCUAGAAAAGCCAAAACGACUUACAUUUUGGAACGGAGGGAGUAGCUUGCUAAGUUGGAUUUGGUUGAUAUCAGGAAUAGCCUACCCUGUUGGCUGAGCAAAGCUUAGAGAAUGCUUACAUAAAGUUUUUAGAAUUUAAGCCAAGCCAGAAGCAAGGAGGUAAACUUCAAAUUCGAGAAAUAAGACAUUGUCAUACUUGCACUAUACACACUCCCGGAAACAAUACUUCACCCACUCCAUUACAGGUGCUACAUUCAAUAAAAAAAGAUACAGGUCAUUCAACAUUCCCUUGUCAAAUUUGAAGCAUAAUUUCAGUUGACUGCAAUAACCGUUUCAGCUUCUUCAAUUUUCCUAGUUCAUUUCGUCCUGUGUACAACUUAUUUGUGGGGGUGAGGGUGGGGAAUGAGUUUCCUGCGGCUUCUAUUGACAGCAUAAGCAGUCCUACAAGGUCCAUUCAAUCAAUCACGUGCGGACCUUUAAUGGGCCAGGCACGGACGAAAUCGACCAUGGAAUAACCAACGACGCAAAGCAUACCAGACCAGACAUCAACAACUGUCCUCAGGACAGGCGCAAUCAUCCCACAUGUUCCGCGCUAAUUAAGGAGUCCUCCCGGACAAGAGGAGAGCAUUACCGAAGUUGCGGCCGACGAUGCAGUGCCAGGUUGGGCCGUGGUUCUUGUCGAACUCCUUCUUGAUGUACUCCGCGAUGUCCUUCUCCAUGGUGUGCUUCUCGAACGCCUGACCGAAAGAGCGAGAGGUUGAAAAAAAAAUCCCCCGAACCCCAACGAACAACUAGUAAUAUGAAAACCAAAUCGAGAGCAGGAAAGAAAGCAAUAGUGAGAGCAGAGGCACGAGGUUCGUACGAUGCGGGCGAUUUCGAAGGCCUCCUGCCGCAUCUCCUCCUUCAUAUCGGCGCUCUUGAGCUGGAUCUUGUGCCCCGCCGCGGCCGGCGGCGGGGACCCCGCGCCCACCGGCUUGCGGUCCUCGGAGGAGGCCCGGAGCGCCGCCUGCGCGGCGCCCCCGGCCCCGCGCCUGGCCUCGUCGGACAUUCUCGAGGGCGGGUGGAGCAGAGCUGCCGGGCACGCUUCUCCUCCCUCUCGAGGAAUCCUCUCCUCGCUUUUUUGGCGAUGGUGGGCGUCUGGGCGAGGACGAGAAGCAGACACCGUGGGCGUGGGCGUGCGCGUGCGCGUUGCAGUGGAAUCUGCCUAGCAGCCGGCGGCCAGAGAGAAGAGAGAAGGUGAAAGUGUUGAAACUGGGAACUUUGGGCUGAGCCAUGGGCCUCCAUAUACAGAACCGGCCCGAAAUAAAGAGUCCAUGAGGUUGGUCCAGUUCCGUUUGCAAUGCGAGUAUUUUGCGAAACCGUUGCAGAAAUUUUAAGUGGAGCAGUUCAGCUCUCGUAGAGUCGAGAGUAAGACAAGAACAGUCAUGAGUUCCAAAUAUGCCUUCUUUAUAAAAAUUUUUUUGUCGUUAACAGUGCGCGUGUGUGUCUCCAGCAACUUCUAAUGUGACCCAAAUGGCCAAAUGUUACGGAGCCCUACGUGUUCUGGAGUUUCAAAGAGACGUAUGAAGACCACAAUGCAAAAAUGAUGUCUGCCUUUUCUCUGCCCGGUCAUCCAGGGUGUCACAUGGAGUUUUCAAGGUGUAUUUGGUUGCAUACACCACAUGAUGCAUGCAUAGAUGAUUCCGUAUGAGUGGUUCAACCAAUUUGCUUGUACCAUAUGGUUCAUUCUAAUUAGUAGAAUAAUGUAACACAGUGUUUUACCAUACAUUUGCAUAUCAACAGUCUCGCAAACCUGCAAACCUUCAAGGGUAUUACAGUUAUUUUUUUACCAAAAUUACAGUAUCACAGCUGUUUCAAUCAAACGGCUUUCAGCUUUUUCACAGCUCAUAGCAUCUUUUCCAUAACCCGCAGCUCACAUCAACUUUUUCACAGCUCACAGUUCAACAAAAUAGACCAUAUAUAAGUAUGUUCGUGUGCUUUCAAAUUGCACGGGCAUCCUAAACUUACCCUCAGCUGCAAUUUAGGUCCAUGUGUUUGCAAAUGCAGAUCUAAGUAACUGAAUUUAGCUUAAUUGAUUAUUUUUUCUUAUGAUGGAACCUGCUUACCCGACUUCAAAUGCACUGAGUGCUCAUAUUUUUCUGAAUUUAUUUUAGAAAAUAAUAACUAUGUUUUUUAAUGGUUAGCGAUGUACCCGUCAAUAGCGAGGUCCUUAUGUUUCGUCAAUCUCAAAAUCUGUUAGUUCAAUCUCUUUGAGAUAUGGUCAUAGGGAUAGGACGUGUGUGUUUGUAUGGAAAAGUUGACUUCACAUUUUUUGUGCUAGUUUUUUUUUCCAUGCAACACCUUCACAUCUAGAGACCUCCCCUAAAAGUACAUCUCCCCUAAAAGUACAUAUAUAGAAGCCUACAUACAUGCAUGCACAAUUACACAAUAUACACCUUUAGAGGAUCCGCUGAGGCUACUAGGGUCCCGUUUGGCAGAACUCUCAAAACUGAUUCUCCACUAAAUCCAGUAGGAACUCUGCCAAAUAGUUUUUCAGAGAGAAGUAAUUCUCAAAUGAUUCUAUGAAGUAAUCCUCUGAAACGAACUAAGAGGCUGGGAGCUGAAAAAAGUAGUUUCUCCUAAUUUUGUGAAGUAAUUCUCCAUCCUAAUUUUAAGAGUUUAUGCUAGAGAAUUAAAUAGAAUCGUUUUCAACACUUUUCUCAGAGAAGCAUAUGGAGUUCUAACCAAUAUUACGUGCGAAUGGUGGGGACGUUGUUUUUUAUGGAGGGGGUCAUGUUGGAGACAAACUUUGCUCAAAAAAUUGUUUUAGUUCCCAAACUAUCGAAAGGGUCAAUUUAGUCCCUGAAUUGUUGUUUGUAGUUCAAUCUAGUCGUUAGUCUUACAUGGCAUGCCAUGUGAGCUGACCGGUAUGCCCACAUGCAAAAUGUCCAUAUUACCCGUCCUCUUUUUUCUCACCCUCUCGCUUCCAUGCGGAUCCCACCUCUCAGUUCAAAAAAAAAAAUGGUCCGGUCCUUCGAUCCGUUGUAGUGCAUGUGGCUCCCGGUCCCGUCCCGCCGGCCGGCCAGGCAGGUGGAGCUCAUGAAUUGGCCUGUUCGCUUCAGCUUAUCAGCUGGCUUAUCAGCCACCGAACAGUGUUUUUCUCUCAUAAUAAAUCAGCCGUUUCAGCUUUUCAGCCGGCUUAUAAGUCCAACCGAACAUACCAAUACAACUCGGCAGGGAAGACCGGCUAGACGAAGAUGCAUCGGCAAAGCAUGUUAUUGGUCUUACGUCUUGCCUUGGCCUUAUAUUUUUGCAUGUGCGAUGCGUAAUUUCUUCAAUUUCUUCAUGAGGCUCGGCGACACAUCCACAUCUCAACCAUUUAUUUGUUUUAGUUUUAUUUUUCCCUCAACCAUUUCAACCCUGACAGGUGGGACCUGCUUGGAAGCGAGAGGAUGAGGAAAAAAGAUGAAGGGUAAUUUGGACAUUUUGCAAGAGGACGUAGCAGUCAGAUGACGUGGCAUGGUAACUUGGUCCCACAUAAGACCGCAGACUAGAUUGAACUAUAAACAACCGUUCAGGGACUAAAUUGGUACUUUUGAUAGUUUGGGGACGAAACCGAUCCUUUGAGCAAAGUUGGGGAACCAAUACAGACUAUUUUUCCAAUUGCUAACGGACGAGUAAAGUGCAUGGCAGCGUUAAGUGUCCGUGUACUUUCAAAUUGCACUGUCCUCCUAAACUUACCAUGGGAUGCGAUUCAAAUCCAUGUACUCCCAAAUGCUGAUCUAGCGUACAGAAUUUAUCUCAAUUGGUUAUUUUUCUUCUGAUGGAACUUGCCUAACCUGCCUAUCCGACUUCAAGUGCUCGACUCGUCAACACAGCUACUCGUAUUUUCCAGAAUUUAUAUCAAGAAUCAAUGACUAUAUUUUUUAAUAGUUUGCGAUGUACCCGUCGAUACCGAGGUUAUUGUGGUGAUUUCGUCAAUCUCAAGAUCUGCGUCAAUCUCAAGAUCUGUUAGCCCAAUAUCUCUCAUAUGUACUCGUAGGGAAAGGAUGUGUGUGUUUGUAUGGAAAAGUUUUAAGGGUCUGUUUGGAUCCGUUAGCUAAACUUUAGCAGCUAAACUUUACUAAACUUGAGUUGCUAAACUUUAACCAUGACUGUUUGGAUCCAUGGGCUAAACAUCAUUUAAUGAGGUGUAGAAAGACCUGUCUGCCCUUAUUUAAUGCGAGGGGGGAGACAGAGAGAGGGUCCAGACAAGCAAUAAUGAGGGGCAAAAAGUAUCCAACCCCAAGUUUAGCAAGGUUUAGCAACCAAAAAGUUGUUAAAGGACUAAAGUUUAGCAACCAUAGUUUAGCAAAGUUUAACAAGGGUUUGUUGCUAAACUUUAGCUGCUAAAGUUUACCAAGGGGUAUCCAAACACCCCCUAAGUUGACAUCAUACUUUUGCAGCCAGAUUUUUUGAUGCAACACCUUAGAUUUCCCCCCUCAUAUAGAUGCCUAGAUACAUGCACCAAAUGCUUACCCAUAUAAAAAGGCACACUUAAAUACUAUGCACCUAGAGUAUCAUCAAAAAAUACUGGACCCGCAGAUCAUGAGAAUGACGAAAUUACCACAGCCACCUCACUAUGAACGGGUACGCCGCUUACUACUAAAGAAUAAUUAGCCAUGAAUGCAAGCAAUCGUGUUGAAGUUGGAGACUUGGAACUUGGAUGAGCAAGUUCAACCAAAAAAUCUAAUCAACCUAGAAUGUCGCUAUGGCAGAGAGUUUGCAGCAGCUUUUGAAAACUAUGGCUAAACAUGUUGAAAGAACACAACUCUAAUUAAUUCUAACUAGAAUGGGUCCUACUACCAAAGUAGCUAUCAGGUAUUUCUUGGAAAGAAUGGAAUUUUUCUACAUUCCCAACAUGAUUUUUCUCUCUCUCAAAAACACAGUUCCCAACAUGACCUACAAAGAACCCUUUGAUCGAUUGGCACAUAAUAUUUCCUCGGCAAGGGAUCUAGCCAGACUGCAUCUCUAUUCUCUAGUGGCCUAGAGGGCUUAUGAGCAUUUUGGUUGUGUAUUGGCAGCAGAUGGACAACACAUGAUGGAUGCACUCAUCGAAUUUUGGAUUAGUGAUCAAUCGGGCCAUCGGCUAAGGGGGUGUUUGGAUGCGAGGUACUAAACUUUAGGAGGGGUCACAUCGGAUGUUCGGAUGCUAAUUAGGAGGACUAAACAUGAGCUAAUUAUAAAACUAACUGCAGAACCGCUAUACUAAUUCGCAAGACAAAUCUAUUAAGCCUAAUUAAUCCAUCAUUAGCAAAUGGUUACUGUAGCACCACAUUGUCAAAUCAUGGACUAAUUAGGUUUAAUAGAUUCGUCUUGCGAAUUAGACUCCAUCUGUGUAAUUAGUUUUGUAAUUAGACUAUAUUUAAUACUCCUAAUUAGUAUCCAAACAUUCGAUGUGACAGGUACUAAACUUUAUGAGCAUGUAUCCAAACAUGCCCUAAGUGCAUAUGCAGGCGAGGCCCCUUUGCAUAUGCAGGCCGGAGCUGUAUGCGCAAAAACAAAAUUCAAUUGCAAAAACAAAAAAGGAAUAAAAGAGAUGAUGGCGGAUUUGCUGCCGUCGAUCUACUAGGUUUGCACACGAUCCAUGCCUAUUGCUCUACCAUUGCCACCAUGCUGCGUUACUCGCUCUCCGGAUCAACCAGAGAAGGGAAAAAUUGAAGGGGAAAGGUAGCAAUAGAAACACAUAAAAGAUUUGGAAAAAAAAAUCUUGCGACGAGCUUCCCGUUGUGCCACUCGUUGAGUGGAACCUGAAUCACCUCAUGACGGCGUGCUUCCAAGAGCCGCACUAUACACAGUCCGCCGAGAUCAGCACUAUGCGCGGCCUGCUGGGAUAUGCACUAUAUGCAGUCCGCUAGGAUGCGUUAGCCUUGAUGAAAAAUCGUGGAAGGGACCACCUCUUCCAUUGAGAAUCCACAGAAUCUGGGGCAGAGAGAGAGGGAGGGAGGGGGAGAGGGAUAGAGUUUGAGGGAGGAGGGAGAGAGAGAGAGAGAGAGAUUGCUCACCCUCCCCUUCAUGGUACCAGUUAAUGCAUAGUCUCAGCCACAUCGCAGCUCCCAAUCAGUAGCCCUCGAGCCGCACCAGAUCCCGCUAUGCCAGCAUAUGUGGAUCUCGCGGGUUCUGAGUUCCUAUCCCCCAUGGCAGCAUGCAUCUGCCUCACCUGUCGAUGACGAGUCGGAGGUGGCCGCGGAGCAGGGGAGGUGUACUGAGAUCCGUUCGAGCCACCUCUGCGGUGUGUUGUGGAAGCCAACGGGGUAGAAAAGAGCGAGGAGGAAAAGGUAAAGGGAAUGAGAGGGAGCGCUUGUCGAUAGAAGAUAUAGGGGAAAAGGUUCUCUGAGUCGGGCACACUCACGUGAAAAAGGGAAGAGGGGCAGCGGUGCAUGUCAACAACGUGUUGAUGACCUGUAGGGACUCCACAUACAGCGAAAUUAGAUCACCUAACCAGGGGCAAACAAGUUCAACUAUACCUUGGGAAGAAUGUAUGAUCCAUACAUAACUCCUAAGUCUCCAACUAGCAACUUAGUGGGAUGGUCAUUGAAGGCAACAAUCGCUCGAAACUCUUUGAGAUUUCAUUCUAGCGGCCCCUGUCCCAUCCCUCUUUUUUGUGGUAAUUGAAAUAGUUAGGUAGUUUUUGGUUGUCAACUUUAAACCUUAGCAUAUAAGGAAAAUGGAAGAGUUGUAUAAUCGUAAACGAUUUAAGCAAUUACUUAUUUUGUUUGGUUUUGCCCAAUAAUGAAGUAUAGUGUUAAAAACAAAAAUUAAAGAAGAAGUAUAUAUGAUCAACGAGACGGUGACAAUGAUAAAGAUCUUUUGCCUGGCAUUUUGCCCUGGCAACAACACCAUAAUGUUCCUGACAACCUGCAGGCUGUGGUGGUAAUGGACGUUCAUUUGCAAGGUGUACACGAUCGUUGUGGAGACGAGGUCAGGGUGCAUCUAAUUUUAAGGACUUGUUCGACAUCGUUCUUCUGGAGUACUCUCUGUUACUAUUUAUUUUGAUUUUUCUAAAUAUAUAUUUAAAAAGAUCAAAAUGAAUAGUAAUUCCAGGAAGUAUGUAGGAAGCAAGCGGAUACGAGGAUUAGAACGGGCAGUGAGCCUCAUUACACUAGGUAGGCAGCAGUAUCUGUUUACCUGGUUUUUCCUUAUCUCCGUGGGAUUUGAUUGUGCCAGCGUCUAAACAAACACAGGUUGCCUCCAGAAAGGAAUUAUAUUAAAAAACAUGAACCAAAGAGAAUCUAAUAAGUUACACGCUCGUGAGACUUUGAUGCGAAUUUAUGCCAGUUAUAGGUCAUCUGUAAAGUCCCACUUAAAAAUCUUUUCCAUUGAUUUCUAAUUCUCUUUUUGUCAGGUGAAUUUGUUUUCAAUUUCAUGCUUAUUUUUUCAGUUACAUUCUAGAUUCUUGUGUUCAAGGUGGUCCGGUUCUGGUACCUCGCGGCCAGGAAGAAGAUGAGGUCCCUGGCCUCGACAAAUUGCAGAAUCAUGUCAUGGCGCUUACGAAUGACUAGUUACAAAUCUUAUUAUUAGUAGAAAACAGAGUAUGUAUAAGAAUCUGGUACACUAGUCUUGCAGCAUCACUUUGUGUUUGGAUUGAGGAUCGAAGUGGGUUGAGAUGGGUUUUACAAAACAGAGUAUGUACAAGAACAUGGUACACUAGUCUUGCAGCAUCACUCUGUGUUUGGAUUGAGGGUUGAAGUGGGUUGCCAACCCACUUCGCCCCAUGUUUGAUUGAAUUCCCAAUCCAGAUGGGAAUAUUCCUAUGAGAUUCGGGUCGAGCGCAUCCCAUUAAAUCGGAGGGACUGCAUGGACCCAGUCCGACGCCAUCUCCGUGCUUGCCUGCGCGCUGGGGAGGAGCUGGGAUGCCGGGUGGUGGCGGGCGCGGGGAGGUGGCGGGGGAGGUCGCCACCGCGAGGAGGCCGCCGGCGCGGCGGAUGCAGGGGCCGGCGGUGGCGAGGGAGAGCAGGGGGCGCGUGGGAGGAGCCAGGAGAGGAGCCGUGCGGGGAGGAGGAAGAAGGUAGAAGAGGAAGGGAGGAAAAAAAGAGAGGCUGACAGGUGAGCCCCGCAACUGAUAGGUGGGGCUCACAACUAACGGUGUUAAAAGGACAUCCAUCUUAACCUUCUCAACCUCAUCAACCAAACAAAAAACUGGAUCGACUCCAACCUACUCAUCCAAACAUGAGAUGGAACGGCUCCAACUCAACUCACAUCGUCCCAAAAUCAAACGCUACCUUAGUCUCUUCCUCUUCAAAUAACUGCUUCUCGUCACGGCCAGGCUCUCCGCCGCCGCUUCCACGGCGCAAUUCGUGACGUAGUUGUAGUAGGGCGGUAUAGGGGACCGCCAUGCUAGCACGCCCAUCUUGUCCUCGCCACGGGGCACGGCGCGGCCGUCGAGCACGUCCUGCAGCGUCACCUUGGGAAGCUCGGCGCUCUGCGCCGGACCGGGUCGCCACGUCCCCGUCUGCUUGCGCCAGUCGUAGUAGAAGCAGAGCGGCGCGUCCUCGGCGGCGCCGCAGAGGUAGGCGAGCCUGCUGCGGCCCGGCAGCCGGCUCGGGUGCUCGCCGAAGGCGGUGUAGUUGGCGCGCACGCCGCGCCUGACCACCUCCAGCACGCGGCGCCAGAACCGCGCGUCCAUGCUCGAGUGCAUCAGCCGGGAGAGGAUGUUGGCGGCCAUGAACGACCCCUUGAGCUCGUCCACGAGGUCCAUGGCGAUGGAAGCGAGCUCCGGGUGGUCGCCCGGGUCGGCGCUGCCGAAGGCGAGGACCUUGAAGAAGUGCCAGUAUUCUUCUUUGUGCAGGGUUGCCAGCCUCAGUGCCUGUCCCGUUCCUAGAGUUGAGACCUGCUCUGUUUGGCUGAUGACGAUGAUCUUGCUUGAUUUGUCGCUGUUGCUAACAGAGGAGUAGAACCUUCUCCAAGCUGAGGCAUCCGGCGCACCGGCAAACUCGACGAUGAUCAGUGAUCCCCCGCCGCUCGGGACGUGUUCCUGGUGCUCAGGAAUCAGAUCAUAUUCGCCGUCUCCAAGUUCGUCGCCGCAGAGAUGGGUGAUCAGAGGGAAUUGCUUCCGCACCCUGUCGUCGGCGCAGACGUGCUCCACGAGAGUCUUCUUCCCAACCUCCGGUGGGCCGGUGAUGGGGAGGACUCCGGGAAGCGAGCAAGGCCGCAGCAGGAACUCGAUAACCCUCUCCAUCUCGCCGUGCCGGCCAAACAUGCACCGGCCCAUGUGCAGAUACGUGCUGUACGGCUGGCGACCGACGCGCGGGUAGCCGCCGAGGAACACGACGAACUCCUUCAUGUCGCCGAGCACGGCCUCGAGGCUGUCAACGACGGCCUGGAGCUCGUUCAUGCUGUCUCCGCUUACCUCCACUGCUCCUUCACCGUUGUUGCCGUCGACGACCGCCGCCGCGUCGAAGUACGGCGAGGAGGAGGAGGAUCGGCGCGCCGCGAGGACGCGCCUUCUUGUGCUGACGGCGGCGAGCCUCCGGGAGGCGUCGAGAACGUAGUGGCCCCGGUACAUGCCCUCCCUGAGACGGCCGAGCUGCAGGAGCAUACCGCGGUUGGUGAUGUGCCGCGUCUCGGCCUCCUCGAUGACGGCGCGAGCACGCAGGAGGAGACGGUGCAGCCUCCCAAGUUUGCUGGCGGCGGCAUGCUUCUGGUACCUGGCGAUGAGGAAGGAGAGGCACCGGCCGAUGAGGUCGCUGACCACCGCAGAGGCCAAGGCGUCCAUUGCUGAAACUGAUCGAGGAGUUUCUUGCAGGCUGCUGGUUAGUGAUUACUGAACCGACGAGUGGAUUCCCGCCGGUUCGCGAGAAAAAGUUUGAUGCCAUGGAUGGAAUGUGGAGGUCCAAGUCAAGGGUCAACCCCUGAGACAGCACGGCGGUGACUGUCCCGGUUUGUGGUUCCCCUUCCAAGCAGGCGGCUGGUCGUCACUCGUCAAAGUUGCAUACAGCUGAUAAGCCGGUGAAGCAAUCAAUUUAUUGUGAAAUGUUAACAUAAAAAGGACCAGCCCAGAAUCUGUUUACUGUUCUUUUUUUUAAAAAAACACAUCCUAAACAUCGAACUCGAAGUCUUUUUUUUUGUUUCAUCAAUGGUGUUUCCGAAGAAAUGGUUGAAUAAGAUUUAGUGAACUUUCAAACGUACGACGUCUAACAACCCCAUUUAAAAAAUCCGAUUCAGAGAACAAUGAACCCUAAAAACAAGAAUGGGGCUUGGGGUGUGCAUUUUUUUUUUCAAGAUGAUUUGUUGUUGCAAAAGAUUUUGGGCUCAGAAUUGAAGAAGGCUGACAAUGUUCACCGGAAUGUAUGAUGUUGAGUAACACAACAAGGAUAUGCUGACCACAGGUCACAAAUAAGUGCCCAGAGUAGUUUAAAGAACCUUUUUACAAUCCUUGACUAGGAUCCCGAUCAACUAGAGAUUGUGAAAAAACGUCUUUAGCUUGUGAAUUGUUAAGAGUAAAUUUCUUUUAUGCCAUUAAGAAAAUUCCAAUCUCUUUGGUGCCAUCAGAAAUUUUGGAGAAGACAGGGCAGUUUAGUCCUUAACAGAGCUCAGAGAUAUGGAACGUGACGUUCAUGGAAGGGAACAGAAAAUUUUUAACUGGUGGCAUAGAAGGAAACUCAAAAUUUGAUGGUACCAAAGGGAUUUGAAAUACUACUUCUAGAUUUCAACAGCUUAUAAUACCGUUAGUGGAGACGUGGGUAUGUGAAUGACAAAGGUGGCCAUUUCCAGUAAAAUCCAAUUGCCAAUUUGGUCUAUUUUUUCAAUGCACAAGAUGGCAAAAGCUAAUGAGAGGCAACUUAUGGGAUUGUUAAAAGAUGGUAAAAGUUGGCAUGCUUAGAUCAACCAGACCUUUUAAAACCAACAAUCCGCACUUUAGCCGAUCCAGACAGGGCCUAGAAGUGUAGCAUGAUUUUGGUAGAAGAGGUACGUGAUGCUAGUUUCUCUCAAGUUAAAAUUAGUAGCUCUUUGCGAACUGAGUUAGUGAACUGCCCAUCAAGUCUUCAACUCAACGUAGGUGCUUGUAUUUUUUUAUAUUUAUUUCAAGAAUUAACCAUGCUAUUCUUAAUUUUAGUGGUAAGUGGUAUGCCCGUUGACAACGAAAUGCUUAUGGUGACUUUGUUAAUCUCAAGAUUUGUUGCUCAGUUUCUCAACAAUGCUCGUCUAAGAGUAGGAUGUGUGUUUGUAUCGAUAUGGGUAAUUGUCGUAAACAUCUGCAUGGGUAUCGCUGUUUUGAAAAAAUGGGCUUGUUUUACCUUUCCAAGAAAGAAAAUAAAGCUCCUGCGUGCCAUUUUCGCUAGGAGAUAUGAAGGCGAUAGACACCCUACUACUAUUAUUAUAUGUGUUAUUCAUGCGACUCUAACAUGAACUCACUACUCACACUUAUGAAAAUUAUCAAGAGACUGCUUGAACAGAUCAUGAGAAUAUCAAAGUUACCACAUCCACCUCAUUGUGAACGGUACACCACUUACUAUUACAAAAAUUAGCCAUAAAUGCAAGUACUCGCAUCGAGUCAAAGACUCGAACUUGGAUGAUCAUAUUCCACCAUUACAAAUCUCACCAACCAAGUGAUGACUAGAGAUUUUGCAACAGUUUUAUAAACUAUGACUAAACACAUAGAGAGAAACAACUCCAAUUAAUUCUAACUAGAAUGGACCCAUUACCAAAGUACUCCAACUAUUAAUGACAUAUUUGCACACAUUUCUAAGAGUAAUAAUAUUUUUCUCGGUGGCUAAUGUUAAUAAUAUUUUCCACUUGUUAAGAGUGCGGAAAUUGAUUGUGGGGUGGGUUGGGGGGGGGAGCACAACAUAUAGGUGGGGUAGCCCUCACCCAUCGGACUAGUCUUUUGGGUUGAGUUAGACCCAAGUCCUUGUUGUGGGCUCUGGUGGGGCGCCGUCUCGUGGGUAUAACAGGUCGGGUGGAUUCCGCUAUGCACUCUAACAGUUAAUCUAGGGAUCUAGCCAUUUCUCAUCAUUAGUGGCCUUGAUGACUCCUGAUCAUAUGGUUGCGUGGCAAUUUGUAAGAGAUGGGACUAAAGGUUGCAAAUGAUGGAUGUAGUAGAGUUUUGGACUAAGAACCAAUGUUGGCUAAGUGCGUAUGCAGGCGGGGCCGCUUCGAAACCUGGAGCCUGGGGUGGUCGCCACAUUCACCAUCCCUAGGUCAAGGAGAUGGGCACACCAAAAUUUCAAUUGAAGAAAACAGAGGAGGGAGGGGGAGGAUGGGGCAGUGGGUAGAUCCGCCGGUGGUAAUGACCCACUGGGCUCACACAUGCCCUAUGCCACCACUCUACCUUGGACACCACACCACAUCACUCACUUGUCAGGGCAACCGGAGGGGUAGGGGGGAAAGGAUGAAGACGAAAAAUAAUUGUAGAAACACACAAUAAAAUUUGGAAAAUAAUUAAAAGGAAAGAAAAAACUGGUGAUGAGCUUCAAUCCCUUGGUGCCACUCGUUGGGUGGAAACCAAGUCGCCUCACGGCGGUGAGAUCCCGAGAGCUACACUAUGUGCUCUCCAACCGGAUCUGUCCCAUUCACUAGGAAUCCACCGAGAGAUUGCACCCACCAGUUGAAGCACCACUGCAUGCUUCACAUAUGCUCCAUCACACCACCUCUUGUUACUCAACUCCCAACUAGCGAUGCACGGGGGGAGUUUCCUCGAGCCGCACCAGAUCCUGCUACGUCGGCAUGUGCAGAUCCCGCGAGCUUUGGGUUCUGGUCCCUCUCCAUGGUGACAUGUGCGUUCCAUGCCUAACGCAAACAAACAACACAGUGGAAAGACCAUUGGAGUGGAGGUAACAAUCACACUUUUAUUGAGACUAAACUUUGGUUCCAGUUGUCAUCCCACCCUUGUUUCCACUAUAUUUGAAAUUUUUUCUAUGCUUGUUAGUUUUUGAGGAGAAUUUAGACCAACAUUAAUUGUGUAUAUCUACGUUUGGAAUGUUGCUUAUGUUCCAUUUUUGGUCCCACAUACAAAUAAACUUUGGUUCCGGUUGUCAUCCCACCCUUAUUUCUGCUCUAUUUGAAAUUAGUUGUAUGCUUGUGAGUCUUUGAGGAUAAUUUUUUUUAUGUAACAGGAGGGGUGUGACCUCCAGAAAAAUAUUCGGUGCAAACGACCUUCUCGCGGUGGAAACGUGAAAACCCCUUAAAAAUCAUACUUUCAAGUAAUAAAUUUUUUUGAAAUGAUGCACAUUCAUAGUGCAUCCAUAGACACACUUUGUGGCAAAAGAUGGGAUGCAAAACCAUUUUUGCAAAAAUUCAUACAAAAAUGACAAAUUUCAAGUGCAUAUGCACUAGAAGACCAAUUUCCAGGAAUUUCAUCUUUUAGUGUUUAUGCACAUGAAAUUUAUCAUUUUCAUUUGAAUUUUCCUAGUUUGAGUUUGCAUCGCAACUUUUGCCACAAAGUACAUCUAUGGAUUUUUUGAACACUUACAAAUAUGAUUUUUGAAGGGGUUUUCACGUUUCCACCGAGAUGGUGGUUUGCACCGAAUAUUUUCAUGUGACCCCCUAUUAGUUAUAUAUUAAAACAAUAAAUAAAGUAUUUUACAGGGAACAAAAAGAUCAAAGAAAGAGAAAGAGAAAAGAGAAAAUUACAGCAGAUUUUGUAUCCAUUCCUUGUGUGCAUAUAUCCACGGCUGGAAUGUUGCUUAUGUCCCAUUUUUUCUCCUUAGAGAUCAUUUUCAAUUAAAAGAUUGAAGCCGAUGAUUUUAGUUUUUUCAGUUUACCUAGCAUCCCAGUUUCUUUUCAUGGGCUAGUCAGCAUCCUCAUGAUCUUUAGUUUUUUCAGUUUACCUACCAUCCUGAAGAUCUAGCUGCCAGGUAUUCAGAAACCUGACAGCCUCCGCACAAUUGCAAGUAACCCGAUCCUUUGUACCAGGAGCAACCACUAACCACGCACUAGCAGUCAACGUGAUACAGAUCCAAUCUUGGGUUAAGCCAUUAAGAUCAAAUCAGUGAAGGAUGGUCUGACCUUCCCCCCUGGUCAAUCGAAUGGGAUAACUUUUUUCGACUUACGAGAUGCAAAUCAAACAUAAAAAUGAGCACAAAGUUUACCAAUCAAUUCAGAAAAUGACCUGCUGUGAACUAUCCAAUAACUUAAAGUCUUGCUUAAAAUCAAGUCCGUGACAAAUGCUCGAAGGUAAUAUGGUACAAACACGGGCAAUUGAGAGCUUGCAAAGUUCCAACCAUUUAAUAAAAAUGAAGACUAAAAUGAGCUCCUUCUCCAGGUAUAAUAUUAGCUGCAACAGAAGCUUAUAUGCGGUAAUUGUGCUGCAUGUUUUUGGUAACAAACGUCUAUUUUGUAAAUGGGAUAGUUGUGUGUCCACAGAUAGAUGUGCUACAUGUUUUUGGUAACAAACGUCUAUUUCGUAAAUGGGAUAGUUGUGUGUUCACAAAUAGAAGGAAUAGUACACUUCUGGGGAAUGCGCCUUUAGUACCUGGUCAAAAUCCAUCUUUAGUACCGGUUGUGCAACCGGUAUUGUUAUUUCGCCCUUUAGUACCGGAUCAAAUAACCGGUACUAAAAGGGUAUUAAAAAAUAAAAAAAAGAAAUCCGCCAACCGGAGACCUGACCGUACCCUGCAGCCAUCCGCUAGAGCCCUAGAGCCCCGGCCGCACACCUGAGCCUCGCACCACAGAGAGAGAGAGAGAGAGAGAGGGAGGGAGGUGGCGUACUUACGCUGCUCAGCCACCGCCGCUGAUUGCUGCCACCGCCGGAUCUGAGGGAGAGGUGGCCGCUACUCCAAGAUCCACGCGCUCCUUGCUCCACCAUGCCUGCCGACGCUCCGCCACCGCGCCCUCCCGCCGGAGCUCCGCUGCUCCUUGCCUCGCCACCGCUCCUUGCUCCGCCACGCCCUGCCAACGCUCCACCACCUUGCCGCGCCCUCCCUUCUUGCCUCCGCUGCUCCUUGCCCCACCGCCGCUCCUUACCACAUGUAAGAGGUGAGGGGCGAGUGGAGGGGGGAGGAGAGGGGCGGCGACGGGGGCGGGGGGGGGGGGGAGGGGGGGGGGAAUGGGAUCUGUGGGAGGGACAGAGGGAGGGGAUUCAGCUGUGGAGAGAGAGGGGAUUCGGCGGGGAGAAGAAGAGAGAGAGAGGCGCGGGUGAGAGGAUGAGGGGGACGAGCAGAUAAGUGUGGGGAGGGGGUGAGAGAGACAGAAGGGAGGACUGAUGUGUGAAGAGAGGUUGCGAUUUAGUACCCGGUGAAGCGUCCACCCGGUACUAAAGGCCUUCAGGCACAUUAGUACCAGUUGGAGGCUUCAACCGAUACUAAUGGGUGACUUUAGUACCAGGUGAAGUCUCCACCCAGUACUAAAGGGGGUCACAGGGGUUCCUCGGGGACUAGCCGUUAGGUCCGGUACUGAGCCUCAGGACGAAUGCUGAGUUUUCUAGUAGUGAUAACUAUUAUCACAUAAUAUCUUGUGGACUAAGGGACUGAUUGGUUGGGCACCAAAAUGUGCCAAACCAAAAUCAGGGCAAGCCCAAUGAUUCUAGUGCUCGCUUGGUUCAAAUACAAAAACCUGGCGUGCCAAAGUUUCUGGCACAUCGGCAAGGUUCAGCUUGCCCACGUUUUGGCUGUCCCUGCCAUGCUCCCGUAUUCCCAUCCCUUACUAGUUUGCGCUGUUGUCCUCUACCUGUCAUCUCACUUCUUGCAGCCUCCAGUCAACCCGCCAUCGUCUCCUCUCCUCAAGUACCCAGGUUCUCACCCAUCAACAACAAAGCACUGGAGCUGGAGUUCCACCACCACCCUUUCCCGUUGAAGAUUAAAGGGAACUACCUUGAGUAUAGAUGGGGUAGCAAAAUCUUUCCAUCCGUUGUUAUGCAAGCUGCAUAUUCUAAAAGUGUGUGCUAGUAUGAAUCAUGAACAUUGGCAGUUGUGUUUUGGCAUCAAACCAAUUGGGGGCCAAAAUUUUGGCUGCCACAUUUUGGCACCCAACCAGGUGCCAUCCUAAAACUUUUGCCCAGAUUUUGGCAUGCAAAUUUUGGUAGGGCACAUUUUGGUGCCCAACUAAUCAGACCCUAAAAUUAAAAGUCUAUGGUUAGAAACUUAUUAUGUUCAAUUUGAACCUCUAAUUUAUUAGUUCCAUUUUGGGCUUUGCUACAGUGCGCCGGUUACUUCCCAGGAGGUACAGGAGCUCACAUAAAUCAUAGCCGUUGAUUUGUAGAAUAACUUAUUCAAGAAAUUAAAAAAAUCAAGGAAAAGAAGAAAAAAAAUCCAUCCCAGGAAUCACGUUAUUUCUUCUUCAUCCGGCUCUUUCCUUGUCACCCACGGAGAGAAAGAAAGAAAAAGCUACACCGACAUGGAAGUCGGAACGCAGGUCCUCGGCGACACCUCUCGUGAAUCCUCCCCAUUCUGCAGCAUCCCUUAAAUUGCGGAAGCAAAUCAAAUCCAGGUUCAAGAUUUUCGAUCUAAUCGCAAUCGACUUUACCUGCUAGAUCUAAUUGCCACGUUAAAAGAAAAGACGUGAUACAUGCCAUCACGUGAAAAGUCAUCCAGAUCGAUGACAUCAUUUAUUUCGGUCGUCGCAACGUCCACUUUGAUAACGUUCGAUACCGCGGAUGAUCCAAGAUUCAUAAACGAUGUUUUCAAAUUUGGUUACGCAUGCGACGUGCUUCCUUGGUGGGCUAUAAAGGUAACUUGUGUGACGUACUUCCUUGGUGGGCUAUAAUAAUCUUCUAUCAAGAGUAAUGGAGCGAUAGCAAGAACUAGAUCUCUUUCAAGCCUUGUGGUCCUAUUAUCUUCCAGAGUCAUUAUCAUCGUGAAUUUAAUUCUAACUUUCCAACAAGGCAGCUAUUCGAGUAGCUACAAUAUGUCUAUUUCUCUAAACCAGCUGUGCCUUUCAAUCUCUUUCGUCCUUCCGUUCGUUCACUUAAUUUCAUCGAGGAAUUGACAAGAUCAAACGUGCUUUACCGUAGGAGUUACCACGCGCACUCACCCAUAUGAAUACACAUAUGCAACCCUAUCCAUAUGAGAAUAUUUGAGAGACACCAAUAUUAUUUUUCUUUCGCAAAACACAGUAAGUUCAUGUAUACACACGCAUACUCACCCUUAUGAAUACACACAUGCAACCUCACAAUAGACGGACAUGUCGUCUAGGUACCACUGAAAGAAUAGUAUUUAGCAUCUGUUAAUUCCUAGAAUAAAUCUAGGAAAUAUUCCAAGUCGAGGACUCGAACCGAGUGGGUAGGUUCUACCACAAGAAACCAUAGUAACUACGCUUAGUUCACCACCUAUAGAUAUUUAGCAUGAUCUGUGCACAGCUUUUCUUAGUAUCCAACCAAACUUGGUGAUUCGUGGUUUUGAAAAGGUCUUUUAAAGCUCAGCUAGGAUUUUCUGGGUGGGACCUUCAAAAUAAAAAAUGGUUCACAAACCAGAUUCUAGUAGGAGAUCUGGAUAGGACUUAAACCACUUAAGGAAAAAAUUUCUAGCCUGUAUAAGAUAGUCAAUUAUUACCCUCAUGUUACAAUGACAAAUGUGAUACAUCAAAUGCCACUCAAUAUCUAUUUUCAAAGAGCUCUAGUAGGGGGAUAAGUUGACAGUGUGGCAUAAUACGGUAGCUCAAAUAACUUUCAGAUUUCUAACGAGUGGGAUAUUUUUACCUUCAACCUACAUAAACAUGGGACUGUAGAGCAGAGACAUCACACAAAUAUUCUAUGCAAUUAUGGCUAGACUCUCAAUUGUAAUUUUGCUUAUCUUUUUUGUUUCCUUUUAUGUUUCUUGAGGUUUUAUUUGUAAGCUAAACUCUUGUUUCCUUUAAUAUAUAUAAUCAGUAGGGGCUCUCCUCUCCUGUUACCAUCAAAAAAACAUGGGACCGUACGAUCAAUGUAUCAAUACCUAAUUAACCAAUUUCCAACCGUAAGAAAUUCAUAUGGAAGUUAAAAAAUCCUCUAAAAAUUGGUACCUCCAACAAGAAAUAAUUUUAAUAAAGGAUAAUUUGGCCAAAAGGAAUUGAUUUGGGAGGCAAAAGUGUUGUUUCUUUUAUUGCAAGGAAACAACUAAACACAUCUUAUUUGACUACCAUGCCAAAGCAAUUUUGAGGAUUGUUCAUAUUGUUACCGAGUUAACUUCACCUAGAUCUAUAGUUCAUAUGUUUGGGGAAUUGGUUAACAGGCAUAGAAAAGAAGAAAAAAAAUGAUCUUUGUGGGGUUGUAGAACUUCUGUGGGGUAUUUGAUGUACACAAUGAUUUAUUUUUUAAUAUGAAAACAAUUUUUCUUUUAUGCAGGCUACUUUUAGAGAGAACAUAUUAGCUAUGAUUUUGGACACUAUUGCAGCGUGCAGAUAGGGAGACAGUCCACCUAGCAAGAAGUCAUUGCUUUGAAUAUUUUCACAAAAAUAGUGGAGAACCAGUAAUAGACUUUGCAAAUUGGUUGUAAUUGUUUCCUUUCAUUUGUGUGCCCCCCCCCCCCCUCUUGCGCCCUCGUGAACAAUGCUUGAGAAUAUUGUGAGAAUUUGACUGUGUGCGUCCGGCAGAGGUCUAAAACAUUUCCUUUUCCUAAAAUAUAAAAGUGUGUAGGGUGGUUUAUCAAUUUGCGUAGAGGACUCCUUGUUGGUCAUAUACAGGAACAGAAUAUAAAUAAAAGAACUCUGAUGUUUAGGUGGGUGAAAUGAUUAUGAGAAAUUUACUUCAUGUGUCCACCUCUUGCAGUACCAUCUUAAUUUCAAAGCUGUAAGCAUCAUGCUUUUAAUUUGCAUCAUUUUCAGUUAGCUUUCCUAUAGCCAAUGCAUUUGUACGACAAAAAUGACAGCCUAUUAUGGUCGUGCAAUAUGUUUAUUGCCCUAAGCCACAUGUGUUUUUCAUUUCAUUCUUGUUGUUUUGCGUGGGCUCUAUACUUUCCCCUAGAGAAUACGAUGACAACUUGCCUCAAGCCCUCGACUAGUCCUAACAUAGAGGCCAAUAAAGACAAUUAGAAAGAAGACUACAACGUAACUGAUGUUUUUCAUAUUAGUAUAGAUAAGUCUGUUUUAGCUCACCCACACAUUUUACCAUAGAGGCCGACUGUAGACAAUAAACAUGCUCAAACAUGAUCUAUGCAAUGUGGCCGUGCAUUUUAGGAAAAAAUGGAACUGUUUUUUUUUACUGGACGAAUUUUUUUUAGCUCAUCAACCCAUGCCAUUUCUUCUUUAUCUAAUAAUACAUCAGCGGCUAAAGAGGCAUGCUCGUGGGCCAUGGAGAUGGGUGAAAGAACAUGUUUUUUUUGGCACCUCUUAUAUUUCAAGUGCUUGAAAAUUUUUAUUGUUUCAUGCAAUGUAUUUCAAUAUUAUAAAUGCUGCUACGUGAUGUUGCAUAUGUUGGUAUCUGAUAUUGCGUACAUCGCUAUUCAAGUGUUAUAAGUGAAUUGAAUAUGAAACAUAAUUUAUUUUUUUAUGUUUUGGAUGUUGAUUUUCAAUGUCGCAACCCAUUACCUAAAAAUUGUUAAGCUAAGAAACCUGGAAUAUGGAAACUAUAAAAGACAUGUUUUCUUAUGAAAGACAUGGCCAACAUGUUUUAGGUUUUCAAAAUUUACGCCACCUCACUAAAAAUAGACGUGCUUUAGUGAUCAAAGCAAUAGUUGCCAACCAAGAUAGCCUAUAUAAGAGCUCAAGGCAGAGCUAGCAUCUCCCAAAACGGAUUAACGACAAUGCUCGGUGCAGCAACUGAGCAGCUGGUCUGUGUGACCGGAGCUGGAGGCUUCAUCGGGUCAUGGCUAGUCAAGGAGCUUCUCCACCGUGGCUAUGCUGUAAGAGGCACCGCAAGAGACCCUGGUGAGUCAGCGACUCGGUGUAAUGCGUCCAUCAAGGGUGAUUGGUCUCUAAAUUUGCAUGGAUUUUUCAAAGGACUCACCAACUAGUGUCGGAGCACCCAUUGUCCUAGCUUUCCCACUCACUAUGCCACACCAACGUAUCUCCUUCCUCCACCCUCACCAGCCAUGUAUGAUAUAUAGCAUGCCACACGCCCUUUAAUGCCUUCUUACAUCUCAAUCUCUUAUUACUAGGUGCAAACUGUGUAAACUUCAAACAACAUGUUGCUAGCUGGUUGCUGAUUUUUGUGCAUCUGCUAACAUGAUUCCAGUGGACCGCAAGAAGUGUGUAUAUUUAUCUCACUAGUUGUUUUUAGUUCUGUAAUUUAUAGAUUAAUGAUUAAUUUUUUGUUACGGUGCUAGACGACUGCAAGAACGCCCAUCUGCAUGCACUCGAUGGAGCUGAAGAACGGUUAUCUCUGUACCGUGCUGAUGUGUUGGACUACAAGUCACUUCGUCCUGCAUUCAGCUUAUGUGAUGGUGUUUUCCAUGUUGCCUCCCCAGUAUCGAAUGAUCCUGUCAGAAUACUUCCUAUAAUAAGUACCAUCUAUCUAAGUCUCCUACAUGCUCAGAAAGAUUAUUGAAUCCAUGUCUAACAUGAACCUAUUUAAUUUAUUCCAAUUGAAGCAACAGGCAAAUGUUAAACGUGUCAUGAAAAUAUGCAGGAACUUGUGCAGGUUGCUAUUGAGGGAACAAAGAAUGUCAUCAACGCUGCAGCAGACAUGGGAGUGCAGCGUGUGGUGUUUACCUCAUCUUAUGGAGCUGUGCAUAUGAACCCUAAGAGGAACCCUAAUCAGAUUCUGGAUGAGAGUUGUUGGAGUGACCUUGAGUACUGCAAGGAAACACAGGUCACCACUUCUACCAUAUAAAAGAACCCUUCCAAAAUAAUUACACUAUUCAAUGAUAUUUUUGGUAAAUGAAGCACACUUUUUUAGUUAUCACAUAAGCAUUCGAUGAAAAUAAAUAGGAGACAGCGGAGUUAACUAAAUAUAAUUAAGGUAACACCACAACAAACCUUUUCUAACGUGAUACACCGACAAAAAAUUCAAGAAAGAGUGUAUUUUUGUCAUGGAAAUAUAUCAAAAUAUCCUUCAUGCCAAUCACCACACAAGUAAUGACCAUUUCUGAAUGCUAUUUGUGACAUUUUCUUGCAGAUGCCAUCUCAUUUUUUUUAUGAAAGCAUGUUCGUUGCCACAUUAUAUUAACUCUAUAAUUUUUGUGUCACUAAAUAAUUUUGUUAGAAGCAUAUAAAUAAACUAACAAUCUUUGCCAUUAUAAAUAUAGUACAUAUUUUCCAUUAUAUUGGAAAUUUAAUUUCCACUGAGAAUUUUUUGAGUGGCACAUAUAUAUAGUACACCUGCCUUAUGGGUCUAUUAACUUAUGAUGAAAGUGCAUGCACAUUCCUUGACAUUAUUGCACGUUACGCUAUAGAUAAACAUGUCUCGUGAAAACCUUAUGACACGGGAAUAUAACCAUCAUUAUUGGGUUAGCACACCUGCCAUGAUUAACAUGCAUCAUAUUAUGGACUUAUUAUGAUUGAAUUAUAGAACUGGUACUGCUAUGCAAAGGCAGUUGCUGAGAAGACUGCAGUGGAAGAGGCAUCAAAGAGAGGGGUACAACUAAUAAUAGUCGUCCCUGCAGUCACGAUAGGCAGAAUGCUACAGUCAACGUUGAACGCAAGUUUAUACGGAGUCGCCACCUACAUGAAUGGCACAAAGAAGGCGUAUCCAAAUGCAGUUGCCGCAUAUGUCGAUGUGCAGGAUGUUGCUCUUGCCCAUGUUUUGGUGUACCAAGAUCAGAAUGCACAUGGACGCUACCUCUGCAUAGGUGACGUGCUACAUCGGUCGAAGUUUGUUCAAAUGUUGAGAGGGCUCUUCCCACAAUAUCCUGUCACCGCUAAGUAAAUCUCUGCACUCUGCAUUAAAAUUUCAGACAUAUAUUUCAUUCAAAUGUGGCCUUGUUUAAUCUUUUAUAUUCCUUUAGAAAAGCUAUGAAAUUUUAUAAAGCAAAGUAAUCAAAAUUAGACUGCCAACUUAAAGUUAAUCCAAUUUGAGAUUAACCAUAGAUAAAAUUUUGAAUAUUUUAAAAAAAGUCUGUGUCAACCGGAAGUUUGAGGAUUAAUUAGUUUAUGUGUUCAGAAUUUGAAUACAAUUAUACUGCUCCCAGGUCCAUUUCUAUAUAGAUUAAACUAUAAUGAUGUCCCUGGUGUGCAUUAAACUUGAGUUCAUAUUAGUUUGAGUUUAAAAGAUUUGGCUACCCUUUAUUUGCAUCUCAGUAUUACACAAUAUAUCACUAUUCAUAUGUUCGUUGUAUGUCCUUGAUGUCUCACUGGAACGAAGGUCCAGGUUCCACAAGUGAGCCACAAGUGCAUAUUGUGGAUUUCUCCUUAAUUAUGUAAAAUAUUCUAAGUAGCCAUUUUUAUAUGUUAUUAAGUGAUGGCAAACUACAUGUAUAUACCAUUGUCGCACAGUCUUUUACAUGAUGUUUUUGACAUUUCUUUCGAAAUUUGAGUUACUUUAGGCAACGACCAUGAUAAAAAAAAAAAGAGGUUUUCAUCAAAUUUUAAAAAUAUCUAAAGUAAUAUUAUUUUCAUAACAUUACUAGUGCUGCUGCAAAGGUAAAAACUAUUGUCAUACUCAUCAAGUGCGGUAUAGAAAAGUGCUAUGUAUUACUUCAACUUUUGGUUCUUUUUCCUAGUAACAACCUAAACACUCACCAAAAAAAAUAUAAAAAAUAUCUAUCAUCAGAGCAACUUAGUUUGGUCCCAGCUUCCAUAAAUGAAAAGGUAGUAUUUUGAUUUACAAAUUUAAUUUCUCUUGUCUUUGUCUGCCCAUUAUUUAGAUGUGAGAACGACAGUACGCCGAUGGUGAAGCCUUACAAGUUCUCUGUGCGACGGCUCAGGGCUCUGGGUAUGAAGUUCACUCCUUUCAAGGAAAGUGCAUACAACACAGUGAUCAGCCUACAGGAAAAUGGUCAUAUCCCCAUACUGCCACAUAAGUCAGCCCUGUGAGAAAUGAGGAUAUAUAUUUAAAUAAAGGAUUUGAACAUGGGUGUUGAGUCAAUACUUUAGUUGGUAUACAUGGACUAUGUAUGAAGGAUUGUUCAAGCUUUAAAGGGAAUAACCACUCAAAUUAUUCUUAAAUAAUAUAUAGGAAAUUCGGAGCUGGUCUUCGUUUAUAAAGCAAAGGCACAAGUGUGGGGAUAGAUCCUCUAGUAACCGUAAGGAAGGAAGAAGAUAUGAUUAUAUUAGAAUUCCUAAGUACAUUUGUAAUCCUACUAGAACUCCUACCUUUACAUUGUAAUUCUAUCAAGACUUAUAUUGUAACCCCUUAAGAUAUAUAAAGGAGGGCAGGGGUUCACAACUCAUACCUCAUACAUCCAAGCACAUGGCGCAAUAAAUAUACUCCAUUUCAAAUAUGACGUAAGGUAUUACGCUACUCUGACAGUCCAAACUUGUAUAAAUCUGUGUCUUAUGUCUAUUGAUUUACCACCAAGCUUCAGGCCCGAUGAUUCCUCCAUUUAACAAUCUACUAUCUCAGGAAUACUUUCGGUAGGUUAACGGCUACAGAACACCAAUCUACUAUCUCAGGAAUACUUUCGGUAGGUUAACGGCUACAGAACACCAACAACGUAUCUGCUCAGUUGGUUUCUGUGACUGCCCUUUGCUUGCUUUUGGCAAACAUAUUAGAUGUGUUGUAUGUGCUCUGUCUGUGCGUCAAACCUGCUCUUACAUCAGUAGCUUGAUUGAUCCUAAACUUAUUCUGACAUAGCUUGUCAAGAUAUCUUUUACGGUCCUUAGAUGAUGAGACACAAAGCAUAGGGGGAAAAAGUCUAUAUCACACCUAGGUGUUUAUGAAGGCCCAAAACACCCGAGCUCGCUACUUUAUCGAUAGUGCUCCUCCUUCAUUGUCCAUUCCUCAUUUCUUUCUUCCGAACCGCACUGCGGCCCAGAUCUUCCUAGCUCUGCUCACCCACGAGGCCACGAAUGCCUUGCACAACUUUAGUUUUGACUUAAGGAUCUGUCUUGCACAACUGGGUGCUUUGACUUAGGAUCUGACUUGCACAACUUCAGCUUCGAGAUUCAGGUUGAAUUGUAGUUUGUACACAGUAGAUUAAACUAGUCCAAAUAUUUAUAUUUAGGCACUGUUUGGUAGAGCUCCGGCUCCUAUCAAAACGGUUCCAGCUCUAACUUCUCUGGUGGAGUGGCUUCUCCAGUGGACUGUUUUGAAAAACGCUUAGUAGUAAAACGGCUUCUCAGUGGCAAUAUGGAUAAUUUUAUGGUCAAUUAAUACUUGCAGAUGGAGAAGUCGGUGAAGCCAUUUUUUUUUGUCCCCUCCGCUUUUGUAUAAGCCGUUUUGUGGUUUCUUCUCGGUUUCGGUGGUGAAGCCGUUGUGAAUUUGCUUCUUUGAUACGUCUUCACUAGAAGCUGGUGGAAACGCCUUUUGAGAAGCCUUACCAAAGGUUAGUCUGCACUAUAAACAAAAUUAUUCACUAAAUGUUCCUGACUUACGUCUAGCUCUAGAUCCAAAAUUUCUUAGUGCUACCAAUAUCUACCUUUAAGAGAUCCAUAGUUUUUUUUAGAUAAGCUAUACCAAAUAGACCCAUAUCAGCCACUAGUUUGAGUGCCCUUGUGUUGAUUUUGGCAAAAAAAAAAUAAUUAUCAUUGUCUUGACUGAGCCAAGCAUUUCUCUUGUACACAAGCGAUCAAUACAAGUAAAAGCCGGCAUACCUUUUUUUUUUUGCGAGUAAAAGCCGGCAUACAUGAUACAUGUACACCCAUAAACCUGCGGUGUGUAAAUUGGCCAGAUAAAACGCUGCUGCAUUCCUGGCAGUCUGAUCGGGUGCUGGAGCACCGUUUCUUUUUUUUUUGAAAAUUAAGUGCUGGAGCACCGUACCAUCACAGUCUGUUGAUCCAUACCAUUGGUGUUCUCCGCGCGACGCCGUCCCUCCGGCGUCCUCCAUUCCCCGUCGCCGCUCCACCUUCAUCACUGAACGUCUUCCCCUAGCUCCGCCUUCUCUUUGCCGGAGCCACGAACCAGUUGGCCUCUCCUCCUCUUAUUCAGACGCCGUUUCUUGCCGGCCUCCACCUUAGCAGCUCUCUCCAUGUCGCACGUCGCGACGUAGCUCGCGUACGGAGGGAUGCGGGAUUGCCACACCAGCACGUCAAACCGCUUCUCCCCGGCCCAUUCGACGCCUCUGCCAACCUCCAGCAUCGUCACCGUCGGGAGCUCGCUCCGUGCCAUGCCCGUCGACUUUCGCCUGUCGUAGAACAAGCACGGAGCAUUCGGCGGGGCGCCCUUCACCGGCACGCGGGGGUAAUAAAUCCCCCACUCACCGGCGCCAAGCUGCAGCACCGUCACUCCGGUGGACACCUUCAGGACGCGGCGCCAGGACCGCGCGCUCAGGUCGGCGCGGAGCGACGCGGCGAUCUUGUUCACCGCGGCGAACGGCGUGAGGUCCGGGAUGCCGGCGAACAGCGCCAUGGCGACGCGCAGCAGCUCCGGGCGCUCCUCCGGGUCGGAGCCUCCGAACGCCAUCGCUUUGAACAGGUACCAGAGCUCCUCCCGGCGCAGCUUGCGCAGCCUGAGCGGCGGCACGGUGCCCAGGCCCGAGUGCGCCUCCGUCCUGCUGAUGAUUACGACCUUGCUCUCUCCGUGCGCGCGGCGGCGAACGGACGAGCGGAACCUUUUCCAUCGCUCUUCCUCGUCCACGUCGCCGCCGGCGAGGUCGAUCACGAACAGAGAUCUAGCAGCGGUGUCGAUCAACCCUUGAUGAUGCUCAUGGCUCGGUAGAAUAAGAUUAUCACUGUUAAGAUAAUGAAUCUUGGCGAAUUUCUCUCGCACCCUCUCCUCGAGGCACGCGUGCUCAACCAGAGUCCGCUUGCCGACUUCGUGAGGGCCGAUGACCGGAAGAACAUCCAAAUCUUUAGCAGGUUGUAGCAGGAAGCUGACGAUCUGCUCCUUCUCUAUCUGCCGGCCAAACAUGCACGUCUCCAUGAACAGGUAGAAGCUGUACGGCUGGCGGUUGAGACGUGGACAGGCACCGAGGAGCACGAUGAACUCCCUCAUGUCGCUCAGCGCAGCUUCCAGGGUGUCCACCAGAACAGACAGCUCACCUGUGGCGUCACUGCCCGGAGGCAAGCCGAGCGACCGCCUCGCCGUGGCGUGCGGUCUCCUCCUGCUGCGCUCGACGGCUCGCCUCGUGAAGGCGUCGAGCACGUAGGCGCCCCGGCACAUCUCUCCCCUCAGCUGGUUGAGCUGCAGCAGCAUCGCCCGGUUGGUGACCUGCCGCGCCUCGGCCUCCUCGACGACGACGCGGGCUCGCAGCAGCGCUCGCUGCAGCCUGACGACGUCGUCGUCGGUGGUGGUGGAGCCGGGCUCCUGGAACUUGCUGAUGAGGAAGGAGAUCAACCGGCCGACGAGGUCGCUAGCAACUGCAGACAGCAGCGCCUCCAUUGCCAAGGACCAAUGCCCCGCCCUGCCCCAGGCCCUUUAACUCCUCAUUGACUGAACAGCAAUGGACGUAUGAACGUAGUAGGAUGCUGGUUUGGAAUUUUAUUCGCCAUUGAUUAUGUGUGCGGUUACGGUUGUCACAGGUCACUGACCGAGAUGCAUUGGCCGACGACCGGGUACACCAGUACAGAAAAGAUUAGCGCCAUCUCGCUUUCAGACACACGGACCAUAUCUUUUCUCCCCUCUUUGCAAACACGCAAUGCUUGGUAAUAAGGCAGGAAAGAUAUGCUGACUGGCAGAGAAGAAACUUACUUGCUCGUUGUCCAAGGGAGGACCUCUAGGUGCUCAAUAUUCCAUCAAGGCAUUGCCACUGUAAUCUUGCCAAGAAACAGCAAUAUUGCCCGGUACAUAUUUGAAUAGUAUUUCCUUUAACAGGUUUACAAUGGAGCCAUAGUUCUUCUCAUAUAGUAGGCACGAAAAAUUCCCCAGCAUAUAUACUAGUAAAAAAGAAGAGGAACGAAGCUCUCCAAAAAUCCUUGCUGCGCUGUGCAAAAUUCAGCUGCCAGAGUAGCUGCACAAAGAUGUCCCAGGACAGGAUACGCAAUUGGUGGAUUUAUUUGGGUUUCAGCUAGUAUCAGCUCGUACAUUCCAAGCUGGCUACAUUUUGCUCCAGUGCGAGGAAAUAGCAAGCACUGUGCAAGAUCCAAGAAGUGGGAACCCACACAAAUUCUGCUCCAAGAGAGAAAUUGUAUUUUAUUUAUAUGAUUCAGUAUGGUGAUCCCACAACUGUAUUUGCCACAUAAGCAGCCCUAAAGCCUAUAGGCUUCAUAGGAUUUCGUUAUAUCAGAACUUGCUAAAGAACUCACAGAUGUGAUCAGAGACCUCACUAGGCUUCUCCUGAUUGAUGAAGUGGCUCACUCCCUCCAUAACAACAACAUCCUCCAGUUUUGGUACGCUUGCCUUGAAGCCACCCUUGUGGAUGUAAUCCUGUACCCCCGGAGUGUUGUACGUAAUAUCCAGGUCCCCAACAAUGAAUUUUGUUGGAACUUUUAUCGGAGCACCAGUCCAUGGUGCAGAAAGCUCCCAAUUCCUGCAUGAACAUAAAAUGAAUCUGAUGAGAUCAAUGCCUUGGUCAGUUCUAAACAAAGCCCCCAUACAUAAAGUUUGAAUUUGAUUGGCUGACACUAUCUGAAAUCUAAUUCAGUCAUACAUACCAACUAUUGUUUAUUAAGAUGAAUAUAUUUCAGUACAUCUGUCAUUAACUCCUCUCCUUUUUAAGUUUUGGCAAACAUUUCAGGGUGAUAGAUCCUCCUAGCAUGUGAAUUCAAAAUCAUAAGGUAUGCACUACAGAAUGUCAAACCAUUUAAACAUUUGAAGGCAUCAAACGACAGUAAAUCAACAGUAAAAUCACAAAGGUAUGCACUACAGAAUAACAAUAACACUGGCCAACAGUGAACUGAAAGUUGACUUGGCGGAUGGCAAAUAAUUGAUUGCCUGAAUAAAGAAGUAAAUUGAAAAUAAAAAUUGUGAGAGUGAACCAUAAAAGACAUACAGGUCCAUGCAUCUGUAGUAGUUAAAUCCUCCAGUAAAGCCUGUCUUUGAAAAUUUUUCUGCAUAGUAGGAAAUAUCUUCCUCUGAUAGCCAUGGAGGGCAUGUUCCGUCUGAAUCAAGUGAGUCAAAGAAGCUCUUGUCCUUGGGUAGAAUAAGAGGAGCUGGCUUGCGCAUGCCAAAUGUCUUAUUAAAAAUAUACUUGGCAUCAUAUUGAGCGAAUUCAGCUUCAGCAACUCCAGGUUCCUGCAUGCAACAUUAUGCAAUUCAGAUGCGCAAUAUUUCUUAAAAGAAAAAUCAUGUCUAAAGCGAUAUCAAUAUGCACAAAUUAUAUCAUAUAAAAAUAAAAAUCAAUAGCUGACUCCAUACAACCACACUAAGGGAAUGCUGCAUUUUAUAUUCAAAGGGUGUUACGAAGUUGAGGAUUUCAAGAGAGUGCCAUCCCAAGAGUUAUUAUUGUUCUUAAAGAUCUAGAAUGAAGAAAAAUCUUGGAAUUCAAGACCGAUUACUGAUUACUAGACGAUGAAGCUUAUCCCCCAUCGUCCCACUGGCCGACCUUGACCCCUGUUAUUUUUGGGUCAUUCUGAAGUCACUGAGACAAUCUGAAUUAGUAAUUUUUUUACAGCUUUGAAAGACCCGCUGCUGCGUGCAUAUGCUCGGUUGGUAGAAUCCCAAAGAAGGUUUGAUAUUUUCCAAGAAGCAAUGCUAUUAACUGGUGGUUUGCUGAUGCUAAUUUCUUUUAGGAAAAAUGAAAUCAUGGACUGAGUAUUUAAGCUUGUAUAAAAUGAUCUGCUAAUAAUCUCUCAAUCAAGUCUAGGGUUGCUUCUUCAUCUUCUAAAUCAAGUAAUCUCUCAAUUAGCAGUUAUUUCGUAACCCUUAUCUAUCUACAAUUCUGGAUAGUUGUUAUUGGUCACUCGCAGUAUUAUCUGGCGUCAAAUCUGUUCCUUCAUCUCGCUAUUUUAGAGCAGCCAGGAGAAUACAAAUUGCACAGAAAGUAGGCACCAAGUAAUCGUUCCAGCAUCGAUCCAACCAAUCUGCCAAAUUAAACGAGUCCAUCGCCAGGGCCAAACCUCGUCCAUUUAAUGUUUGCCAGGACAGAGGACAGAACAGGGCUACUCAUCAUAAAUAAAGGUCAAUUCUGCCUGAGUAGUGAGUACAAGUACACAAUGGGAAUGGAAGCAGAGUACUCCACUUGUUACCUGGAAGCGGCACAUGUAGUGGUCUUCCCCGCAGGCGGCCUUGAUGGUCUGGAGCGGGCUCCCCUCCGGCCGCCGCGGGUGGUACACGACGCUGAGGUUCACGAGCGCCCGCACCAGGUCCGGCCGGAGCAGGCAUAGCUGCCACGCCACGAUGGCGCCCCAGUCGUGCCCCACCACGAACACCUGCCGCGAGCAGAGGACCCAAUCCAAAAAAGAAGAAAAUAGAAGUCAACGUCGAGUAGGUGAUUGCUGCUUCGCAGCUUCGCUUCGAGGAAUCGAACGGAUUGCCGCUGCCAUGAAACCUGGGGCUGGCCGAGGUCGGCGAUGAGCGCGACGAGGUCGCCGACGACGUGGAACGUGGUGUAGGCGGACGCGUCGGGCGGGGCGUCGGAGUCGCCGUAGCCGCGGAGGUCGGGCGCCACGGCGCGGUAGCCCCGCGCCGCCAGGGCGGCCAUCUGGUGGCGCCAGCCGUACCAGAGGUCCGGGAAGCCGUGCAGGAGCAGCACCGCGGGGGCGGCGCCGCCCUCGGGCCCCGCCUCCGCCACGUGCAAGCGGACCCCGUUCGCCUCCACCGUCCGGUGCCGCACCCCAUCCACCACCGCCGCCAUCCCUAUCCUGUGCCCUCCUCUCUGCUCCAGUGCUCACCGAGGCGCCCUGGCUCACUCAGGCAGCAAGCCUGCUACCAGUGGCGCACGCGCAGCCGCCUGCUUUUGUAGCGGGGGGCCGCCGGCGGGUGGCUUUGGGAGCGCAGCACGCAGCUGGGGUAUUUUGGGGCGUGCGAGGCGUCCGAACGGACGGGCGGCGCGGGCGAGAGUUUGUGCGGAUUUCUGGUGGUUGCGGGCGCGCGUGGCCGGCAGCGGCCCAGCGGCAGUCGGCAGGGCCUGGGGCCUUGGGCGCUUGGUAACUUUCGGGCUUCUCGUGUCGGGAAUUGGAGGUUUGCUUGGCACUGGAAGCGUGGAACUUGCACUUGGUUUAAGCAAGCAUGCCCAAGCGUUGCAACAUGGAAACAACGUUGUUUUUGCUAAUAUUAGGAUGAACUGAUGAUGUGAUAUUAAGGUCCCGUUUGGUAGGGCUUCUCAAAGUGCUUCUCCACCGAUUUUUGAUGAAGCCCUACCAAAGGGUCAAUUUCUAAACGGCUUCACCACCAAAGCCGAGGAGAAGCCGCAAAACGGCUUACACUAGAGAGGAGAAGCCGAAAAAAGUGGCUUCACCGGCUUCUCCUCUCUCUCCAAGCAUUAAGUGAUCAUAAAAUUACAUAUAUUGCCAUUGAGAAGCCGUUUUACCAAACAUUUUGCAAAACGGCUUCAGCUUCACUAAAAAAGCCACUCCACCGAAGAAGCCGAAGCCGAAGCCGUUUUAUGAGAAGCCGAAGCUCUACCAAACGGGACCUAAGUUUUAACCGGCUUGUCACGGAGAAAAGGCGAUAUUAUCACACGAAGAUGGGUGUGCAUUCGUCUGGAGAUACGAGGAUUUGUAAUAAGAUUGGUCCUCUCCAUGGUAGAUCCCUUGCAGAAAAAAAAAGUAGAAAAAUGGACUGAAAUUGUUAGCCUUUGUAAAAUGGACUGAAAAUGAACUACUUUAGGUGAGGUUGCAUUUUAUACAAGAGAUUGUACUAUUGAAUCGAUUUGAAAUUUGUACAGGUGGUUCGUGAGGUGAUACACUGGAGGGGGACGUGGGGAGGGAAGUCGGUUUUACGGUGAACGGCGAACGCUAGCAAAGUAGCAAUUAAGGUAAGUUUUUAGAGGUGGACAGUAUUUCGAAUAAAGGUACUUUCUGUGUUUAUCUGUUUUUAUAUAAAAUGUAUCCGAUAUAAAUUCAAAUAUCCUCAAAAUACUAAUGUAAAUUGGAUGCUUCGGUUUGCUGAUUUUUUGUGUCAGCGUCAGUCUUCCAUUUGCGGUGGCAAACGCUGGGCGGCAAGCGGCAUGGGUCGCUCAGACGGUCGCGUCCUGCGGUUGGUGACUUGGUGGACGACCACCAGCCGGUCAGUUCAGCUGUUAGCUCGCUACUGAAAGCUUGAGGCUGAUUGGCAAAUCCCUUAGCUGAACAAAACAAAAGGAGAGCUUCUGGAGAGGACGAAAGAGUGGAGCAGCUUUUACAUUGUAAAGUGCUAGGAUUGGUGGUAGUAUCUCUGACUUAGCUUGGUGGUAGUACUUGGUUAAGAAAAUUGCAUACAGACGGUGAAACCUUUUUGAGAAAAUUGUAUCUGCUUUAUUUUAACUAUGUAGGAUUACAAUCACGAAAUAGAAAAAGCAAGAGAGCAGAAAGAAAUCAAACUUUUUGAGAUAGUAAAUCUUGAUGAUAAACUAGACGAGUAGUUCGAAACAUUAUAAACAAGGAACAAAAGCUAAUAAUUACAAACCCACAAGCUAAAGUCGAUCGACACUAGCUUUUUUGGUGUUUUUUUUUUUUUUGAAAUAGGAGAUUCUAGGUGCCUAUCAGAUUAAAAGGUCAUGUUAGGGGAUGUUUGCUAGUUUCGUUUUCUCUUAAGGCACUUGUUUCCAAGGUUAACUCUUCUAUUUUUCUCCACAACCCAGCAUGAUACGUAGUUGUGAUAUGGAGGGAUGUGAGAUUGACCGGCUAUAUCAAACAUCUCUCCAUUUUGCACAGGCCUUGAAGUAAGCACAUCUUCGGCCCUUUUCUUGUUGGUCAUGUCUCCUUGCAUCAUAGACCUUGUCUUGUAUCUGUUAUAGCAAAACAUGAGAGGACUAUCCUGGCUAAAGCCAAGAAAAUACGAUAAAAAUCUAUUGCUAGAUUGUGUUUCCCUUGGGUCUUCUCCAAAGACAUGAAUGUGCACCUGCAUUACCUUUCUUAUAGAACACAAAGCACGGCGCCAAAAUUGCACAUUCAGAUUACCUCUUAGCACCCUAGCAAUUGUUCUCGUUGUCAUAAGUGAACCACGGAUCCCCAUUGCAAUUUCCUUAGCUAUCGAGGCAAGAUCUGGAUGAUGAUCAUAUGGGUUUGCACUACCAAAGGCAAGGACUCUAAAGAAGUACCAAUGCUCCUCUUCACGUAACCUUGUCAGCCUAAGAGCUUCCACUGUCCCUAAACUUGAUGCACAAUCCAUUCUGCUGAUGAGUAUGACCUUGCUGCUGUCGACUCCACGGCGCAAUGAAUGGUAAAGUUUACCCCAUGCCACCACAUCACUGUCAUGAACAAGCUCCACGACAAUCACGGAUCUCCCACCCGAAGGAUUAAACUUCUUACAUAUAUGAUUAUCCGUGUCAGUACCAUUAGCUAGAUCCAUGAGAUCAUCGCUGCUGAAGUGCAAGAUUUUUGAGAAGUUUCUUCGCACUAUCUCCUCUCUACAAGCAUGCUCAACUAGGGUAUUUUUUCCAACAUAAAUUGGUCCAAUAACAGGAAGGAUAUCCAAAGACGAACAGGGGCUUAAUAAGAAGUUGACAAUAUGCUCUUUUUCCGACUGUCGGCCGAACAUGCACCUCUCCAUGAACAAAUAUGUACUGUAUGGCUGACGAAUAAUCGGAGGGCAAUUCAUCAAAAGUAACAGAAACUCUUUCAUAUCAUUAAGCAUGGCUUCUAAAUUGCUCAUAAAUUGUACUUGGAGUUUGUAUUGGCUCACCUCUAACAGCCCAUUUGAUCGAGAGGGCCAAACGUCGGAGGUGUCCAACAUGUAGUAGCCACGGUACAGGGACUCUCUGAGCUGCUUAAGCUGCAAGAGCAUGCCAUGGUUGGUGAUUUGCCGCCCAUCGGCCUCCUCAACGACGAUGCUGGCUCGCAGGAGCAGCCGCUGCAGCCUUGAAAUCUUAUGGGUGGCAACCUGAUGAUGAGCCUGGUAGUUUUCAACGAUGAAGGAGAUGAACCGGCUGAUGAAGUCGCUGAUCACUGCAGAUAUCACUGUAUCCAUGAUCUCUGUGUGCCAGGGAGAAAUAAAAUGAUUAUUGUACAAAUCAUGAUACAGCUGCAUACAUAUAGUCAGGAUUGGAGGGACGCAAGCAGGAACUUGGCUACCAGACAUGGGGACAGGGUAGUUUUUUCCCCCUGAUUUUUCCACAAGUGUCCCUCUCGUUGACUAGUCUUCGAAGAAGAUGCCGUUGUGCGAAAAAGAGGGGUACUUCCGUCGUCAAACUUGACGAACUUAUGAUAUAACCUUUUUCUCCAUAAUUUUGAAGGGGUAGACUUUUCAUGUUUUUUACAGGAGUCCCUCUCGUUGACUGAUCUUCAAUAGGGCGCUCGCCAUGGGUGUUCCCAGCUAUAGAUUCCUGACAACUCGAACUUGUCUUUUUUUAAAAAAAAUUAUUUUUCACAGCUUUCCAUUUUUGAAAAAUGAUGAAAUUAUAUAUAUAACUUUUAUGCAUAAUUUUGAUUUCCAAACUUGUUACGAUAAAAAUUAUAUAUAUAAAUUAUGCAAAAGAAACGAAAAAUUAUAUAAAAAUUAUACAUAUAACUUGUAUGCAUGUAUAACUUUUAAAAAGAAUAAUUGUAUUUUUAUUUAAUCACGCUUGCACGUAGAAAGGUUGCAUAUGCAAAGAAGUAUACUUCAACCCUCUCUACAGGUUCCCUCAAACCUCAAAUAUGGAAGUAGAAGUCGGGUGCAAUCAUUUUUAUUUAAUCAUACCUAUCAAGAUUAAUACUAAUGAAUUGCAUGCAAGACUAAUUCAACUAAAAAUUUAAGAUAACAAGAAAAGAUGAGCAAUUUAUUUAUACCUCACCAUUAUCGCCUCUCAGCCUCCACGACGACGCGACCUCGGAGGAGCAAUCUGUUUGUAGCCUUGGUAUUUUGCUGUGGCAACCAGAACCUCGGAUUUUGCAGCGACGAAGGAGAUGAACCGGCUGAUGAGGUCACCCGCCACUGUAGAUAGCAGAGUAUCCAUUGCAUACGCACACUACAGAGAGUGCGGCGGUUCUAAUUCAACAGUGCAGAUUUAUACAUAAUUGGGUUCAGGGGGAGAAAGCAGUCGGUGAGGGUGAGGCACAAGUUCGAAGCCAGACAGCUUGAGCGGUGUAGCCUGUUGCGCAAAGGCAAAGGGAGGCGACAUGAUUUUUGUUGUCUCCCUGAAAUUUUUCUUGCUCUGACCGACGCACCGCCAAAGGGUCUGUUCGCUUCAGCUUAUUCGACCAACUUAUCAGUCACCAAACAGUAUUUUUCUCUCACAACAAAUCAGCCGUUUCAGUCUUUCAGCCGACUUAUAAGCUGAAGCGAACAGGCUGUUGACGUUACGGCGCCGGUUAGUGGCCACCGGAGCUGCGCCGCUUCCAGCCACUCGAUUUGGCCGUCGUGACUUGUGAGUUGUGGCGGCGGAUCCCACAAGACCUGCUGAAGUUGUUUUACAGGAAGACCUGUAAGUAUUUAAUUUGAAUGGGAGAAAAUAGGAGUCAGCAGUCCAUUUUUGCGUAGUCUUUUCGCCUCUCGCGGAUGAACAGAUUCUACAGCGAUACGCCGAUGCCAACAGCGAGGCGUCAAAAAAGCAAAAGGAAAAGAAAAAAAAUCGACGCUCACUUUCUGGGGGGUCCUAUAUGCCUUCCACGAGAUGUAUAAGAGAUACAACUAUAAAAGCCCAGUAUAGCCCAGCAACGGCCCAUAGGAUUACGCAUGCGCAAAUUAGAAAGCAGGCUGCCGAAUCGUUGCAUGCGUGUGCCUCCGUUCCUCAAGCAGGGAGACUCGACGAUAGGGCCAAUCAUGGAAAGAGACUCAUGCUUUAUCAUUUUUUUGGUUUUAUACUUCGCUUUGUUUUUUUUCCUACUAGAUCACUAUGAAACAGUAUAUUCAACAUUUUUGUUAGACUGAAUCAAUAUUUUUUAAAAAAACUAGUUCAACAUUUAGUGAAAAUUAAUUCAACAUUUUUCCAGAAUGUUGAAAUAGUAUAGCAUAAAUGUUGAAACGAUAUCUAAAGAAUGUUGAACAUUUUUUUAGAAAAUUUCUUUAGAGGAAUCAAUAUUUUUUUAAAAAGUUGAAAUAGUAUAGUAUAAAUGUUGAAACGAUAUAUAAAGAAUGUUAAACAUUUUGAGAAAACUAAUACAACAUUUUUUUCAGAAAUGUUAAAAUAGUAGUAUAAAUGUUGAAUCGACAUAUAAAGAAUGUUCAACAUUUUAAGAAAACUAAUACAACAUUUUUUUAGAAAAAUUUGUUAGAGUGAAUCAACAUUUUUUAAAGAAGUUGGAAUAGUACAAUAUAAAUGUUGAAACAACAUAUAAAAAUAUUGAAAUGUUAAAAUAAACAAUUAAAAUAGUAUAUUGGAUCUUGUUUUGUUGCAUUAAUUCUAACAAACAUUAUGAUUCAAAUGGAUUUAAAAUCAAAUGUAAUAAGAGAAAACAUCAUUUGAAGUUUGAAAUUUGUUUAGCCUCCCACCCACCUCCCAGGUCACGACACGUGUCCCUGAAAAGCUGGUGCUAUGUUUGACCCGUGCAAGCUUCGCCUGUGUAGUGGACGCUCUUCGCAUGUGCGCUUUCUUCCGGUAUAAUCUCGACAUGCUAGACUUUGCACACAUCUCAAACAGUGGAAGAUUAGUUGAUAAAAAUCUUCCGAAAGAUAGAUACGAAUCCCAUACUUUUUGCUAUUACUCCACAAUGAGAGGACGUGGCUAGGGAUGGUAAAGGAUCAUCUAGUUUAGCCUAGCAAAUUUAAAAUAGUAUAUUGGAUCUUGUUUUGUUGCAUUAAUUCUAACAAACAUUAUGAUUCAAAUGGAUUUAAAAUCAAAUGUAAUAAGAGAAAACAUCAUUUGAAGUUUGAAAUUUGUUUAGCCUCCCACCCACCUCCCAGGUCACGACACGUGUCCCUGAAAAGCUGGUGCUAUGUUUGACCCGUGCAAGCUUCGCCUGUGUAGUGGACGCUCUUCGCAUGUGCGCUUUCUUCCGGUAUAAUCUCGACAUGCUAGACUUUGCACACAUCUCAAACAGUGGAAGAUUAGUUGAUAAAAAUCUUCCGAAAGAUAGAUACGAAUCCCAUACUUUUUGCUAUUACUCCACAAUGAGAGGACGUGGCUAGGGAUGGUAAAGGAUCAUCUAGUUUAGCCUAGCAAAUUUAAAAUAGGAUCCAAUAAGGAUCAAACUAUAAUAUUAUAUGAUUUUAAAUUAAAAAUAGAUGGAACUAAGUUGGAUUGUGAAGAAGGUACAAGUGUCGUGGCAUGUUCUUGUCAUGGGCCUCGGCAAGGUUGAAAAUGGCCGCGUUUACUGAUUUGUGCGGCGACCAGCCCUAAGUUGUCGAGGUUGUCCACCGGACCUUUUAAGCCUGGUGCUGCACCUCGUUGUUCCAAACUUUCGAAAACUUCAAACGGAUGAAUAGAGACUGCAAACCAAAGCUUUUUCUUUCUCCAGUUUGUAUGGGGCAUUAGAACGUUGUCAGGAGGGCUGCGGCCACGGACGCCGCCGUUGGCUCGGCCGCAAGGCCCUGGGGCGCCUCCCCAGCCAACGCAUGUUGCCGCGGGCUCGGGCUGCCCGCGGCUAGGUGGGGGUCCUGACUCCUGCAAUUCUAUUUGGCCAGGCGCCGCCGGCGGGGAAUGGGUGACCGUCGGCCCUAUGCGCGACAGCGGGAGGAGAACAGGCAGGCGGCAGGAGGGGAACGAGCUGGAAAAGAAUUGGCGGCACCAGAACUGUCGUUUUUGGAUGGGCUGAAUUCUCUCUUUGGGGAGAGUUGAGCUAGGAUAUUGGGAUGAACCAAAAAAUACUGGGAAAAGAGACAUAUUUUGAGAGACUGUUGGAGCUCUUUUCUUCCCAAUGCUAGUAAUUUUUCUUGGAAAAGGGAGACCGGUGUGGAUGCUUAGAUCUUAAAUAUAAUCUUUAGCUUAUGUAUAUUGACAAGGCUGUUUGCAUACAUGUAUACUGUGGAGUUUCAGGUCACCCACUGCUGCAGAUAUCACAAUGAUCAAUUGUAUAUGUACCACUAGCCCACUACAAAGAGCGUGGUGAUGAUUCAAAUUCAGCGGUGUGGUAUACGUACAAGUGAGAUUACAGAGAGGAGAUACGCCCUUAUACAUAAACGUAGAUGGGAUUAUAGAGUGCAGGAGCAGUAGCGCACAAAGAUCAAAGCCACACAGCUAUAGCGGUGUAGACCAAAGGUAAAGGGAAGCGACUUGGCUUUUGUUGUAUUCCUGAAUUUUUCUUAAUGGAACCGACACACGGCCGAAGAAGACGGCGCCGGUGAACAGCCACGGGUGCUGCGCCUCUUCCAGCCACUCGAUUUGGCUGUUGAUGUCACGGCGGAUCCCCCUCGAAGACCUAAUUAAUUUGUUUAGAGGAAGGGCCAUUUUAAUUUGGAAGGAAGAAAUACAGGAACAAGAGGAAUUGCAUUCCACUUUUACGUAGUCUCUCUCAUCGCCGCUCAUUACCCGGUGGGCCGCGACCCGUUCGUGUCAUGGGCCUCUCUAGACCGCGUUUACCGCUGAUUUGUGCGGCUACCAGCCCAGCUGCCGAGCUACCUUUUUGGCCCGGUGUUGCACCUCGUUCUUCCAAACAUCCUCGAUCAACAAACAAAUCCUAAUAGGAAUUUUUUUAAUAAUAACGAUAUAUAAAUCGAAACGGGUGAAUUAAUACGGUAAAGCAAGCUUAAUUUCUUGUUCUCCACCAGCUUAUCUAGAACGGCAAAAAAAAAGUAUGACAAGGGUCCAGAGAACGGAAGCUCAACGUCACGGCAAUCUCUCCGAAGGAGCGUUGAAGCUGGAUCACUGAUCGGUCAGAGCAGUUUGUUCAGACGUGAGUUAGGUCUUCAAUUUUUUCCAGAUUAUUUGUGUAAGAGAGCUGGACUGCUGGAGAGGAGGGGUGGAACUCGACCGCGCGUCAGGGAUGAAUUCACGCACGAGAUCCAUCAAUGCACAAGUACUGACUAGCCUGCUGCCUCGCUCCUUACCUACUCGGCGGCGGGCAAAAUUCCUUGUACCUCACAGUACAGUAUGGAUUGGAUUGGAGCCCACGGUGGAGGGAGCUCGAUGGAUGGGCAGGGGCGCAGGGCUGCAGAGAACAUAACUUCUCACCGUACGCGCUGGUUCCACGCAGAAUUGUUGUAUAUACACAUCACUACAUCAGCUUCAGCUGUGACCAGACCAAGUCAAACAGCACGCACGAUGUCGCAUUAACAAACUCGGGAGAUUGACCCAGAUCAAAUGAAUUGCCGGAGCUCGUCGGGAGAACAGGGUGGCAAAAAGUAAACGGAUCAGCCGCUGGUCCAUCUCGUUUCUUGAAUGGCAACAGAUCCAACCGAAUGAACUGGUCCAACGCAGGCAGCUGUGGCCGUGCUAGCUACCACCGGUUGUUUUCCCUUCGUUACAGCUCACAGGACCGAACUUUUUGCGUUUGGACGUCCCGCUUGAUCGAGUUCGACGGUUUCUUCAAAGAAAGAUACUUUCCAGCACGAGUUAUCCUACCUGAUGAAUGAAAGAAGAAAAAAACGCCUGCAACAUGAAAGGAGGUCAAAAGUAGGCUUGCAACUAGGUAUCCAUACCCUCUUCCUAAAUCCACACCCAUUUUAAAUAGCGAGGUUAUGGGUAGAAAAUUAUAUACACAUUAGAAAUAGGAAAGAUAACAAUUAAUCAAUUGGAUAUGUAUACGUUGAGAAAUCGGCGUCCUGAACUUGACACCGAUGUACUAGAAAUGGCACCAAAGUAGUGUGCUACUACUUUUUUUUAGACCCUUACCCACAUUACUUCGAAAAGAUAUUCGUACUGAUACCAAUGCGGGAGAUCAACUCUCUACGAAGAAACUCAAACAUUUAUUCACUAUAUACCAGACUUACUUGCACACUCUUUGUGUAGCUAUCCUACCAUGACACCACUAUACUACAUGGCUACCUUGCAAUCUUGUAUGAGACAUCUUAUGCUAUGGUAUGGCUAGGAGGGAGGGGAAGCUCAUGAUCAUUGUGGUGUUGCCAUGCGGCAACUUCCACAUUUUUCCAUACAAAAUAUCGUAACUCUAGAACCCUCCUCAUCCUUAUCUAGUUUCUUAUAUUUCUACUAUGCUAAAAUAUCUAGUUUUAAAGUAUUCUACACUUCACCAUGAGCAUGACAACUAUGACUUAUGCAUUCUCUCCAAUUUUCUAGAACCUUCUUAGCUUGCCAUGAUCUUAUCCCUAUACAUGGCAAAGUUAGUCUCUUGAGAUCUUCACAAUCUUCUAGAAUGUUUGUAUACAUUACAUAUUUCUACAGUAUAUAUGUGUAGUAUAAAGUUAAUUAUUCAUGGGAUAUAGGUUGGAUUGGGAAGAGUAAGGAGUUGAUAAUAAUUAUUUGAAUUUCCAUGUGAACAAGAAUGGAUUUACCCGUACCCUCCUGAUAGCAGGCCUAGUCAAAAGGUGGCGAAGCACACAUGGGCAGAGAGGCAGGCAUGCACGAGCACGAUAUGAUGCCAUGAUGGGAGGAACAUCUCCAUUCUCCAAUGCUGUGGAAAAGAAAAACAAGAAAUGAUGAAGACGAAGGAAAGUAGAGCUCUGGCACGUAGCCCGGGGAGGGGAGCACGAUCGAGCCGGCCAGUUGUGCACAUCAUCACUCCAUGCCGAUGUGGCGCCGCGACACAGAGAAUACACGUUGGUUUGGGAUAGUGGCGACUGGCGAACCGCGGUAGGAUCAUGUCCUGAAGCUAGUUUUGUUUGUAACGUCGUCUCGCGUGCACGUACACUUUAGCUGCACCGGCCGAGAGGAUAAAAGAGGAUCGGAGAGCGACGCGCCAUUAGCAAAAACAAACCAAACUCUCCUGCCGCGUUCGCAUACCGCUGCUGACCCCGGAGAAUCAUUCUCGCCGGUGAGGUUUGCCCGUCCUUCUCAGCCUCACCUCGCGGCCCCACCUUCCUUCCUUCGCCCCGACGUCGACGCUGCCGACUGCCAAUCACCACGCCAAGUUAUAACUAUCUUAAACAAAUCCGAUUCCCAGUAGAUUACUCCUCCUGACACGUCGAGCUAAUUAACUCACCGCUAAUCCAAGUCGUCUUCGGCUUGAGCCCGCCGGCGCGCGUGACCCACGCGGGGCAAUUCCAAAACCAACCGGCCGCCGCACGCGAUCCAGCCAGCCGAGGCCGACCCGGCGGGCAACCUGGCUGAGCGGCUGGCUUGGCCCCAGACCCCAGAGCCAACCGCAUAAUUAACGCCCGCUCACCCGCGACAAGCUUUUUUUUCUUUAUCGCUGCUCCGCUCCGGCCCUUCCCUUCCUUCCUCUACCUGCCCCCAGCGAGUGAAUUCCGGAAUCCCCCCAAUCAAUCCGACGCCACACACACGACACGAGAGAGAGGCGACGCGGCGGCCUCCCCCAAUUCCCAAUUCCCCUCCGCAGGGACUCGGCCGGCCGGGACCCCGAUUCGAUUUCGAGCCCCCGUCGGAUUCGCCCCCAGCUCCUCCUCCUCCGCCGCCGCCUCGAUUUUCGAGCCGCGGGAGUCGCACCUGCCGAUCGGCCGGUAGGCAGGGCAGCAGGGGGAGGGGAGAAAAAAAAAAGGAGGAUGAGCUUCCAGGACCUGGAGGCGGGCAACGUCCGCGGGGCGCCGCUGGGCGGCGGGCGGCGGAACGGCCGUGGGGGCCCCGCGGCGGCGGGCGGCGCCGGCGCGUCGCAGGCCGUCGCGUCGGGGGUCUUCCAGAUCAACACCGCCGUCGCCACGUUCCAGCGCCUCGUCAACACGCUCGGCACGCCCAAGGACACCCCCGACCUCCGCGACAGGAUGUGCGUCCGCCCUACCUACCUCCCCCCCCCCCCCCCCCCCUCCACGAAUCUGUGGUUUGGCCCUCGAGUUCGAUCGAUUCGGUUCCGCGGACUCGGUCAGCGCUGCUCCCGAUCCGUGUGCGGAGUCGAUUUAGGUUUUCGGCUGAUGCGUCGACGCUGGCUUCUAAGGGUUGCUUAGGGAUUAAUUUUCCUGUAUUUUUUUGUGAGAUUGCUUACGUGUUCAAUUUGCCAACUCCACACGUUACCCAUUCCUUAUUCGUGAUUUGGCUGGUAGCCUUCUUGGAGGUUGAAUAGGGUGAAUCACGCCAUAGGGUGUAGUACCCAAAUAAUUUCAGGGCCUGAAAUCAAUUCCUAUGAUGUCCUUUCAUAUGGAAUUUUACAGGAUUUAGCUCACAUCUAAUUCACGCCGUGUUGUUUUCGUGAAAUUUAGUUUUAAAAUUUUUAGUUAAGCUCUAGUGCCUUAAGCUUUAUUUUGCAGACUCUAGGUCAGGCAAGUUUGCUUGCAAGUUGAAAUCGUUUUGAUGUGUCAGCUAACUAUAAGUUGGUGUUGCUCGCAGACAUAAGACACGGCAACACAUAACACAACUAGUGAAGGAUACAUCGGACAAGCUUAAACAAGCUAGUGAGGCGGAUCAUCGUGUUGAAGUCAGCGUAUGUGCCUAUCUCUACAUAUAACUUUUUGUUCAUUUGAAUGGUACUGUUUUGUUCUGUUUUAUGGCCUGAAGCAUUUCCACAUUCUAUUUUCCUCCUUUACCAAGAUAUGAUGGGAUUGGGAACCAUGCUCUUUUCGCAUUGUUAAUUUCAUGGUUUCAUAAUGUAGCCUUGGUGUUUGCCUCUAGUUUGGGAAUAAAUUGAGCAAAUAUUUCAUGUUUAUGUAGGCUGGUUAUUAUGCAAUACAUUUGAUGCUGCACUUUGAACUAAAACCUGCAACAACAUCAAAGCCUUUCCAGUUCCAAGCAAGUUGAGGAAGGCUAGUGAUGAAACACAACAUGAGCCACUAACAAAAUAGAGCAAUGCAUAAAAUCUAAAAAGGCCUUAAUAAUAGCCAUAUUACUGGGGGCUCUAGCCUAGAUCAUGUCUCAAGCACGUGGAUUGCUGAUUUCCACGUGUUUUUAUCCAAGGACAAUUGUUUGGGUAUAUUUCACCCCUUCGAGUCCCUUUUACUGUCUCUCCCCCAUUUUAACUUAGAUCGGCCCUUGCCUCUCCAUAUAUUGUUGUCGUGCCUUAGGAUUCCGCUGUGGACUAGUGCCUCUGGAGGCCUGUGUGGCGUAUGUUUGAACCAUCUCAAUUGGUGUUGGACAAGAUUUUAUUGAACUGGUGCUACCCUAGCUUAUCACAUAUAUCAUUGUUCUGAAUUCAAGCUAAUACAACGACAACAACGACAUAGCCUUUCAGUCCCAAGAAAGUUGGGGUAGGCUAGAGUUGAAACCCAACAAGAGCCACAAAUCAGGGUUUGGGCACAUGAAUAGCUGUUUUCCAAGCACUCCUAUCCAGGGCUAAAUCUUUGGGUAUAUUCCAUCCCUUCAAAUCUUCUUUUAUUGCCUCUUCCCAUGUCAAUUUUGGCCUUCCUCUACCUUUCUUCACAUUACUAUCACGCCUUAGGGUUCCACUACGCACCGGUGCCUCCGGAGGCCUUCGUUGGACAUGUCCAAACCAUAUCAGCUGGUUUUGGAUAAGCUUUUCUUCAAUUGGUGCUACCCUAACCUAUCACGUAUAUCCUCAUUCCGGACUCGAUCCCUUCUCAUAUGACCACAAAUCCAACGCAACAUACGCAUUUUUGCAACACUUAUCUGCUGGGCAUGUCGUCUUUGUGUAGGCCAACAUUCUGCACCAUGCAACAUUGCAGGUCUAAUCGCCGUCCUAUAAAACUUGCCUUUUAGCUUCAAUGGUACCCUCUUGUCAUAUAAAAAUCCUGAUGCUUGGCGCCACUUCAUCCACCCCACUUGAUCCUAUGACUAACAUCCUCAUCAAUAUCCCCAUCUCGUUGUAGCAUUGAUCCCAAAUAUCGAAAUGUAUCCUUCCUGGGCACUACUUGGCUUUCCAAACUUGACAUCUCCCUCCUCAUGUGUAGUAGUGCUAAAGUCACAUCUCAUAUAUUCAGUUUUAGUUAUGCUGAGUCUAAAACCUUUUGACUCUAGGGUCUCCUGCCACAACUCCAGUUUCCUAUUUACUCCUGCUCGACUUUCAUCAACUAGCACUACAUCAUCCGUGAAGAGCAUACACCAAGAGAUAUCCCCUUGAAUGUCCCUUGUUACCCCAUCCAUCACCAAGGCAAAUAGAUAAGGGCUCAAAGCAGAUCCUUGAUGCAGUCCAUUCUAAUCGGAAAGUCAUCUGUGUCGUCAUCACUUGUUCGGACUCUAGUUACAACAUUGUUGUACAUGUCCUUAAUAAGUCCAACAUACUUCGUUGGGACUUUAUGUUUGUCCAAAGCCCACCACAUAACAUUCCUUGGUAUUUUGUCAUACACCUUCUCCAAGUCAAUGAAAACCAUGUGUAGGUCCUUCUUUUUCUCCCUAUACCGCUCCAUAACUUGUCUUAUUAAGAAAAUAGCUUCCAUGGUUGAUCUUCCAGGCAUGAAACCAAAUUGGUUCAUAGAGACCCGUGUUAUCCUUCUCAAACGAUGCUCGAUAACUCUCUCCCAUACCUUCAUAGUAUGGUUCAUCAACUUAAUUCCUUGGUAAUUAUUACAACUUUUAAUAUAUCCCUUAUUCUUGUAUAUUGGUACCAGUAUACUUCUCCACUCUUCCGACAUUUUGUUCGACCGAAAAAUAUGGUUGAAUAACUUGGUUAGCCAUACUAUGGCUAUAUCCCCGAGGCAUCUCCAUACCUUAAUUGGGAUACCAUUCGAGCCCAUCGCCUUACCACUUUUCCUCCUUUUCAACGCCUCUCUAAUGUCAGAUUCUUGGAUCUUCCGCACAAAGUGCCUGUUGGUGUCAUCAAAAGAAUCAUCCAACUACAAGGUUGUGUUCUCAUUCUCACCGUUGAACAAUUUGUCAAAAUACUCUUGCCAUCUAUGUUUGAUCUCAUCCUCCUUUACCAAGAUGUUCUCGAUUUCAUCCUUGAUGCACUUAACUUGGUUGAAGUCUCUCGUCUUUCUCUCACGAACCUUAGCCAUCCUAUAGAUGUCCUUCUUUCCUUCCUUCGUACCUAAUCGUUGGUAAAGAUCCUCAUACGCCCUACUCUUUACCACACUUAUAGCUCGCUUUGCGAUCUUCUUUGCCUCCUUGUACUUCUCUAUGUUGUCCACACUCCUGUCAUGGAACAAGCGCCUUCUGAAUUCGAGCUAAUAAAAUAAGAAAAAAAUUUGAACAAUUAAAUUACUUCUCCUGAAUAUCCAACUGACUGAUUAAUUUCUUAUAACACACUCUAUUUUUCUUUGCCAAAUAAGCCAGCAAACGUUGACAUUUCUGCGGCACUUGCUGAAUAUGUUACCUUUUAGUAGGCCAAAACUUGCAGCACAGACAUUUAUGUUCUUCAUUGCUACACAAGAAGGGAGUAACGGAACACAGACAACUCAUGUACUCUGAUUGGGAAGAUCAAAUCUAUUAUGCUGUGUUUUGUUUUAUGUAAUUUUUCCAUUAGUAACAGGAAUUUAGAUGAAUUUCCUAUGUAUCUGUAGAAGUUUUCUUCACUAUUGCAACAUACUUCAAUGUUCAUAUUAUGGCAUGAAUUCAUAGUGAUACAAGAUGCAGCAAGAUCUUAGAUUUGCAUUUAAGAUGAGUCCUAUAUCAGCUCCUGUGUUUAAUGUUAGUCAUUUAGUUACCUAUGCUCAUAUCUUCAUUACUUGGGGAAAAUUUGUUUUCCUCAUGUGCUGCUAGUUUGUCUAAAUACAAAUUGUGUUUAUGGCAUCAUAUUAAACUGCAGGCUACCAAGAAGAUCGCUGAUGCAAAGCUAGCUAAGGAUUUCCAAGCAGUCCUAAAAGAAUUCCAGAAAGCUCAACGGUUAGCAGUAGAGAGAGAAGCUGCAUAUGCACCUUUCAUUUCUCAAGCGGGCCUGCCACAGAGGUAAUUUGCUGCUCAGAAUUUUCUGCGCUGGUGCCACAUGCUACUGUUUUAUUUUUGCAUUACUACAGGGAUUCUUCUUCUUUGAGAUGAAAUGACUGCCCUGUAGCUUUUUGAUUUGUUGUUCGUUUCUACCCUUCUUGGUAGCCUGUAAGAGUAGAAUUCCUGAAAACUAUUAUCAUGCCUCUGUUGUAAUAACAAAAAGUCCAAUGAAUUUGGAGUUAGUGGUCCGAUUCCUGCUGUCUUGACUUUCUGGCUUCCCUUAUGCCUUCCUGGUGGGUGGCUGAUCUAGAGAUGGCCCGAUACUUCGAUUGUUGGUUACUCUAGAAAUGGUCAAGGAUUUUGCGAGCCAGUUGCUAAGUGCAAUAAGAUGCCUAUUAACAUCAUAACAUCACAAAGAUACUUAUUGGAAAUUGAUUUAAUUGUAGUGAACCUUUCUUGACUCCUUUCAGGACCUCCUGAUCGUAAAUUUCAGUGCAAGGUUACUCAUCGAUUGAAAAUUAAUCCAACCUGCCAUUAACCUAGAAUAUCAGUUAUAUUCUGUUCUGAGAUGAGCCCUUAAAUUGAAUAAUUUCUGCUUAAUAUAAGUCUAAUUGCCUCUUAUGGAAAGAAGUUUGGUUCACUGCCAUAUUUUGCCACAACAAAGUUAAGCUUGUUUGACCUAGCACACUAGCAUUUGGUUGGUUCAUGAUUGCAGCCGUGGCUUGCAAGGCCCUGAGCCCUGCUUCCAUAAUCUCAUUUUCUAGCUGGGAAUACUUCUGUUGCAAGAAGUUAGGGAAAAUGUGGCGGUCUUGAUUUCACAUGAUAAAAUAUUCGGUAAUGCUACAGAACAGACAUCCAAAAUAUUAAAAAAAAAUCGAAUGGCUCGACAUGUGUUCCAGUAUUUAAGCAUCGAUGUUGCAACUAUUGUUUCCGCAUGUUUCAUAGUGAAUGUUGCAUCAAACAUAGUGUUCAUGUUGCGGCGAGAAUUUUCUAUCCCAGAACCGAACGCCGUAGUCAUUUUUCUUGCGUAGUUUAUUUUAGUUGGCUCUUCAAGACACUGUAAGCUAUGCCUUCUGACAUUAUUUCCCCUUCAUGUUACUAUACCUCUCUUUGCAAUAAUUUUCCUUCUAUAGUUUGCGAACUCAAUAAGUUUUAACCAACCAUUGCUUCCUUUUCUUUUCGUUUGCCUUAGUUUAUUUCUAAAGCAGUUUAAGUCUAUUGCCACCAUAUGCCUAACCUAAGAGUGACCAUUUUUUUGCAGCUACAACUCAAGCGAGGUGAAUAAUGGCGCUGAUAAAUUGGCUGAACAGCGCACGCAGCUUCUAGAAUCUAGAAGGUAAGUUGAUUAUGCCUGUUGUGUUGUGGAACAACUUAUUUUGUACAGGUUCUGUCGAGUUUUGUGGAUCUAUUUUGUAUAGAUGUCUUUGUUCAAGCCGUACUUUGGAGAUAUCUAUUCCUUGAUGUACAGAUGCUUGGAUAACCCAUUCAGCCUCCAUUUGGAUGUCAAGAAUGAGCCUUUCCCCCUUAAAAAAGGGUCAUCUUUCUGAAUAUGUCAAGGUGCUAAUUUUAUACCUUUGAUUUACCACAGGCAAGAGCUUGUCUUCUUGGAUAAUGAAAUUGUGUUCAAUGAGGCCAUCAUCGAGGAGAGGGAUCAGGGAAUACAAGAGAUUCAGCACCAAAUUACUGAAGUAAACGAAAUCUUCAAAGAUCUUGCUGUGCUAGUCCAUGAUCAAGGAGCAAUGAUUGGUACGUGACCUGUUGGGCUGACAGAUGAUAUAUCUGCAUUUCAAUAUGUUCAAAGCAUAGGUCUGCCUGUUUCCCCGUCUAAUUCUGUUUGUCUUGUGCUGCAGAUGAUAUUGACUCACACAUAGAGAAUGCUGUUGUAUCAACUUCGCAGGCAAAAGGCCAGCUUUCGAAAGCUGCUAAAACUCAGAAGUCGAACUCUUCACUGGUAAUUUCGGGAGCCCUUUGGACUUCAUUAAUGUCCUCCAUCUUUUUUUUUUUUUGAGAAACAGCAUCCUCCAUCUUAAAUUAUUUUCAGGGAUAUUUAUGUUGCUCACUUGGCCACACAUUCUUAUUCCCCCUUGCUGCAGAUAUGCUUGUUGCUGGUUAUUUUCGGAGUUGUCCUGCUCAUAGUGAUAAUAGUCCUUGCAGCCUAAAAAAGCUUGGAAGGCGCUUGAGGCUCCGAAAUCUGGUCAAGCUUAGCGCGAAGGAUUCCUUCAUAAAUUAUUUUUGCUGUGCAGUCAGGAAUGUAUCCUGGUUCCCGCCUGGAGGGUGGGUGGGGGGUUGGCGUUCUGGUCGUGGCGUGGUGGUGUACGGGGUGGUGAUGUGACUGGAAUGCAUCGGUUUAUAUAAGCAUAAUUUCCUGUCAGUGUAGUGCCUCUUGUCUCACAUGCUCGCUUUGUUUAUAUAUAUGUAAUGUAUCGACGAGUGCGUGCUGUAGAACAAGGAGGUUUGGAUUAUCUGUGGUAUGAAAUUUCUUGAUUCCGUGAGAAAUCAUUUGCAAUGUAUCAACUUGGUUUUCCUUUUCUUCUCAUUUGGGUGCGUAGCAUUAGAGGUGGUAUUCAAGGUCCAAUGUUUUCUGCUUAUUGAAUGCAAAGGUUGCAUUGGAUGCCUGUAACAUUCAGUUCAUGGGCUGGUUGGGCCAAUAAUUUGGAGUAGCAUGCAUGUGGCAUGGUAGUUAUGGAAGUUCACUUCCAAAUUGGAAGUGGAGAAUGAGUGAGGCCAACUUAAAUAGCUUGAGUUAACCCUUUUACGCGAAGCGAGCACGAAGCGUAAACAUGUUGCAGUGUAGGUGUGGUUCACUCAGUGUGCAGAGCGGGAAUGAGCCGUUUUCCUAGGCUGGAACGUUACAAUUUUAUUGGAUGAACUGUCUUCCUUGAGAUAUGUCAUGAUCAAUGCUUAGGAUUUAAACACACCCACAAUCACAACUAGUUGAACAUCAUCACAACAUAAGUAUAACCAUAUGUAGUCCAUCACAUUACAUAAAGAGGUCCAAGUUCUCAUCGAGUUUUGCAGCGGAAAGUUAUUUCAGUGCGCUCACACGAUAUAACACAAAAUAAGAAGGUUAACACUAUAUGCCGAUAGUGCCCUCAUAGCCAUGGCCAUCUACUUCUUCCUCGGACCUCUAUUCGUGGGGAAGAAGUACCCAAAGACGACAUCCGGCUGCGGAUCACCUACAACAACUUAACGUUGGCACCGUCAGUAAAAAGGUACUCAACAUGUCUUAUAGAAAAUAUGGGUAUAUGCUUACCCGACUCUAUAAGGAGAAUGCAUUUGGUUAAGUAGCAAGGAAUGGCAUAGAUAAUUAAUUUGCAUAAAAGCAUCUAAAUUUGAUGAAGUUAUAAUAAGCAAAAGACAUAGCAUUCUAUGAUCCCUAAGUCAAGCAUCAAAUAAUUGCAAUAAUUAAAUGUGAUUCUGAACGUGAGCUCAAUCUUCCAUGAACUCCAUUCGGUAACUCUACUUUGAGUUUCCAAACUCAUGAGCGUGCUCUUUGACCGGGAGCGUGGCUAUUGCAAUAGUUAAUACCCUGCAUGGGUGUACAACUUUCCCACAUGAAGCGCAAGACCAACAACCAUACCCUAAGUCUAGGAUAAGUGUUGAUUCAUGCCCCCGACCAUUCACAUACCCACACCCAUCUAUGAAUGAACGGUCGGAAUGGAUAGAUGCACCGGACACGACCAAUCACACCUCGUCCCCUCCCGCACCGAAUCCGGUCAAGGCAAGGUGUGACUUAUGCUACUUGACUUACAAUUCCCAUAUUAAGCAUGUGGUUUGUACUAGAUAGUGCUCAAGAGUCUAGCUACAAAGAUUGGUCCUUAACCAACUCAAACAAGUCUAAGCCAAGUGAGCUCCAAUCUCAACAUGGCCCUACCAUUCUUGCUCAAGUCCAGCUCAUGAUUCAAUGUUGAUCAACUUUUAUUUACUUAGCUACUUAGUAAGAAUUAAGCAUACAUGCCUAUAACUCGCGAGUGGUGACCUUGCCACUUCUUGACUUCUACCGAAACUAAGCAUGGAUAAGCAAUUAAAUUCGUGACACCUAUACAAGCAUACUCACCUAAAAGGCUUUAUUCUAGAUCAAGGAUGGUAAUGCAUCAAGUAGGAGCUAAGAAAACAUAUACAUAGUAUUAACUCAUGCACAUACAAGACACAUAUACUUCAUUGAUCCAAAAUAGGGCUAUAGGAUGCUUAGGUGCCUGCGUUGGGGGUUCAAAGGAAGCUUCAUCGGUGACGGGCUCCGGCUGAGCUCACCCUCCUCUUGCUCCGACAUUUCGAUCUCUAUGCGAAUGCAAUGAUGCAUAAUUAAUAAAAUACAUGAAGAUGGUGCAAUGAUGUAUGAGAUGCAUGGAAAAGAAGGUACAUGAUAGAACACUUAAAAUCCUACACAAAACAAGGAUAUAUUCAUGUCCUCAAUGGUAUAACUGUGAAAAUGGUAUUGCCGGUGAUUCCAGCGACCGAUUGCAGUGGGGUUUGAUCCCAGAGCUUCCUUAGGUGAUGGAGAUUCAAUUUUGGGUCAUAAAAAUGACAUGCACAAAGGUUUGGACAACAUGCAACAUCAACUGGAUUGAGCUUCCAUGGGAGGUUAAUAGAGAAGCUUCCAAUAGAGGAGAGAGGAGGGGGAAACCAUAGGGGAACCUCACCUAGGAUGGGGAAAGACGAUUCAGAAAGCCAUAGGUUGGAGUAGGGUGGCAGUGAAGGAGAUCGGCAUGAUCUUGCUUCACCGGAGUUGGGAAAGAAGUCGCGAAAAAUAGUUUGGCUUGUCCUUGUCUCGGGAGAGAUGGAGGGCAGUGUGGGGGAGGAGGAGGAGGUCGCCUCUGGUCUGGCACCCCUUGUGCCUACCACCUGGAAGUAAGCCCUCCCUCUUUGAAUUGUUUAUUUUUUUAAAGGAUGGACUUAUAGAACAAGAAAGUCAUACUGAUCACAGCCUGCACACUUAAUUGGUAAUGUGCACUCUCCCACAAAUGAAGGGCAAGUAAUAGAGUAGAUAUAUUUCUAAUGUACACAUCAACAAUAAUAAUAUUUAAGUUUUUUCUAAUGUAUUAUGUAAUAUGGUUGUUGAUACUUUGCAGCAGGAGACAUCCACUGAAGACUGUACAUGUUUACCUAGUGAGCAAAUAGUUGCCAAGAUAUGCUUGUGUUGUUCAGAGCAUACUAGUUGAGUAUGGCAUAAUUAAGUAGACACAACCUCAUACACUUACCUGUAUACCUACCCUGUAAUAUUUCUUUAGUUAACUUUAAUAUAAACUUAGCUACGUUGUGGCUGCAGGAGGAGGCACAUAUUCAGAGUUCUAUUCAUGAAGAUAAUGGUAAUGCAGCCACAAAUUUUUCACAAAAUCCCAUGUUGACAAACAUGGUAUGUCUAAGCUAACAUUGCAAUAUUGUUUAUAAUGAGUGAACUUACUUUAGUGAUGCUGUAUUUUGACUAAUAUAAUUUCUGCCUAUUCUAGAGGAAUCGAAGAGAUAAAGCUCCCAGUUUGAACUAGCCAGAAUCAAUAUGCUUCUAUUCUUCUUGUUUCUUUCAUAAUUAAAUUAGUUAAAUGUACAAAACUCUUGUCUUCAUGUUUUGCAAAAUGGUAGAACCGUUCUCCAGUCCAUCUUCUUUCACUAAGAAACAAAUGAAGAAUUAUGGCCAAAGCGAAGUUAGUGACUAUUGAUGGCAAACAAGAGAUUGGAGAAAGUAUGCUUGGAAAGGAAUAUGUUGGGGUUUAUGUUGAAGGUCUUGAAAAUGUUGACAAUAGAAAUAAAGGAGAUGAGCUGAUACCUAGACCUAUUUUUAAGAUUCGUACACUAAUAGAUGCUAUUGGCUAUACUAUACCUUGGUCUCGUUCACAUGUAAGUUUUUUUCAAAUAUUAAACCUACAGUAUCGUAAUAUCAUCAAAUUGUGCUAUCCAUCUAACCCUAUGCCCUGUUGCAGGUGAAGAAAGCUACAAGUUCAAAUGUAAAAUAACCUAGUGAUGUAACUUUUCAAGGGAGAAGUGAAGAUGCGAUGGAGAUAGGGGCAAGAAUGGGAAAAGAAGCGUAGGUUUUAGUUAGUAAAAAAAUUUAGAAAUAAUUGUAUGAUAUUGUCACUUUAUCUGUGUUUCUUUGUCAAGGCAAUUGUCUUGUUGACAGUACUUUAAUUAAUGAACAUGUUGGUUCUUGAAUGAAGUACUUAGUUUCUUUUUGGUGAAGCAAAGAAUUGAUUGCCAAUGCAAUGUCAUGGAUAAUUUAUUUAGGCAUUAUUAACCUAUUAGAGAAUAAAAUGAUAUAUUGGAUUUAUAAAUGCAAAUAAAAUAAUCAUUAUAUACACAUGAAAAUAGAUGUAUCUAUAAAUCGUCUCUCCAUUUCUUGAUACAUAAUAUGGUGUUACUAUAAAACGUGUCUAUAGAUGCGUAAUAAAAAUGUAUCUACGAUAUUGUUUUGACAUUUAUUAACACGCAAUUUGGUGUUACUAUGAAACGUGUCACCCGCCACAUCACCUGUCACGCUCUACUAAAUCGUCUCUAUACUAAUUACUGCGCAAUAAGGUGUCGUUAUAAAAAGCGUCUAUAUUAGUAGGCAUGUUUUAUAUAUGUAUCCAUAAAUUGUAUCUAUAUUUCUUAACACGCAAUGAAGCGUUACUAUACUACGACCACUAGAGAUGUUUUACACAUGUGUGUACAAAAUUGUAUCAAUAUUUUUAGAUAUGCAUCUAACGUAUAAAAUGUCUCUUUCGUUCAUAGCAACGCUUAAAUAAUUCAUCUCUACAAGGUCUGACAUGGUACAUACGAAGACGCUUCUAACACACUAUAUGAAAGCAUGCCUACAUUGACAUAGAGAUGAAAUAAAGCGUGUCUAACUCUAAAUCCAGAGGGGGGUAUUCUAGUAAUGCACAUGACCCUAUGAUAAAUUUGCCUCGCAUAUGUGAAAACUUGUUGAAACUCCUAGCAAAUGUAUUCAAUUACCUCAAUGGUGUGGGGCAGAAUGAAACUAUCAAAAAAUCAGUUAGCUAGCUACCACUAUGAAUCGCCUCAAAGGUCGCCAUGAGUAAACUACCAUAGACAACACAAAAAUGUGAUCCACCCCCAAAUCCACACCACAAAAUGGCCUAAGACUAGACUACAAGGCAUGGGAGUAAAUCGUAGAUGGUAGGAGAAAACAAGAGGACUGAAAAAAGGGUGGAGUACGGGUUGAAGGGGCAAUAAUGGACAGACCGUAGAAAUCCCCUCACGUCGUUGCCUUGGUGCUCUCCGGGUGGUAACACUAAUAUAUAACUCACCUUCCAUACGUCCCCUUUUGUCCCGAUUUAAAGUUAGCCUGGAACAAAAGUUUCACGAACCGGGACUAAAGCUCGGUCACUGGUAGGAGGCUCACCAACCGGGACCUUUUAUCCUGGUUGCAAAGUCUAGUGGAAAAAAAGGCCUCGAGAGGUCUUUUAUCCCGAUUUGAAACACCAACUGGGAUAAAAGACCCCCCCUUUUAUCCCGAUUGGUGUUACCAACCAAGAUAAAAGGGUCAAGGACCUUUUAUCCCAGUUUGUAAUACCAACCGGGAUAAAAGACUUCCUUUUAUCCCGAUUAGUGUUUCCAACCAGGAUAAAAGGGUCCCCGGAUGGCUAAAAAAAGGACGAAAUCCCUCGAACCCUUUUAUCCCGGUUUGUAAUACCAACCGGGAUAAAAGGGGAUUUUUUAUCCUCGUUGGUGUUUCCAACCGGGAUAAAAGGGUCCCCCACGAGUUAAUACAAAAGGAUUGCAUCCCCUAUAUAGUCAAAUAUGCUGUGUAGGUGGGAUGGCAAGGAAGCUGCACACGAGGCUUGAGGUCGUGGGUUCGAAUCCCACGCAUCGCACACGCGCAUAUUUCGCGUGAAGAAUCACGUGACUUGCGACGUGCGCGUGAGGGGAUCCCCCGGGAUUUUUUUUUUUCUGGGCUGCGCCUAGUGUGGUGAUUCGGGACAAAAGACCCUCUCUUUUAUCUCGAUUGGUUUAUCCGGAUAGAUUUUCGAGAGAUUUUCUCUCUAGUCCCUACCAACCGGGAAAAGACGAGUUUUCUACCAGAACGGAAAAUUGGAGGGUAACGAGUCCCAAUCUGAAUGAGAAUAAUGGAAUCAGCACAGAUUAAUGAAGAAAAUGGGAGAAUCAAAAUGAAAUAACUAAAAUCUCUGGAGACCCUAGCUAAUCACCAUCACAUGUUGCAUACGGGGAUCCCAUCUUCUCGACAGCGACGGCGCCGACCACCCUCAACUCACGUAUCGCGAGUGCCUCCUACGCGCCGCCGAGGCACACUGCACGGGACGUUGGAAAGAGGAUGCCCUGGGUGAGGUGGGCUGCGAGCACGACGACGUGGUGGUCCUGCGCCAGUUGCACAUGCGCCAGGCCUCCGGUGAUAGGACGUCGGCCAGGAUGUUGGUCGUCCUAUCGGAGGCAGCGGUCGCAGCCGGGUAGAGGGACCUGUUGUAGGGUUGAAAAAGUAUCUUGCGCCCGUGCCUUUUAUUAACGAUCGACGAUGGAUAGAGCCGGCCGUUCCCGGAACCAUAAUACGGCCAUACCUUAACUAACCAAGUUUUUAAUAUAUUAACAUCUAUUACUGGACAAAUAAUGCAGUAAUAAGAUAUAUAUAUAUAUAUAUUUCAUAAUGAUUUUAAUGAAAUUAAUUGGAUGUUAAAAUUGUUGAUACCUUUUCAUAUAAACUUGGUCAAAGUAUCAGAAAAUUGGAACAACUUUAACAUGAACUUUUUUUUCUUCUAAAAAUAGGACUUAGGGUGUACAACUUUAACAUGAACCUUUUCUGAAAAUAGCUACAACCAGCAAAGCUAACACAAACAGUUACCCAAAAAGAAAUAGGACAAGCUCGUCCGAUUGCUGACGUAAUAUAUCAUCUCACACGUGUUCUGCUACGUACUCUGACCUCGCUCUGCAUGAAGCCAUGAACACAAAGCAUCACGUUAACCCUAUCAUCACCGGCUCACACCCUGUGUGGCAAUGCAACAUUCACGUACGUAACAUGUGUUGCCAGUGCACUUGACUGAUACAGCCGUCGUCAGGCAUCGGACCACGUGACGGGGACCCUGCCGACGUCGGUGUCGAGCCCGAGCGCCUUCCACACGGCCGCCGACGAGUCGACGAUGUUGUCGUCGCAUCCGCGCGAGGAGUCGCACUCGUCGACGACCUUGGCCACCACGGACCGCCCGCCGCGGCUCGUGAUGCGGAUCAUCCGGUUGCACCGCCGCGUGCCGUCCAGCCGGAGCCACCCGCUGGAGAGCGCCACGAUCCUCUCGCCGUUGCUGUGGAAGUGGCCGUCGCAGGCCGACGCCCCGCCGCCGCUGCCCCCGCGCUCGAACCCGUUCACCGUCAUCACGGCAGGGGUGUGCGCCGACACCGCCGGCGAGUGGUGGCGGGCGCACGAGACCGAGGCCAGCUGCAGCAGCAGGGUGAGGACGACGACGGCCAGUAGUGGCGCGGCGAGAGGCUUGGCGUUCGCCAUUGCUGCUUGCGCAGUGUUCUUGCUCUUGCCUUGCGCUGCUGCGGUGCCGGGCUAUGUGCAUUUCACGGUGUUUAUAUAGCGAUUGCUGCAGGCGGCCCAACAAAGGGAAAACGGCGCGUUCUGCCGGACUUAACCAAUCGUGAGUCUCGGCUUCCUUUAACCAAUGAGAUUGUUUGGGAGACGUUAAUCAUAGAAGCAGUGUAUCUUCUUUUGGAAUUGAUUCGCCGGCAACGAUACGCGGUAAAUCCAGAUAGCGAAGAACAAGUCGUUGAUGGGGGCUGGAAUUCCAGUUUACAUGUGGGUGGUGUCAGAUAGUAGCUACUAGCUCAAAAAAUCACACUCUCCGACACAGGACAGGAACAACCAUGACAUCAUAUCCUAGGAGAUGGACGAUCAGCCGUACGUACGCACGUAGUUAAGCUAACUGCGCAUGUCUAGCAAACCCGACAUUUUGUUGAAAAUAUUAUAGCUUCUCCAUUCACCUAAUUAAUCAUAGUUCUUAAAACAAAUGCAUUUUAAAGAUUUUUUUUAUACAGAUUAGUAGUCAUGAGAAAUGACCUAAGUACCCCUAGACUAAACACCGGCAAAGGCUUGGGCCAAAAAGAAUACCCUAAAGUUAAGUUUAUUUUAUUUUUGGAUGUUAGAAAUCAGAAUAAUUAUUUUGGAAAAAAGGUAAUCGAGAUAGUAUUGGUUAACCUAAUAGAUUACUUUUGUAAACCAAAUAAUAUCGGACAAUCUAAUAUAUCAAUUUUAUAAAUCAAAAUAGUACUCCUCUAUCGAGAAAUGAUAGGCGUUUUUAAAUUGAGGGAAAGAUCUUCCACAGUUAUUUUCUGUUAUAAUAUGAUGCCAAUUAGUAAUGGCUCAAUAUCAAUCCAAAUUGACUUUUAAGUAUAAACAUAUUAAUUCCAAUUUUAUACACUAAGGGCGUAUUUGGGACUGCUCCGCUCCAAAAUCAUCUUGUCAAACAUCUCCCGCUCCAACUGUACCAACUCCAGAAAAAGGUGAAUCUGAGGCAACUCCAAGGUUUUUAGGGCUUUUCAAAGGGCGCUUCCAAAAAGCUAGUUUCACACCUUUUCUUGGAGUUGGGUGGAAAUUGCCCAACAAUGCCACACUAUUUACACAUACUGAUUCGAGGGAAAAAAACAAGCCCUCGCGCCUCGCGAUGUCUCCUGUUCCGCUGCCGCCCCCUCCCUCGCGACAUCUCCUGUUCCGCUGCCGCCCCCUCCCUCGCGACACCUCUGCCUCCGCCUCCGCAUCUCCCCUUCCUCCGGCCGAACUUCAUUCCACCCGCCGGCACCCAUGGCCAAGCUCAUUGUUGGCUGAUCCGUCGCUGCCGCUGCUCCCACCACUCCUCAACGACAAGCCGGGCUCCUCACUCGCCGCGCGCGCCAUGGACCCUCUCGCCCUCCUAGCGCUCCCGCGCGCCACGCGUCCCUUCGCCGCCACCGUCGCGUCGCCAUCACGUUCCACAAGGUGAGGUGCCACCCGCCUCGUCCUGUCGGGUCAUCGGUGUCGCGGUGGCGCCUACCGCCAAACGUCGCGUCCGCCGUGGCGCGUGAGGCGCCGCGCGCUGACGAAGCGUCAGCUCCCGCGAAGGAGCGGUUCGACUGGCUGGACCGAUGGUACCCUUUCGCCCCUGAGAGCGAGCUCGACCCAACGCCCCGCUCGGCAAGACGAUGCUCGGGCUCAGCGUCGUCGCCUGGAACGACCGCACUGCCGGCGAGUGGCGCAUGUUCGAGGCGCCUGCCCGCACCGCCUCAUGCCGACAGGGGUGUUUGGUUCCAUGGGCUAAAGUUUAGUUCAUGUCACAUCGAAUAUUCGGAUGCUAAUUAGAAGGACUAAUAUGAGCUAAUUAUAAAACUAAUUACACAGAGGGGGGCUAAUUCACGAGUCAAAUCUAUUAAGCAUAAUUAAUCCAUCAUUAGCACAUGUUUACUGUAGCAUCAUAUUGUCAAAUCGUGAACUAAUUAGGUUUAAUAGAUUCAUCUCGCAAAUUAGUCUCCAUCUGUGUAAAUAGUUUUGUAAUUAGUCUACGUUUAAUACUUCUUAUUAGUAUCUAAAUAUUUGAUGUGACAUGACUUAGACUGAAGAUCCAAACACCCAGAUGCUAGCUGCUGCCGCGAUGAAGAAGAAAGUCUAAAAAAAAAAGGCUAACUAACCUGAUGCUAGCUGCUGCCAAAGGUAAACUGUGACAGCAGUCAGCAGUGUACAUACUAACAGAGAGAUCAAGGUAAAGAGCAAGCAAAGCGAUCGAGAAGGAAAUUAUGGUCGCUGCUUUGGUUGCUGUCAGCAUGGUUAACUGAGAUUGCAGAGUCGUCAAAAAUAUCGGCCCAAUGCAAGGCAAGGUAGGGUGUGCAAGUCGCAGCAUCCAUCUUACAGGUAGAGGAGCGAGCGCUAGUUUCUGUAGCGACGUGGAAAAAAAUCACCUAAAAGCAAGAGUGACUAUUCCACUGGUUCCUACAAUUCCUAGACCUGGAUUUGCAUUCGGUAGCCAAACAGGUACAUAGCUCCCUAUUUUCCUAAAGUUGGUGGAGUGGAGUUGUUUUUUUCAAAAAGUGGAGCUAUUUUUUUUAGCGGAGCAGUCCCAAACAGAUCCUUAAACUACGCUCGCUUGGUCCACAAAGCAACUGCCCCUUGAAUCAUUUAUACUUGCCCAUUGACUUAUCGAGCCACAAUGACUUGUUUCAAUCAAUGGGAGAAUAUGAACCCCAACUAGUAGGGGAUUAACUUAAGGUGAUCUAACAAACUCUUAAUCGAGACAGAUCAAGCAUAAUUAGUGUGCCAUGUUUGUGUUGUACCUAUGAUUUUUUCCUCCUUCAUGGUAAAAAGAAAUAAUGACAACGAAUGCAGUUCAGUCGAACCGAUUCGUGAUACAAAGUUACACAAGAUGAUUCCCUUUUUUUUUCACAUUACUAUUCACCUCAAGGCUCAAGUUUUAUUUAUGUGAACAUGAUCCAUAGCCUAAUGAUUAUCAAAAGUCCAAAGACAACCGAAUGAUACGGCAGGCAACCCCUGCCGCCACCCCCUUCUCCCUUACACAUUCCUUUUGAUCUUUUACGUUCCACUUGACAGUAUUGUUAUUGCAGAGGGCAGAGCACAACUCAUGCAUUACUGAACGGCAUACACGUCAGGACGUCACGGAUACCAAGUAAGCAAGAACAAAGAUUUGAGAAACAGAAGUGCGAGACAAAAAGCAAGAACAAAGAUUUGAGAAACAGAGGUGCGAGGGAAAGGGAGAAACGACUUGACAAGGACUUGGGUCUUCGCUGAGCAGAGCACAAGAUCGGUCAGUCAACCACUUCCACUCGCACUUCAAUUCGAGCUGCGCUUCCCACUCGCACUUCAAACACUCGGAGCAAAGGCUAAUAAUACAGCCGGCUGCUUACUGUAAAUAUCUUUGCAGCCUACCUCUCAGCCCACCCAUAUACUAGUGUGCUCUUCAAUAUUAAUAUAAAGCUCACUUAUCUCUCUCACAAAGUUUCUUGAUUCUUGUGUCUAAGCGAUUUGUAAGUUUACAGUCUGCUUCUCCUCUCUCUCCUCUUCUCUCUCCUCCACAUCAGUAUUCAGUCUACUUACAUCCUGCUAUUAUACUUACUCGCAGUUCGGUUGCGCGUCUUGCUUCCUUCUAGGAAAUUACUUUACGGGGACUGGGAGCAAGGCAACAAAGGGAAUCACCCCUCUAUUAUAAAUGUCCACCCAAGAUUCAGGGGGUGUUUGGGAACAGCGUGCUAAACUUUAGCACCUAUCACAUCGGAUGUUUGGAUACUAAUUAGGAGUAUUAAAUAUAAUCUAAUUACAAAACUAAUUGCACAGAUGGAGUCUAAUUCACGAGAUGAAUCUAUUAAGCCUAAUUAGUCCAUGAUUUGACAAUGUGGUGCUACAGUAACCAUUUGCUAAUGAUGGAUUAAUUAGCCUUAAUAGAUUCGUCUCGCGAAUUAGACUCCAUCUGUGCAAUUAGUUUUGUAAUUAGUUCAUAUUUAGUCCUUCUAAUUAGCAUCUGAAUAUUCGAUGUGACCCUGCUAAAGUUUAGCACCUCGUAUCCAAACACCCCCUCAAGCAAGAACUCGAUACGCCAAAAACGACGGGAUGAUACAUCCAAGCACGGCGGCAUGAGAACGCGUGAACUGCAGCUUUGCAGGCACUAAACAAGGAUUUCCCGGAUGGCCGGAUCUACCUCACGCAUUCCUAGUUUCAAUUUCUUAGGCUCCACUUGGCAGUAUUGUUAUUUCACAAAGGAAUCUGAAUGGCAUACACUUCGCGGAAACCAGCAAGCAACUGAGCAAGCAGUAACAAAAGAGAGGUAGCCAUGGAUAAACAACGACUUGACGAGGACUUCACGUCAGGACUUUAAAGCAGGGGGUGUUUGGGAGGAGGGGGUUAAAAUUUAGCCCCCGUCAUAUCGAAUGUUUAGACACUAAUUAGGAGUAUUAAACUUAGACUAAUUACAAAACUAAUUACACAACCCCUAGGUUAAAUCGCGAGACGAAUCUAUUAAGCCUAAUUAGUCCAUGAUUUGACAAUGUGGUGCUACAGUAACCAUUCACUAAUGAUGGAUUAAUUAGGCUUAAUAGAUUCAUCUUGCGAUUUAGCCUAGGAGUUCUGCAAUUAGAUUUGUAAUUAGCUUAUGUUUAGUCCUCCUAAUUAGAAUUCAAACAUCCGAUGUGACAGGGCUAAAGUUUAGCCCCCUCCUCCCAAACACCCCAACGCAGUUCAGUUGCGCGUCCCGCUUCCUUCUAGGAAGGGACUGGGAGCAAGGCAACCAAGGGAAUCCCCCCUCUAUAAAUGUCUACCCAAGAUUCAAGCAAGAACAUCGAUACGCCACUCUAGGAGUACUUGGCGCACAGCUGAAUAGAUGGGCAGCACCGGCAAUGGUGUCGUAGACGUGGAGCGGUUGGGCCAGCAGCAGGGGCAGGGCGGCGAUAGCCUCCCGCAGAAUGAUGGCGGCGGCGGCGGUGGACAGCACAAACCCACCUUCGACGCGAAUGAGGUGAGCACGCUGCUGGUGGUGGCGACGCUGAUCACGGCGCUGUCGUACCAGCUGGGGACCAACAUCCCGGGCGGGUACUGGCAGGAUGACAACGGGCACGUCGCAGGCGACCCGAUCAUGCGGGACAAGCACCGGCGGCGGUACUGGCUGUUCAUGUUGGGGAGCUGGGCGGCGUUCGGCACCUCCAUGCUCCUCACCUUGGGGCUCCUCACGGGGGUGCCCGCCAAGUCGCGCCUCGUCCGGUACGCGUUCCUGGUGGCCUACUCCAGCCUCGUGCUCACGUUCGUGACGUCGCAGCCGCGCACCUCGCUCGCCAUGGACCUCGCCAUCUGGGGCGCCGUCAUGGCCGUGCUGACCGUCUUCACCAAGUACCUUCGCGUCGACACGCUCCCCAGCUGGGUGCGCUCAUUGUGCCCUCCUCCAGCCUCGUGCUGCUGCUCAUGUUCCUGACUUCGCAGCUGCGCGUGUCGCUCGCCAUGGCCGUGCUCGCCGUCGUCACCGCGUCCGUGCGCGGCGACAGGCUCCCUCAGCUGGGCGGGCCGCUAGCUUUAUCAUCAUUUCGCUAGUUAUUGAUCCAUAAGCUAGUGGUAACAGUGUGAUUUAAGUUUGUUUUGUUUUUCUUCUUUUUUCCUUUAUGAGUACUAGUUGUUGUUGUUCUGUGCUGCUGGGCGCUCAUUAACCAAUGAGUCUGUGAACUCUGUCGUAAUUUGCUAUUCAGUAUUUGUGUUGUAUUUAAAAAAAGCAUUCAAUAUUUCAGUAGUUCUGUUCCCAAAGGUGUGCAGAGAUAAACAUCGUUUUCAUCUGUGAGAUUAUGAUGCACUUCAGCAAAAAAAUAUUGCAUGAUUACCAUCGAGUCCUUUCACUAAAAAGUUGAAAUGCAAAUAUCCUUUUCCGUAAUAGUAAAAUGCACUUGCGGCACGCACGUGUUCAAAAAAUUUAAAACAUGAUUUACAUUUUACUUUCGUAAAAUAGACUAAUUAUAUAUUUAUUAAUCAGCAUAAAUAGCAAGGCCAUAAAAAUUAUCUAAACAUAUUAUUAAAUCAAGGUUUAAUAAACUAUUUAAAUUGUCUAAGUACUUCAGCAGAGCUGAAUGAAAGUACAUGAUCGCUUUUUUAAAACAAAGUGCAGAUAAAAAACAUGUGAAUGCCUUCUCGCUUUAGUUUUCUCUUUACUCCUCUCCACCUCCCUCCUGUUUCUACCUCUCAACCCUGUCAUUCCACCCUUAUCAUUUCUCAUUAUUCAAUUUAUUUAUUGAGAUGGAACAUACAUCUAUUAACUUAAGCUGACAACAAAUAGUCAACCACCAAGUCAAUUAUAUUACCAGGUAGCACGUGAGACCAUAAAUGGACAUCACCCGGCAUCAAACUCACACCCACACCAGCUAAAUAACAAGCGACUGGAGAAUUGCAACCAAGUGCCCCACUGAUCGAGAAGGCUAAACAAACAUCAUUUGUCACCUAGUAUAAGCACACCGUGUGAACUCAAUUAAGACACUUCUUUCAUUGGGUACUUCCGCCUUCCAUGACCAAGAAUACCAUCUCUAAUCACAACACAUGCCACAGAAUUCACCAGAAAACAUAAGAAUGAGGGUUUAGAGGAGGGCAUGUCUAUGCCCCAUCCCCAAGCCAGGACAUUUGAAUAUGGAAUGAGUAAAAUGGAGUGAACAGGAGAAGGACUGCAGGUCAGGCUUGCAUCUGAGAAACCCAUCAUAAGACUCCAGUUCCAAUCCUGAUUCGGGUUUGGUCGCUUACUUGUUUUGGUCGACAUGCUUGCAAGAGAUCAUCAAUUAUGGCUACCAACCUUAUCCUCCUGGCCUACCAUGUCAUGGGAAAAUUGGAUUCAGUCUAUCAAACAAAUCUGAUGAAAGAGGAAUAUCACAAAAAUGAUGGUGAAGAAUGAAAAAAAAUAAAUUUAAUUGUAUUGGGCAAAAUCAAGCAUCUGCACCACAUGAAAUUCCUUCGUACCACUAAUCAGAUCAACAUGUUGAUAGAGAUGAGUGAAGAAGAUGCAUAGAGGAGCGGGAGCCACGAUCCAUGGGCGCGAUUGACGGGCGGGACAGGUGCGGGUAUGCGAGCGGUUAAACAAAAUCGCCAGUGAAAAAAGUAGUGUCCAAACAGCAGAGUCAUUUUCUAACGCCCUGUUUUCACCCCUUUCCAACGCCCCCUCGAACUGCCAUGUGAGGCCUCCGUGAGAAGUACCGAGGAAUUAUUUUGGGUGGAAAACGUUUUCAAUUAUUUAGGAUCUUUAUAGUAUAGAUGGAUUCAUCAAUUAAGGUUUCUUUCUUUCACUUCCACAAAUUCAAGCGUGAAGACUAACUUAGUUUUAUUAGUUGUAGAUUGAUUUACCUUGUAUCGUCAUGCUUCUGGCCUCUGGCCGAUCGAGUUGGCCCACCGGGUAGCCGGUGCGGUGAGGCAUUUGACGACAGUUCCGCGUGGCGUGUGCUUGUGAUGCCUGACAAGGUGGCCCACUAAGCAGGUGCCCUUAGUCUAAGACUUUGUGUAGAGCAAGAUUCGGAAUCAUCACUGCUGAUUCGAGCGCAUCUACAAGCCCGCGGCGCCAAGCAAAACGAAGGAAUAGACACCUUGAGUGUUGGUGCAUCUAAUGCCAAGCUCUCACGAGUCACGAGCCCUGAGCUUGCUAUCUAUGGUAGUAGCUAUUUGCCUAUGAGAGUGCACAAUGGGUGGUCGGCCCCUGCUGCGCGCACUUUUUCAGCUCCGGGAAGUAGCCACAGCCCAGAGCAUCUCGCGAUCGCGCAUCCGAUGCAUGCACACGCAUGUGAAUUGCACAACAAGCAUGGCACAACCUCAUCUUCCUCAUCGCCUCAUGCAUCCAUCCGGAUUCCUCUCGUUUAUUGCUUGCUUGAGAACUGAGAUCUAUUGGUUGAGCCAAGUGUAUCUCACCGACACUAAAGAUGCUGCAUCUUUUUGCGAAUCCUGUAUCAUCUGCAGCAUCCUGCAUGGUCACUUAUUGAUUUGCUCCAAAGUUUAUCAUCAUGGACCAUGGCUGAACUAAGCAGUAAGCGCUUACCGCCUUAAGGAUCGAACCCCCUUUUGCUCAGAGCGCAAAAGGGCUCGCAAAGACUUGCCCAUCGUGCACACCUUUCUUCCACAACAAAUUAUACCUUGCCUCCAUUCGCACCAAGGAGAGCACGCGGAUACCUCUAUAUACCCCCACACACGCCUCGUGCUCAUGGCAACACACUCCUCAGCUCGCGGGCACUUGCAAGCUGCAUGCAUCUUCGUUUUUUUCAAUGGCGCCGUCUGCUACGAGUGCCACCAACUUCCAGUUGCUGCUGAUGCUCCUGCUCCUCGCUACCGCGCGACGCGGCAACGCCGCCGCGGUGUUCGCCGGCCUGUCGUUCGAGAGCGAGGGCGAGGCGGAGGCCUUCGAGGACGCGCUGCUUCGGCAGGCGUGCUUCAACGUCUCCGUGGGCGGGCGCGAGGCCUGCGUGUCGCGCCUCGACACGGCGCGGGGCGGCGCCGGCAGCGGGCCCGUGCCGGUGCUGCGCGCCGCGCUCCGCGACACGCUCGGCGAGGCCGUGGGCGCCGCGGGGGCGGUCAGGGGGCUCGCCUCGCUGUCCAACCACGCGCGCGAGGAGAUGGCGGUGCGCGACUGCGUCGAGCUGCUGGGAUACUCCGUCGACGAGCUCGGCUGGGCGCUCGACGCCAUGGCCGAGGCCGGCGACGGCGGCGUCGAGCCGGACGCGCCCGGCUCCGCAGCGGCGGCGCGGCGCGCGGAGGACGACCUCCACGCGUGGCUCAGCGCGGCGCUGGGCAACCAGGACACCUGCGUCGAGGGCUUCCGCGGCACUGACGGCCGCCUGAUGCGCCGCGUCGAGGCGGCCGUGGCGCAGCUCACGCAGCUGGUCAGCAACCUCCUCUCCAUGCACAAGCGCCUGCGCAGCAUCACGCCGCUGCGCCACGCUCCGCCAGGAAGCAACGGCACAGGCGGCGCCGCCGCUGACCCCGGCUCGGAGCUGCCGCCGUGGGUGAUGGACGUCGAGGGCGAAGGCGGCAAGGACGAGGAACCCAAGCCCAUGCCCAAGAGCGCCCGCGCCGGCGGCAGCAAGCCGACGCGCGUAGACGUCGUGGUGGCGCAGGACGGCAGCGGGCGGUACCGGACCGUCAGCGAGGCGGUGGCGCGGGCGCCGAGCCACAGCAAGCGGAAGUACGUGAUCUACGUGAAGCGAGGCGUGUACCACGAGAACGUGGAGGUGAGGAAGAAGAAGACCAACAUCGUGCUUGUCGGCGAAGGCAUGGGCGAGACGGUGAUCUCCGGCAGCCGGAGCUUCUCCGGCGGCUGGACCACCUUCCGGAGCGCCACAUUCGGUAAGCAUGUAUACAUGCCGUGCUGUCCAUCGAUCUUCCUUUUCUAAUAAUCUCAGCUACGUGAUCGCAAAAAAGCUCGCGGCGGCAGAGUUAUUGCCAUGCAUUACUUCGUUCCGAGGGGCAGGAUGCACGUGUUCUUCCGUUGAAGCAAGCUACCCCACCCAUGUCGCCAUGUCCCUGUCUUAACCUUUGCUUGUCAUGCGCAGCGGUGGCCGGCGCGGGGUUCGUCGCGCGGGACCUGACGAUCCGCAACACGGCGGGGCCGGCGGCGCACCAGGCGGUGGCGCUGCGCGUGGACUCUGACCGCUCCGCCUUCUUCCGCGUGGCCGUGGAGGGGUACCAGGACACGCUGUACGCGCACUCCCUCCGGCAGUUCUACCGCGACUGCCGCGUCGCCGGGACGGUGGACUUCGUCUUCGGCAACGGCAUCGCCGUGCUCCAGCGCACCCUCGUCGCCACGCUGCCGCUGGCGCCCGGGCAGACGGGCAGCGUCACCGCGCAGGGCCGGAGGGACCCGAACCAGAACACGGGCUUCGCCUUCCACGGCUGCGUGGUGGAGGCCGCGCACCCGACGUUCCUGGGCCGGCCGUGGAAGCCCUUCUCGCGGGUGGUGGUCAUGGAGUCCUACCUGGGCCCCGGCGUCCAGGCCCGCGGGUGGCUCGAGUGGGCCGCCACCGGCGCCGGGGAGCACGCCGUCGCGCUCGCCACGCUGUUCUACGGGGAAUACAGGAACUACGGGCCCGGGGCGGGCGUCGCUGGCCGGGUGAGGUGGCCCGGGUACCACGCGAUCGUCGACGCCGCCGUCGCCGGCAGGUUCACCGUCCGGCGGUUCAUCGACGGGCUCGCCUGGCUGCCCGGCACCGGCGUCACCUUCACGGCCGACCUGUUCAGGAAGUGACGACGACGACGGCCAGUGCGAAAGCAUGGGUUCAUUUUUUUUUUUUGGAAAAGCACACACAAUAAGGAUGGAUAUAUAGUAGUACCAAAAGGCAUAUUAAAUUUUUUACAUUUUACGUUGUAGUAUUGAUUAUUUUGGUGGAGUAAACUAGCUCUUUUUAUUUUCUCUAUAAAAUUGGCCGAGCAAAUGGGGCAGCCCCCCUCGCGUCCAGACAGCCAGCCGGACAGCUCAAAUCGCCAGGGCAGCCGGACCUGAUUCCUUUCCAGCUCCCACAAACAAAGUCCCCGGCUAAAACCCAACGGAGCGGCGCGCAACGGCACAAGCGCGUCUCGGCCUCGGGCGUUUCCUCCCAACUUCCAACACGACGCCUCGAUCCAGAUCCAGUCCAGGCAUUCCAUCCCCCUUCCCGAGUUGCAGUCUUCCCCCGAGAAUAUUCAUUCCACUCGCCCCGUAGGCGGCGGCCUCGUCCUCGGCUCCCUCGUCGACUCGUCGUCCUCGUCUCGCGCUUUGGAGCUGCUCUCUCCGUUCUCUGGUAAGGAAUCCCAGGCUUCGCUUAGAUGGAUUGAAGGAUUGUAUUCGCUUGGAGCGCGCUGCGCGCAGGUCGCCGUUCCGAUCCGUUAGUUCGUCGCUGUUUUUUAAUCUGUUGCGCAUGGAUCCGUCCAGAUGGUAGCAACGCCUAGUGAAUAGUGAUGCUGGGAUCGCUUGUGGAGUUGCAGUCUGCACUCUGUGCGUACGUGCAGGAUUUAGCCUGAUAAGCCAUCUGUGCCUAGUUAGUUCCCAACGGCAAGCCGUGCAAAAUUCGCGUGCUCUGGAUCCGUUCGUGUCCUGCUAUUCCCUUUCUUUGUUUCUUGGAGGCAGAGAGAAAUCGAAUUCCGAUUAUUUCUUUCUGGGGUGGAUGCUCCACUCUGUUUGUUUGCUGCGCGGAUCGCUGGAUAGCAAAAAUUUCCCGGGAAAAUUUUUGGGGGUGCAUCUGGAUCCCAGAAAACUGUAUUGAAUCUGCCCCCGGGCAGUCUUAGUCCUAUAGUCAGACUUUGACCAAACCCCUGCCCCUGGAUAGCAUUCUUUCCACAAAAAGUUUGGGGUGGUGCAUCUGGAAUUCUGGAUCCCUGUGCCCUCGGUUAGGUCUGCUGUGGUUAUCUUAGUCUGAUUGAGAGCACAAGGAUAUGGUGUGUAUGCAGAACCUUGGUCUGUACUCAUAACUAAGAGAGUCAUUGUGCCGUUUAGCAAAGGAAGGUACCUUCGAUGGUAAGCGGGCGAUGUGUACAUCGAACAAAGUGUGUCCUCCAAUUUCUUUUUUAUAUGAACAAUAUUGGCUUCAAAGGUGCUUUGAGGUGGCAAGUGAAUAUUUACUUUAGGACAUUGUUCACGAUAUAGAUUGAAAAAAACAAGUGUUUUCGUGGGCUUGUUGUAGCUCAUUUGCAUAUACAGAGCAAAAGGAAAAUACGAUACUAAUGUAAAUAUUUUUCCCAAAAUUGUUCUUGUUAAAAACCCUCUGUCUGCUGAUUGAAUUAUCUUUUCUUGAUCAUUUAGAUUUCGUGCUGGUCUUUUCUACAUAGUAGUUAAGCAUAAUUGCUGAGAUUUCGAACUUCCGUUAAAGCAAAGUAUGAACAUGCCUUGGCCAUAUUUUAAGUAGUAAGAGACUCUUGGAGGAGGAUGGAUGAGCGGAAUGACUUGUUUGAUUAGCUAGUUGCUGCCGCCUAUCAAGCCAGUAAACUGAUAGAGGGCAGAAGUCAAGUCAGGCUGCAAAGUUGGAGAAAUGGAUUCAUGAGCUUUUUUAUAUUUGUGUCCAUCUCUAUUUAAGUGCCCCCUAUGCCAUGGCAUACAGUAACACUUCCCUGAAACUUGUGUUAUGUAUGGAAUUUCCAAAUGGGUUCAUUGCUUCUGGUUUCAGUAAUCAUAAAACUCCAUGAGGCUAUGAUUUUUUUACCUGUCCAUCAGGUCUUUCAACCAUGAAUAGCAAAUACAAUAGUUUGCAUGUCAGCAACUUUUCAGUGCGUCAAUAUAAAUACUGUUACUCUGUUUGCACCCAAUUGCAUUCAUCACUUGUUAAGCUGCUUUUUUGGAAUCAGAAUAUCUAGAGACUGUACUCUGUAAUGUCUGAAAGCCAUUUGGAAAUUUGGUUCAAUCGAGAUGCAAUAAUUUUUAAUCAUUUCCAUUCCGUGCCCCCACAUGCAACACUUGCAACCUGAAGUUCUGAUCCCAUCAUUGGAUCCGUUAUAUACUUGUUUCAGAUGUUCAGAUUACCAUAUCCUGCUAUGUUACACUCUGAAUCUGGUAUUAUUAGCUUGAAGAAACAAUCACCUCAACAACAUCUUUGUUUUGGCAACGUGACGCUUUAUAGCGACAGGCUUACUGUUGAUAUGUUAUUUGAUUGACAUGUCCGACAAAAACCAUGCUAGUCUUUUUAUUUUUGGUAUAAUAUCCACAGACUGCUUAAACUGAUUAUGCCCUUUUUCUCUUUGCAUUAUCAGAAGCGCGGCAUGGCUAAGAUCAAGCCAAAGGCGUUGUUGGCACAAAGCAAAGUGAAGAAGGGCCCUAGCCAAAUCAGCGUGACCACCAUCUUCACCUACUUGGUCCUUGGUGUCGUAGUUGUGUCCUCCGUUUAUGCUGCAUACAAAUACUGGGUAGGCAAAGGACCAGCCGUGACAGCAGCCGGUGUCGAGGGGAAUUAAACCCCAACUAUGUAACUGAUUUUGUUGUUGUAUCAUCCGCUUGGAUACUUUUGGUUGUUGCAGCCCAGUAAAUGGAACAUGGAUAGAUUACAUCUUGCUACAGUUUUAUUGUAAUCCGAGGGUACAUUGUAUUGAUAUAUGUAUGCUAAAUUCCUUUCUCUUCGGUAUGAAUGCCUAUACUGGAAGCCUGGAACUACCUCAAGUUUGAGGUGGUAUUCUUGCUGUUCUGGGAUUUCUUGUUAGUAGUUGAACCGUUGAAGACACUGGAAAGAUGCAGUAUAACAGUAUGUUUAUUAUGGCAGUUGAAGGAAUCGGGAAUAGUGCUGUGCACAAAUCCUGAAAGACUAUUGUGGUGCAAGAAAAAUAGAUUUCUGAGCUUAUCCUAAGCUAAAUUAUCCUAAAUUUAGCCAAUUUUAUAGAAAAAAGGUUAAACAACCACCACAAUUAUAUCAAAGAAGUAAAUUAUUUUAGUACCUGAUCUAACCAUGCUCAUUUGAUAGUUGACAUCGCAACUAUUUGUUGUUCUUUUCUAUAAAGAAAUUUGUUAACCUUAGAAUAGUUUGGUUUAGAACAAACUCAUAAAUCCCUAUCAGGGUUGUGCUUAUUUGCAGCCCUGCAAGCCUUUGGUUGUGCUGCAGCCACGCAAACGCGUUGGAUUACAACAGCAAUUAAAAAACACAUAACAAGGAGUGUAACGUAGGCAGCUGAACGGCUGGGCUGCAGUUACCACUGCCUCGGCCUGCAGAUGCAACCGAAGCCGCUGUAAACAAGCUCAAGUAAAUAUAUUUUGAGACAGAAAGAGUACCUUGGCUUGUUUUGUUAGGCAUAUCGGUUAAGAUUUGAAACGUACCUGGGCUUGUUUUAUUAGGCAUAUUAGUUAGGAUUUGAAACAGUAUUUAGAAUUUUGGGUGUACAUUUUGCCCAUAAAUUUCUCUUACAAUCUAUCAUUAUAUUCUAUAAAACCAAAUGGCAUAUUAAAGGGUCUUCGGAAUAUGAAUCUAUUUAUCUAAACUUUAGAUAAUUUGACUAAUCAUUGAUCAAAAUUUUGACGUCCUUUGAAGGCGAAGGGAGAAGAAUAUUUUUUCAAGCGAAAUCCUCGUCACAGACGAGUGGAACGGACACACCUGUCUCCCCUGUUUCCAAAGUAGGCAGCCCCCACGCGUACGAAUGUCGCUGCAAUUUUGUGGGGGGGGCAUUCUUUCAGCUCUCGUGGGAUCAAUGAUUGAUACCAUGUAUCGUGACCCAACAACGUGAUUUCACAAGGCUAAACGCGUGGCGCUGCGUCGAGUGAUCCAUUCCAUCUUCCAAUCACAUCCUGUCACUGACUGGCGAGGACGCGAUUCAUCAGAGCAGAGCUAUUCGGGACCGGUGCUAGUGACGUUUGGUGCGCCAAACUCAUUGGCAGGAACAGGAUGAUGCAUUCUUUUUCUUCCUACCACGUCGUACUACUUUUGUGCUGGUCUUGUAGUACACCAUAUUCCAUACCUCCUCACAAGUCAAACUUUUGCACUGCAGACAGAUAAAGAUUUUAAACCUGGUCCUCAUCCCUAAAAAAAUGAAUGAUUUUGUUGUUCCGACUUCUCAGCUACUGGGAUUAUCCUCUCUUUUAUGUUCUUGCAAUUGCUCUAAAACAUGAGUGAUUUUUUGGAAGCUGCAAAGCUAAUACGACGACGACCGACGUAACAUCCACAUCCAACGUUGACCGUUGCCGUGCCGUGAUAUGACCGCCGUCGCGUGACGACCAGUAUUAGGGGCGUGAUACAUGACUAAAAAUUGGGCUAAAAGUGAACUAAUUAUAAAAUUAAUUGUAUAAGUCGUGGCUAAUUCGCGAGAUAAAAAUCUAAUCAUAGAUCUAUGAUUAAAUAUUUACUGUAGCAUCAUAUGAUCAAAUUAUGGAUUAAUUAGACUUAAUAGAUUUGUCUUCCGAAUUAGCCUUCAUUUAUGCAAUUGAUUUUGUAAUUAACCUAUAUUUAAUACUUCUAAUUAGUAUCUAAAUAUUUGAUGUGAUAGAUCCAGGUUCGAGCGGGGCCUUACCAUCUCGUUCCGGACUGAUGAUACCUACGCGUACGGUCCUUUUACGUGGAGUUCCUUUUUUUUUCUUCCGAAAUCGUCCACGCGUUUCGCUAUCAGCAGUAAUAAAACGGAGGAUAAAGAUUCAGGCAGCCUUUGCCACUUAUUCUCAAAAUCAAAAGGAGGAAGAAAAAAAGGAGAGCCAAACAUUUGGCUCUUCUCUUGGUGUGCAAGGUGGCUAGCUGUGCCGCUGUCAGCCUUAAAUCUCCAGCGGUUGACAUCGAUAUCAUGUACGUGUGUCUCGAUGAUAUACGGGCCAUACGGCUAUUGGUUUUAGUAGUAGGCACGUUGUGUUGUGUUCAAAGAAAAGAAGAGAAGAGAAAACUGAAAAUGGUCCAAGAAUGAACUGUGCCAUUCUCCGAUUGCCAAGAAUAAUAUGAUAUAGAAACUCCUUGUCUAGGAUAACGACUUCCGACAGGCCAAAGUAUACGACGAUGUUGCCUACUCAGUCGCUCCACUAAACUAGUUCCGAUCGAGUCACCAUUGUUGAAAGUUGACUGCUACGCUAUUGUCCGUGCACCAAGUUCCACGUAACUUCUCUGCCUUUGCUAGCUUUGGUGCUGUGAAAAUGGUCGAGUGCUACCUGUAACAAAUAUGCAUGUCAUCAACUAGGUCAUUAGCGGUCGUCGCAGAUACUAUGAAAUGGACGGAUCGAAGGACCAUGGCCAUUUAUACACAGAAGAAGAGGCCUUUGACAUGGGGAGAUACCAACAGACAGAUACCCAGCAGUUUACCCUCUAUGUUUUAAAUUGUAGAUGACCUACACUUUUUUAAACGACCUACGAUUUGGGAGGAAGGAAGUACUCAGGUGGGCACUUGGGUAGGCAAAGGUCCCAAUUAGUCGUAACGGAAACUACGCCGUACGCUCCACAGCUUCACCAGUCUGCUUUCCAUAAAGAUUAAGUAGGAUUAACGCUGCGAAUUAAGCAAGCAUGGACUGAAACUGCUGUCAGGUUUCACGAUCCGAAAGGUCAGUCUCGCCCAUUUUACCUGGUCGGCAGAAUAUACAAAUUAAAUGGACAUUGCUGCAUACGAGUCCCAUAUGCAAUUGACUAGUUCUAUUAAUCAUCCGAUCCUGUCGCAAUCAUGGCGUUGGUGAGCGACGGCAUUAGUUAGCAUGCAUGGAUGAGACGAGUCGCAUGGGUGAUAGCGCGAAUGUGCGAUACGUCCGCGGACAAGCAAGUACCGAAAGGUACACCACCGAUUAGUAGCGCUACUAAACUAAUUGCCUAUGGGUACAGCUUAAUUAUGGGACUGAUGGAUGGAACCCUCACUGACAGCGGCCCCAGCUAGGACGCAGCCGAAUUUAUUUAUUUAUUUAUUUAUUGGUAAGAGAAGAAAAACAAUCGUCUGCGCCUUGUGCAGACAGGCAUUUGAUUUGUUCAUCAUUGAACCAUGCAUGUAGCUAGCAGAAAAGUCAAAGCUUCAUGCAGUCGUUAGUAAAAAAAAAAGCUCCAUUAUGCAGAAACCAGAAAGAUAGGGAGAAGAAAAACAAGAACAGGAGACCUGAACGACUCGUGGUCCGUACGAGGUUGCUUGAUCCACGGCAACCGAGAGAAUCGUCGAGUCAUCAGCUCAUCACAACUCGCAAGGGAGAGGGUGUUCGAGAGGGAGCUAUCGGCCUGCGCCACGCAACCCAGCAGCGGCGUGCGGCGAGACCGCACGGGCGGCGCGGUCCAACCUGCCGACGCGCGGAUCCGCCAGGCGCCCAGCGUCCGCCGAAGUGCUUGGGAUCGGAGGACGGGGAAGGUCGGCGGCCCGGGACAGGACACGGAUUCCUCUCCACUCGGCUUUCGGCGAACCCACACCCACAUUGUAUUUGCGCCAAAGGAGACGUAGCUUUAUCCCUACUUUUCCGGAAGCGCACGCAGCUGCGUGCGGCGUUCUUGGGGAAAAAAAAGAGGAAGUGUUAGCACUGACGCGCAUGUGAUUAGGGGGUGACUACUGAUCACUGAAUAUUGACUAAUAAACGUUACAACGUUAGAGCGAGAGGUCUGGAUGUGGGUGGAAAUCAGAACCAGUAGAAGUCAAUGUCGUCCUUGGCUAGAUCAAGUGCCCCUAGGUUGCUAUGAUUUUCGUGUAUUCAUAACAUAGAUAUUGUAAAGCCACCGCCACCAAAAGCCGCUCUUCGCCGCUGCCUCGGUCCCCCUCCUCUAUCCCUCCGACGAGGCUGGUGGGUGGAGGAGGGGGAUCCGUCCUUUUCACAGAUCUAAUCUUUUAGUCUUUGUUUCUUUUAGGGUUGGUUCUUCAGCGUUAUCGACGCCACCUCGUCGAUGGCGCUUUGGAAUAAGGUCUCUCCGGCCUCUCCCUACCUCGAUGAAGGGCCAGUGAGAGUUGGUUCUGCUAGAUCUGUAGGUUCUCUCCAAAUCUUUACAGUUGAUGUGUCAAUCAGGAGAUGCAGUUGGCUGCCUUUUGUUGUGACGACUUCGACCUCUUCUUUCGGUUUGUUCUGCGACAAGAUCCGGUUUCUUCAACCCUCUGUGUUUGGUGGUGAUGGAUUGCAAGCCUGUGUUGCUUAGGGUGUUCCCCCAGCCGAUGUUUUUUCAAUGGUUUCAAGAUCUCGUUGUUAGUGGCGAGUGUUUUUUGCAGUCUUCAAAGUCUUGUAUGGCGAGGGUAUUGGUAGGUGUCAUUUUCCUUUACUGCCUUUCCAGUGCACUUUUCAAGCUCCGGUGGACGACCAACAAUCGAAAGAAGAAGACAACCAGAAAGUUAUUUUUUUAGAUGUCGUUUUAUGUCCUAUUGUUUUUCUUGAUAUAAAUCAAAUAUGAGGCACCUUUUGUGGCUUUCGGAAAAAAAUGUCGUCUUUGGCUAAUUGUUGUAUGCAAUGCCACAAGCCGACAGAGCAAGCGGAGGUAGGAAAGUCCAGGGACGUGGCGGUCAAAUUAAAGAAACCAUUUUGGUGAACAACCAUGAGUGGAAAAAGGAGGAGUAAGGUUAAGGAACUACUACUAUGAUGAAGCAAGUAGGGAUCAAUCACUGUUAGGUUUAAUCUUUUUUUGAAACCAGUAGUAUUUAUUUGUUUCUCGAUCGGGCAAAGAUUUUCCUUUCGAAUUUCUUUUUGAAAUAAAGAUUUUCUUUUUCUAAAAUUGAGCAUGGAGUUUUUUUGCCGUACUCCUUACUGGUUUGAGCAGAGUGGAUGUCAUGCUCAACAAUGUUCACUGUUGAUUUGCAGGGAAUACUCUGCGCUCAGUGCCUUUUUUGUUUUUUUAUUUUUUUAAUCGAACCGGGUAGAAGAGCUGCCUAUUAUAUUAAAAAGAAGAAUAAGUCCAAACCGAGCAAACAACAACGCUAGCCGGUUAGAUUAGGACAUCAACACGCGCCGCACAACAUCGCACUACUCAAACUCAACUCAACUACACAACAAUAUCGGCCGGUUAGAUUGGAACAUCAACCACACCGCACCAAGCAACUCGUUACUCAACUCAACAAACAUCAUUUGACCGGUUGGAUUGAGACAUCAACUCAUGCCACACAACAUCGUCAUCUUGCCGCAACUCCACCGCCGAUAGCCUUGGCACCUUCGCGGCAUCUCCAGCUACCACUCCAGUACUCCACUGGAACAUCAGCCUUGCAGCGCCUGCACCACCACCACUAGCAGCUCUCUCUCUCUCUUGCUUUUUUUACUUUUUGAGGAAAGGAAGAAAGAAGAAGAAGAAAUGACCCACCUUUGUGUAGUGUAGUUUUUUUAGUGUAGCAAGGGCUGUUUGGUUCCAUGAAUUAAAGUUUAGUUUGUGUCAUAUUGAAUAUUCGGAUGUUAAUUAUGAGGACUAAAUAUCUAAUCUAUGGCCAAAUGAAUGAACCACCGAGAGCUCGUAUUCAUUCUUUUUUUUUCUAAUCUGAAUUAGAAAUUUCAUUUGCUAUGAUUCUAUCUUCUCCUUAGUGAACUAUUUAUCCUUAAAUUAUUAACAAAUAAAAAAAUAUAAUUAUAAAACUAAUUACACAGAUGGAGGCUAAUUCACGAGACGAAUCUAUUAAACCUAAUUAAUCAAUCAUUAGCAAAUGGUUAAUGUAGCAUCACAUUAUCAAAUCAUGAACUAAUUAGGUUUUAUAGAUUCAUCUCGUAAAUUAGUCUCCAUCUGUGCAAUUGUUUUGUAAUUAGUCUAUAUUUAAUACUCCUAAUUAGUAUCUAAAUAUUCGAUGUGACAGGAAUUUUAGGAUAUCAUGAAGAACAAACAUCCCCUAACUUCCGAGAAUUAACGUACAACAUCAUCAGUUCAUCGCAGUCGCUGAAUCGCAAGCAAAAGUUGACGUUGCUUCCAUACGAGGCAAGUUCGUACAUACUGAUGUAACACUCGUUAGAUGCAAGCUCGACAUACGGAUGGCAAGUGGGGACAAGUGAUGUUAAUGAGUUGCCGGUUUUAGCAACAUGACUUUAGGUCUUUAGCUGCACCCUUCACGUAGUACUGCUUUGCUCUUUGAUGAUACCAAAUCAUUUGUUAAAGUUUCUUUAAAAACUGCCCUAAUACAAAAGAACCUUUCGUGGUAUGUGAUGUUUUUUAUAAACAUAACUCUCCCCGUCCUAAAGGAAAUGCAACUCGCUUCUUGGGAAGUCAACUAAUUUCAAAUUUGACAAAAUUUAUAAAAAAUAGUGCUAACAUUGAUGAUACAAAAUAAAUAUCAAUAAAUUAAUCAUAUACUAAAUCUAUUUGGGGACGUGAAUGCAAGUAUAUUUUUAUAUAAAUUUGAUGGAUCAUAGAUGGAUAGGGAGGGAUGGAUCAGGGAGAGGGAUGGAUCGUGGAUGGAUCAGCGUACGGUCCGGUCCUCCCCCCCCCCCCCGGCAGAGUGCACGACUGCCUGUUCCGCCUCCGGCUGCACGCCCCCGGGGCCGCAUCCGCAUCGCUGGGCCGAGGGAUGAGGAAACGACGACGAGGCACGUCACGGCUGGCAAGUACCCCUGCCCCCCAAGUGGUGCAUCAAAAAUCCAAGGGCUAGGUGCUGUCCCGCUCGUUGCUCACCGCAGGUGACUGCACCCUCCCCGCGGCAGCGCUUGUCGGACGCCCGAAAGGAAUCUCCUCGCCCCACUGGCUCACUCCUCUUCACACACGCUCGUGAACGGCUAAUCCUUUCACUCUCUCUCCCUAGUCCCUUCUGUGUGGUGGCCACUGGCCAGGCCUGGGCCUGGUCGUCUCAGCAGCUCUGCGGCUCUGCUCGUUCAAACCCAGAGGCAGAGGCCAGAGCCAGGCCAGCAGCGGCCAGCCCCCUACACCUACUGGCCACUGCCGCGGCUGCCCCCGGCCCUGCCGUGUCGAUCACUCCAUCUCCCGUCCACUUCACCACCCGCAACGAGAUUUUUUAAUUCCAAACAAGUGCGGUUUUUUCCGCGAGCAGCAACACGUAACGGACCCUCCGAUCGCUCCUCCCUCUCUCUCGGGACUUCCUCUCGCCGCGCAACGCAAGGCGGGAGAGAGCUGCACGAGACGACGUCCUCGCGUCUCACCAAAACGCGUCGGUUCCGCGAGAUGAUCUCCCGUCCCGGGGCCGCGUGGUUUCUAGAGAGAUCCAUCCAGCACCACCCGUCCCGUAGGCCGACGGCACCGCUGGCCCCCGGGUGGCGCAACAGACCCGUCGCUGUCGGCCUCGCUCGCUCCUUCUCCUCCUCACCCCGUCCUCUCCUCCUCCCUACCUGGUCCUCGUCUCCUUCUCGUGCCUCCGCAGCGGACGACGAGACGUGAUCCCGCGUGCGGGUUGCUCGCCUGACGCGACGCGCGAGAUCGUUACUAGCAGACGCGAGAGUACGAGAGGUGAAGAGGAGAGAUGGGGCGCGCGAGGGGUUGGUUUUAGCUUACCCAUUCUUUGAUUGGCGACUUUUCUUAGGUUCCACAUGCCAAAGCCGACCCCGCUUUUAUGGGCAUCAGCAGCCAGCACAGGGAAAAAGAUGAGGAGGGCGCGGAGCCUUUUCGGUUUUUGGGUGCACCGGCGCACCCGCUCGUCACCGUGGGCGCGGGGAGGGAAAGUGGUUGCAAGUUGCAACUUGACGAGGAAGCAUCUGGUUACCUUGCUUGCAGGGUGAAAUAAGGUCGGGUUUAGUUUUCAAUUUGGGAGUGACAGAAUUACCAUUUUGCCAUAAAUGUACAACUGUAGUGUUUCGUUUGUAUUUGUAAAUUAUUGUCCAAAUAUUGACUAAUUAGGCUCAAAAGAUUCAUCUCGUAAAGUACAACAAAAUUGUGCAGUUAGUUUUUAAUUUCGUCUACAUUUAGUACUCCAUGCAUGUACUGCAAGUUUGAUAUGAUGGAGAAUCUUCUUUUUGCAUAGUGUCAAAGUUGGGAGUUUGGAGGGAACUAAACAUGGACUAACUGAGACCUCUCGGAGGUUACUGCCGCAAGCUACGCGGAUCGAAGAUUUGAAGUACCUGGCCAAACAUUCUUGCUCUGAGAAAAGUUAAAACUUACACCCUCCAUACUAAAUUACUAUUCAUUUUAACUUUUCUAUAUACAUAACCUAGUCUAUAUACAUAAUUUUUAAUAUGUAUCUAGGUGCAUAAUAAAAUUCAUGUACUAAAAAAGCUAAAACGAAUAGUAAUUUGGAACGGAGGGAGCUUGCUUCAAAAAAAUGAAAAGUUAAAACUUAAAGUUGAUGAGAUACAGUAGUACCGGAAUGUUCCUAUUGUGGAAGAUAACGCGCUUGUUUUAAAGAUGGAAAGAUAAUGUAGUGAGAUCAUUUUAGGAAGUGUUUGGAAAAAUCCUAGUACCGGCUUUUUUAAUAGGACAAAGAAUCGUGUUAGAUUGUGAAUAUAAUCCUUUCCUGUCACCUCUUCUCUAGCAUUCAUCGUAGGAGAAUUCUAAUGAUCUUUGGCACCCCAUGCAUACUACGUGUUUUAGAUUAGGCUCGUGUAGAAUGGUGCCUAUUUUAGAACUUUUUCCGUAUCGUCCUAAAUCAAGGUAACGACAGAAAAGUAUUAUUGUCGUAACAUCAUCCCAAAAUAAGUGCAUGUAUACCUAACAUUUUUGCCCCCCAUAAGGGUAUUGAUUUGUAUCCUAUCAUUUAUCUUCAUUCAAACGUCAUGCACACGUUACUCCCUUCCUCGAGUCGUUGCAAGCCAAAGGUCAUCAAUCUAUCAGGUGCAAUGACAAAUAAAUCAAUUGUAGGCAACGAGGUUUACUAAAGGAUGACUAUAUAUUUUCUCUUUCGCAACAAUCUGUCUAAGAUUUUGUAUAGAUGCACUUAUUUUGUAUGGAUGGAUGGAGUAUAUAAAUUGAACAAAAUUGACAAAAUCCUCAUAAAAGCGAAUGGCAAGCAUAGUAUUGUUAUAGCAUCACUAAUAAUCAUAUGCUUGUAUUUUUGUUCAUGCUUCAGUUUUCACACCACGCAACACUCACCAAAAUGUUUCAUUUGUCUUCUAGAGCAAUAAUAACCUCCACAUGAAUGUCUUUCCCUCAAAUUGUGGUCAUGGCUGCCAAUCACGCACUUGUCCUUGCAUCUCAAGAACUGAUGGUAAUGCAUUGUGGUCCUGUAAUAAAAAAAAAAUCUCACUAGAAAUUCACACAAGUUUUCAUUGUGAUCCUGUAAUAAAAAAAACAUCACUACAAAUUCACACGCAAAUCUUCGUACAACUCCAUAAAAAGUAGGAAAGAAUAAGAUAUAUGUUGACCAAGCGUGCUAAAACAAGAUGAGAAAAGCUCAUAGUAAGCUGUACCUUAUUUGAAUUCUUCUCUUGCCUCAACUUACGGUCAUCCGUGCUUUUAGUCUAGAUUCAUCGAUGCAUCAUAGAAUUGGACAUAACUCACUUUGCUUUCUAACUCAAACUCUCAUAAGUAUAUGCUCAAGUUUAUUGCUAACAUGUACUAUACCAAAAAAUAAUAGACUAGAAAAGGUGUAUUUCACAAUGGAUCUAAUCAUGUUUAUUUGAUACAGUAUCAUAAUAAUAUUAUUGUUCUUUUAUAAAUCUAGUCAACCUCGGUAUAAUUUGACUUCAAAUAAAACCCACAAAUCAUGUCAUGUGGACGAAAAUGGUAGCAAGUACUCCACUAUCUCCAACGAAUGAUGGAAAGCGAUAGCUCAGCUGGAGGUCUACUGUCCACUCGCGCGAAUACUAAACAAAAACCCGGCAAAAGCCUCGUAAAAAUGGGCGGUUGGCAGGGUUUACCAGGGCAUCACCCCAUUAUAAUUUGACUUAAAAUUAAAAAUAUCAUAUCCUUUUAUAAAUUUAAUCAAAUCGACAUAAUAUGACUUAAAAUAAAACACACAAAUUAUGGUAUUUGCACAGUGUCAAGUAUUUUUCGUCAGCUCACCUGGAGGUCUACCGUCCACUCAUGCGGCUAAAUAAAAACCUGGCAAAAGCCCUCGUAGAAGCGGGCGGCUGGCAGGGGUUUACCAGGCAUCACCCCAUUAAUCACAGAGACACGUGACCCUGGCCCACCCCCCUCCCCGCAGUCGGUGCCGUGCGCCACUGCUUCCUUUCCCACGCCACGCGAGCGACCGCGGCCGAUCCCGAGAAACCGCGGAGCGGACGCGAACGGCCAUUCUCCAGCCUGAACGUGAACGGAACCAAUAAAUGGAAGCCCCCGUCUCGUGCCGUCCCAUCUCGUCUCGUCUCGUCUGCUACUCCUCCCCAAUCGCGCCGAACCGCCCCCGCGCCACGCGAUCUCUAGCGUCUCGCGCGCACGUCGCCCUCACGACCGGACGCCAGCUCACGAAUAUCCACCCGAUUUAAUCCCGGCCCCUUCGAUUCCGCCGCUCCCGGCCUAUCAUAUAAGCGGAUUGACCUACCGAUAGGCACAUGCGCUUAUCGAUAGGGGAACGUGCGUAUCGCAGAUAAGCCAGUGGUGGGUGGCGUGGGGAGAGAGAAAAGGGCGAGAGGUCUGCAACGCAUCGAAGAAAGCGAGACUAAAGUUUCUCUCUCCCUCCCUCCCCAACCUCUUCCACAUCUCCGCUUCUCUCUCGUCUCCGCCUCGCUCGCGAGAGAGAGGGGGGCGACGACGGAACCCUAGGAUUCGCGGCCGCCCGGGCGGCACAGCCACCACCACCCCGCCCUCCGUGCCGGGGGGCGCCAGCCGAGCUCCGGGGCGCGCGGAUCGAGCACCGGGCGCGGGUCCACGCCGCCGCCGCCGCCAUGUCAUCGCUUAGCCGCGAGCUCGUCUUCCUCAUCCUCCAGUUCCUCGAUGAGGAGAAGUUCAAGGAGACCGUGCACAAGUGCGUAGCCCCUCCUCCGUCUCCCUCUCGUCCGGUGGUUACCUGCGCGUGCUCGGUUGGUGGGUGGUUGGGAUCGAUCGGGCUCUUCUGCGCUUUAGGGGAUUUGAUUUGUCACACCGCUUGUCUUGUUCCCGCUUUUCUCUCGUGAUGAAUUCGGCCAGACGCGGCUCUGUUUUUCUAGGUCGUAUUCUUUUUUUGUUCCUGGUUCUGGGCUUUGAUGAUGAGUUGUUGCCCCAAAAAAGGUUUCUCUCGAACUCUGUUGGAUUUGUUAUGUACGGUAAAUUCAUGGAAGUUUGGGGUUAUUUCGGUCAAAACAUUUAUAUCCCUCCUCGUGGCUUUCUCCGUGAUAGUCGUUGUUUUAUUUAUUAAUCCGGUCAAAAUCGAUUUUCGUGGUCUCAGUUUUUCUUUUAUUCGCGAAAAAUUGAGGGGCGCAUUUGAAAUUGUGGAGCUUGCAUGUGCGGUUUCCUACACCAAUCGCGUGCCUGAUGGUUUUUUCUUCUUUUGUCAACUGGGCUGGGCUUCGUCUUCUCUGUCGGUUACUUAAUUUCGUCGGAACACAUAGAUUAGUGUGAUUGGUGUACUGGCGCUCUGGUCCCCUUGUCGUGUCCUGCGUGUAAUCAGUAACGAUGCAGUAGGUGGUAAUCUAGCUGGAUUGCAUCAUUUUGGACAGAAUUCGUGGAGGAAUUUGAAGUUUGGCCUCGCAAUUCGGUCUCUUUAAUGUGUUCUGCACUCUGCUCUGUUCUGCUCCACCACGUUAUGCAUUGCAGAACACACCGGGAGGUUUGUCAGAAUUGGACUGUUUGACUUCUGAGUCUUCUGCAAUAAAUGGCAUGAACUUGGUUAAUUUAGGAUCAGUUUCCAAGUUCGAGUCUUCUACAAUAAAUGGCAUGUAACUUGGUUAAAGUGAUUUAGGACCAGCUUUCCAAGCUCAAAACUUUCAGUGUGGUUGGCUGUUUGGUUUAUGCCAUGUUUUGACCACUGGAGUCGUGGGCUCUUUUGUGUACUCAUUCUGUUGACUGAUUGGAAAAGUUAGCAGCUCAUGUUCUCCCACACUCUUUUCUCUAAGAAUUAGAAUUAUCCGUGGUCUGGUCUUCAGUGUGUAUCCUAUGCCACAUUGUGUUGUAGGCUUGAGCAAGAGUCAGGGUUUUUCUUCAAUAUGAAGUACUUUGAGGAGAAGGUCCAUGCUGGGGAGUGGGAUGAGGUGGAGAAAUACUUGUCAGGAUUCACCAAGGUAGAUGACAAUAGGUAUUCGAUGAAGAUCUUCUUUGAGAUCAGGAAGCAGAAGUAUUUGGAAGCGCUUGAUAGGUACUGUUCUUUAAUAUUUCACUUCAUUUGAAAGAGGAACUAGGUUUUCCAUUCCUUUUUUUUAUUGUAAAAUUUACUAACUUCUCUUCUAUAUGUUCCAAACAGGCAUGAUAGAGCAAAGGCUGUAGAUAUUCUUGUCAAGGAUCUUAAAGUCUUCUCGACAUUCAAUGAGGAGUUAUAUAAGGAGAUAACACAGCUUCUCACUCUUGAGAAUUUUAGGUCUGUUCGUCUUGCUUUAUGUCAUCAUUUACUAUGGCAUCAGAUUGUUGGUUGAGAAGCAUUAAAUGACAUUUCUUGGAGCUUCUUAGACCUUUUAAGAUAAUCAUUCAAAAGCAUCUCCUGUUUGCUGCAUUGCAAUUAGUGUAUCUUCACAGGUGGUGAAAAUCGGACACGUAUUUUAAUAGAUCAUGAACCAUUAGGAAAUCAUGGCAAGCAACUACUACUGAUAUGUUAACUGAGUGGGCAUGGCAAGCUGGCAGUGGCGUAAAUCUGUUAGCUAAGCCAGAUGCUUAAUUGUAAAAAAAGUUAAGCUUUGUUCAAGAUAUUCAUUUGAUAGAUUUUAUGUUAUGCUGGUUUUUCCUGUAUAUUUUUUUAUGGAAAAUGUUGGUUGCUUAAAAAUAAAAUUUUAUUACUAUUGCCUCUGAAUGUUUUAUUCCAAGUAUUGGAAUUCCUUCUGCUGCUUCUGUUUUCAGUUUUUAUCUCAAAUCGACAAAUAAAUGUCGCUUUUUUUGCAGAGAAAAUGAACAGUUGUCUAAGUAUGGGGAUACUAAAUCAGCUCGCAGUAUUAUGCUGAUUGAGCUUAAAAAACUUAUUGAAGCAAACCCCCUCUUCCGGGAAAAGCUUGUCUUUCCGACUCUUAAAGCAUCACGACUACGGACUCUGAUUAACCAAAGGUUUGAAAGUAACAAUCGUUACAUUACCAGACAUUCUGUUUUCAUGUUUAUUGAAUUUGUGUUUUUUUUCUUUGGCAACAUGUGCAGCUUGAAUUGGCAGCAUCAGCUUUGUAAGAACCCUCGUCCAAAUCCAGAUAUCAAAACUUUAUUCACUGAUCAUACUUGCUCACCUCCCAAUGGAGCUCGUGCAUCACCGGUGUCUGUACCUCUAGCAGCUGUUCCGAAGGCUGGUGCCGCAUACCCACCACUUACAGCUCAUACUGUAUGUUUGCUUAAUAAUUUUCUGCUUGUGCAUGUCUUUUAUGAUCUCUUGUGUUUACAUUACGUGUUUGUUCAUGCAGCCAUUCCAACCUCCUCCACCUGGUCCAUCUUUAGCUGGUUGGAUGGCAAAUGCUGCUGCCUCUUCAUCUGUUCAGUCUGCUGUUGUAGCAGCAGCAUCAAUACCUGUUGCACCAAAUCAAGGUAUGGAUGUGUGGGCUACGUUUCCGUCAAAAUGCGUCUGGUUGCUUGUUUUGAGCAUAUCUGCGUGAAUAUAUUUUCUCGAUUUUCUAUCUUUUGUGCAAUUCAAUGGAUACAUUGAACACCAAAAUUUGUAGUGCAUGGUUUAGUACGCCUUGUACUUUGCAUCAGUACAUUCCUGAAACAACUGAACAUGCGAAACUUCAGUUCCAGACAUAUAAAGGAUGCUGCUAAUUUCUUGUAAUUUACACAUUAUUCAAUGAUGAAUGUAUCUUAUAUGCAUUAAUGGUCUCAAUCUUAUUUUUUUGGGUAUGCUUCAAUCUUAUUCUAUUGGUUGCUGUAUGAUAGCACUCUCUUUGGUAGUUUAUGCUGUUUGCUCUAUGGUUCGUGGCGUAGUCUUAUCCUUUUGUGCUUUUCAUGCCCCCCGCCCCCCCCCCCUCUGUAGUAAUAAGUAUGACAUUACACAUACAGCAAUUAGUUGGUAAAGCUUAAGCUCACAAAAGGGAGCAUUCAAUUUUGCUUAGAACCGUUUUGUAUGUUGUCAUGGGAAAUGUCUUUAUGUUGUCUUGUCAGUUAUUUGUAUGUCUCAAAACUUCACAUGAUGCAUUUAUAUUACAUUGUUUCCUCAGCUGUCUCCAUGUUGAAACGGCCAACCAUAACAGAUUAUCAAAGUGCAGAGUCUGAGCAACUAAUGAAGCGACUGAGGCCUAGUGGACAUGGCGUUGAUGAGGUAAUAUUGCAUUUUGCACUCAGAAAACAUGACAUUUUUAUGUUGUAUGAAUUUUAAUAAUCAACCAUGCUUAUGCAGGCCACCUAUCCUGCCCCCAUCCCUCAACCUGCUUGGUCAGUGGAUGAUCUUCCUAGGACAGUUGCUUGUUCACUGUCACAUGGAUCUAAUGUAACUAGCAUGGAUUUCCAUCCGACUCGUCAUACACUACUUCUAGGUACUAUCAAGAUAACUAUGCUGUUUGAUUAUCUUUAAAAAUGUGUUUUUCAUGUAAUCUGUGUGAACUCUGAUAUACACCAAUAUAUUGAUUUUCUUAUGUGUUUUACUCCACAGUUGGAUCUGCUAAUGGUGAAUUCACACUUUAUGAGAUUGGUCUGCGUGAGACGUUGCUUUCAAGGCCCUUCAAAAUUCGGGACAUAAAUGCAUGUUCACCACAGUUUCAGGUAUAUACAAGCUGAAGUCAUAGCUGUAGUUUACUUCGUAGUUCUAAUUGCUAUUUACGUGUACCUUUUCCUUCACAUGUGUGUGUGUUUUUUCAUCUUAUGAGCCUCAUUAUUUGCCUAUCCUAUUCCUAUGGACAGAAUGCUGUGGUCAAAGACUCCUCAAUAUCCAUUAAUCGAGUUACCUGGAGCCCUGAUGGAGAAUUGAUUGGUUAGUGUCAAUACUGUGCAUUUUCAGUUAAUAUUUUGGAAGGCAACAAUUUUCAUUUAAAUUUACCUUUGUGGUUUCAGGAGUCGCAUUCACAAAACAUUUGAUUCAUCUACAUGCUUAUCAACAACCAAAUGAGACACGCCAUGUUCUAGAGGUACUACAACAAACUCAUAUAGAUAUUUAAAAAUGUGAUAUAAUAAAUCAAUUGUGUUACAAAUUUCUUAUUCGUCAUGUCAGAUUGAGGCUCACUCCGGAGGAGUAAAUGACAUAGCAUUCUCCCGACCAAAUAAGCAACUUUGUGUUGUCACAUGUGGAGAUGAUAAACUGAUUAAGGUAUGAGAUGUGACUUCCAGGUUAAUACUCAUACUUGACCUGUCACCUUGAACUGCCUUUUCGUUUUGUAGGUUUGGGAUAUGCACGGACAGAAAUUAUUCACAUUUGAAGGGCAUGAGGCGCCUGUGUAUUCUAUCUGCCCUCAUCAUAAAGAGAGUAUUCAGGUGCAUUUCAUAUCAUGAACCCAUCAAUAUCUCAGGAUGCAAUAAUCUUUGCUGUUGAUUCUUUUUCUAUACCAAGUUUGACUUUGCUCCAGUUUAAAGUUACGGAAUCAAUCAUGGGAUUUCUACUUUUACAUAAUUGCACACAAUAUAAUGAUAUGUUUAUUCAAGUGGAAAAGAGGGAGGUUUGCAAGAGCAUGAUUUUAAAGACACAUAUUGAUUUUUAUAGUAUUUAUGGUACCUCCCUUUUAUUCGAUAUAUAACAUUUGUUCUAGAGCAUGUACAUAACUCCAUAUUGUUUAUUAUUAUGAAAUAUGAUGUUAUCAAAUUCUUGACCUGAUAUUUCAUCAUAAUUUAUUUGAUUAAUUCAGGAGUCUUAUCUAAUUUAAAAUGCUUGUAAUAUUCACUUAUUCUGAGAACUCAGGAGCCUUAUCAAAAUCAAGUCUUAUACAUGAUUUUCUUAUGUUUAACGCAGUUCAUCUUCUCAACUUCCCUUGAUGGAAAAAUUAAGGCCUGGCUUUAUGACAAUGUGGGAUCUAGGGUGGACUAUGAUGCUCCUGGGAAGUGGUGUACUACUAUGCUCUAUAGUGCUGAUGGAACUAGGUAAGGAUAUAUAGGUUAGCCCUUGUUCUUCCACCAAAAGUGGUUCCAGUUGUUUCAGUUUUUACUAAUGAAACAAUUUGCUUGUCGAUAUGAAGGUUGUUCUCAUGUGGAACGGGCAAAGAGGGAGACUCAUAUUUGGUUGAGUGGAAUGAGAGUGAAGGAUCUAUUAAGAGGACAUAUUCUGGAUUUCGUAAAAGGUCAGCUGGUGUUGCUGGUGUAGUGCAGUUUGAUACUGCUCAGAAUCACUUCUUGGCUGCUGGUGAAGAUAACCAGAUUAAAUUCUGGGAUGUUGAUAACACUAAUAUGCUGACCUGCACGGAAGCUGAUGGAGGCCUCCCAGUUAGUCUCUGCUCCCUAUCAUGUUUGUCCUUGUUUUGGGGGUGGUGUAAUCUAACCAUUUUACAUUAUUGCCAGGCUCUUCCUCGCUUGAGGUUCAAUAAAGAAGGCAACCUUCUUGCUGUUACUACAGUAGACAAUGGUUUUAAGAUACUUGCAAAUGCUGAUGGACUCAGAACUCUACGCGCUUUUGGAAGCCGACCUUUUGAAGCAUUUAGGCCGCAAUAUGAAGCUUCUUCUAUGAAGGUUCCUACAUGACUUUUCGUCUGCUAUUUUUCUUUCAUGAUUCACAGCCUCGAUUUAGAUCGAUCUUGACACUUACUUUGAAUUUACAGGUCUCAGGUGCUCCUGUUGUUACUGGCAUCUCUCCUAACAUAGGCCGAAUGGAUCACUUAGAUAGGAAUUCUCCUGCAAAGCCAUCUCCUAUACUGGUAUUGUGGUUCAUAUUUUCAGACUAAAAGAGAUCAAUUCCUCCUUGCUUACCAUUUUAUCAACAAUUUAAACAACAUCUGACUUAAUAUAAAUUUGAAUAGAAUGGUGGGGAUACAGCAUCAAGAAGCAUUGAUAUAAAGCCCAGAAUCUCAGAAGAAAAACCUGAUAAGGCAAAACCUUGGGAAUUGAUGGAGGUCUUAAAUCCUCAGCAAUGCCGUGUAGCCACAAUGCCAGAAACUCCUGACCAGCCCAGAAAGGUUGUUUUAUCUUGAUGUAUGUUUCACACUUUUCAUCGUGGAAUAUGUGAGAGGGUUUAACAACAUUUAUGUGCAGGUCGUCCGCCUUCUGUACACAAAUUCUGGUGUUGGGUUGCUAGCACUAGGGUCUAAUGCCAUUCAAAGGUUAUGGAAAUGGAGUCGAAAUGAGCAAAAUCCGAGUGGAAAGGUAUAUAUUACUUUCUGUUGGUUUUUUUAUGUUAAUCAAGUUUGUGGUAUAAUUUUUUUCCAUUCUAUUAAGCAGGCCACAGCCGGUGUUGUGCCACACCAUUGGCAGCCAAAUAGCGGUCUUGUCAUGACAAAUGAUACAGCAGAUACCAAUCCAGAGGAGGCAGUUCCAUGCAUCGCACUCUCCAAGAAUGAUUCUUAUGUGAUGUCCGCUUGUGGUGGGAAGGUUUCCUUGUUUAACAUGAUGACAUUUAAGGUAACGUUUAACUAUUUUAUACGGAUGCAAUUUUCAGGCAUAAAGAAAAUUUACUCAUGCAUCUUCUGUGCAGGUGAUGACAACAUUCAUGCCACCUCCACCAGCAUCAACAUUUUUAGCGUUUCACCCUCAAGACAAUAACAUCAUAGCAAUAGGAAUGGAAGAUUCAACCAUCCACAUAUACAAUGUCAGGGUAGAUGAGGUAAUAAUUGCCUAAUGCCUGCGCAGAUUAUGUUUUUCUUGAAUCAUUUCAUUCAGCCUUCUGACCUUUUUUGGUUUUUCAGGUAAAAACUAGACUCAAAGGACAUCAAAAGAGGAUAACUGGGUUAGCUUUCUCCACCAACCUUGGUGUACUUGUUUCUUCUGGCGCUGAUGCACAGGUAAGUAAUGCAGUUCUUGUUUAUGUUACAAGAUGAACAUAUUUUUAACAACCCCCACAUCCGACCUCUACUGUUUUUCUGUCUGAAUUUAUUCUGAUAGUAGCGAUGCUCAUAUUUUCAGCUGUGUGUGUGGGCCAAUGACACCUGGGAGAAAAAGAGAACCAUUUCUAUACAGAUGCCAGCUGGAAAGACUGCUUCAGGCGAUACAAGGGUCCAGUUUAGUUCUGACCAAAGUCACUUGCUAGUAGUACAUGAAACUCAGCUAGCUAUAUAUGAUGCGUCAAAAAUGGAGAGGGUCUAUCAGGUGACACACUAUAUAUUUUGUCGAAAGUCAAUAUUUUGUCACUGCCUAAUUGCCUAUUAACUGUCUUUCUCUUGUUUCAGUGGAUACCCCAGGACACGUUGUCAGCUCCUAUAUCGCAUGCAUCGUACUCAUGCAACAGUCAGCUGGUUUUUGCUGCCUUCGCUGAUGGUAAUGUAGGUGUUUUUGAUGCGGAGAACUUGAGAUUAAGAUGCCGAAUUGCGCCAUCUGUAUACAUGUCUUUGACAGCCAUAAACAGGUACCCGAUUUGUACACUUAUUGCGUAUUAGCUGACCAUAUGAAAUGUUCGUUGUGCUGGUGUGUUUUCUAUUUCACUUUGGUAAUGUUUGAGUCCUGAUUCCAAUGCCUAUUCUAGUUAGUUGCUACCUUUAGCAAAGUUUGCUAAAAAUAAAUGACUGGCUUUUUCGUGGGGCUAAGUUUUGAUGGGAGCUUCUCUGUGGUUCGGCUUAGUGAGUAAUCGAUUUUGAGUUAUUAGCUUGCUAGUUGAGUAUCAUGCAUAUUCUGGAUUUUGUUGGUGAUUGAAGAUUGGAUAUAUUAUCGUCACUGUUCUGAGAUUAUUGUAUUAUACACUUGUGGGGCAACUGUUGACAUACAUGGACCAACCCUAAGUAUCAUAGCGCCAUUGAGCUGAUUCAGGGCUUCAGGCAGUUGAGGUGCUAUUAUGGCAGAUUCAGAAAAUAUCGGAUAAUGAACUUUCUGGCAUACUGUACAUUUGAGUGCCCUUUUCAUGAUACAUAGAUUGCCAUAAUGUCAUGUGAUCCUGUUAUAUAGCCCCUGACAUCUAAGAAAUGUUUGUCUCGUGAUUCCAGCAAUCCACCUGUUCACCCUCUUGUCGUCGCUGCACAUCCCAAUGAGCCAAACCAAUUCGCGGUCGGGCUGUCAGAUGGGUCUGUUAAAGUGCUGGAGCCCUUGGAGUCCGAAGGGAAGUGGGGAACACCCGCCCCGGCAGACAAUGGGAUUCCCAAUGGCAAGACGCCGGCAUCAUCAGCUACUAGCAACCCCGCCGCGGAUCAAAUCCAAAGAUAGAUGUAUCGCUGAAGUUUUCUCUGUAAAUUUUCUAAUUGAACUGACUUAUUUGUAUGUGGAUGUCGUUAGGAUAUUAUUGUUGCAUUUGUUGGAAAAAGCAGGACAGAACAGGUUAAGGUCAAAACUUGUCUCAUGAAAGGUGAUGUUUGCAUUAGGGGAUAGUAGUGUCCAUAAAGUGUGUCGCCUUAGGUAUUCUCAGGUUUAGCUCGAAUGAUGUAAGCUAUAUAUUUCUUAAUGCAUGUAAAGCAAUAUAUAGUUUUGCCCCAAUACCCAUUUUCGCCCUGUUCCGUUCUAUCUGGUUAUUAUUCUUAGGAUAAGGGCAUAAGGCAGUGCUAUAGUGGCAAAUCGAAACGCCAUGCGACCUCAUGGUUUAGCACUCGUCUGACAGCACUUAGUUUUCAAAGUCAAGCCGAAUCAGGUCCGGAAACUGCACGCAUUCAGUAGGACCAGCGUUUACAAGUCGUUUAGUAGCGAGUUAAACUGGGCCGAGUUAAUACAAGUCGUUUACCAGGCCGGGGCAACUGAAAAGCUGGGCCGAGUUAAAUGGCUAAAGCUAGCUGGCCCACAUAAAGAUUUAACAUUGAUUUGGUUGGGGGUGUGAGCGAGUGCUGAAGUUCCAGUGCAACAUGAUGAGAAAAGAAAACAAAGAGGAACAGUCGCAGAGAAGAGAAAAAGGGGAAGAAGAGCCGUCCUCCCCCAUCCGCGCUUCUUGGUUACGCUACACCUACCAAGUGCCAAUAUGGUCAGUCAAUGAACAUCGUCCAGCGCACUCCCCGCCAUCUUCUCACACAUCAUUUAUCUUCUUUUGAUCCAUUAUUCUUCUCCCUUCUAUUAGAUUUUUUUUUUCAUCCCACAUUGCAUUCCUCCCUAAACGACACCAAUAAACAUAGCCCAACUUUCCUCCGAUUUGGCCAACAACGUCUAACCUAAUCCUCUCGAUCCACUUAGCAAAUUUACAGUUAUUGAUAAGCACGUAGCUGCAUUUUGACAGGCAUCUUAGCUUUUUGUUUCAUGGUAGAGCUAGCGUGAUCUAUCAAUUGAUGAGUUAGAAAUCUACCUCUGACAACGAAAAGAAGCCCAUUUAUUUUUUUGUUAAGAAAACCUUUUAAUUUAAGCUUUUGACCACAAAUUUUAUUAAACGGUAUAGAGUGACGACAUAAGGUUGAUACUAUUUGAUUUACAUGAAAAUUUGUUUUCAUAACACACCACGUGUUCUAUUUAAAAAACUAUAUUUUUAUAUUUAUAUAUUUAUAUCCGUGAUUAGAGAAAAUAGUGAGUAUGAAACCAUUUCCUCAUAAUAUGCAAAACCAAGCUAUUGAAUUUACUAACGAACUUAGUGCAACAUCAUAAAAUAGGAGCAAUAUAAGUAGCAAGAACUUAGUGUGAAGCGCAUCUUGUAGCCAUGCGAGGUAAAAAGAAAAGUUAAUUAUUUUUUUAAAAAAAUAUUAGAUGAUUUUUAGCUGUUCCAUUAUGUUUUACUCCGUAGUUGAUGUUAUGUUUUUUAAAAAAAAUAAAGGGUCACGGUUUUUUUCUUAAUCCGCAUGGAGGCCAACGCAUCAAUGGUCCUGAUCUGACGUUAGCGGAGGAGGUUCUUCUAGAAACAACAAACUAGUAGAAGCCACCGAAGAAUCUAGAACGGAGCAGCCAGGCGGCCAGGCCACGCAGGCCACAAGGAGAAGAAAAGAGGAAGGAAUAUUCUUCGCGUCGAUAGAAAGAGAGAGAAGGCGGCAGGAAGAGUAGGAGGCGUCGGCCGAUCUGCUGCGGAGAGGGAGAGGAGGAGGAGUAGAUCGCGGGCGAGGAGAGCAGAGAUGUUCCUGGUGGACUGGUUCUACGGGGUGCUGGCGUCGCUGGGGCUGUGGCAGAAGGAGGCCAAGAUCCUCUUCCUCGGCCUCGACAACGCCGGCAAGACCACCCUCCUCCACAUGCUCAAGGAUGAGGUCUCUCUCCCCCUCCGAUCCACCGCCCCUUCCCCUGCGAAUUCCAGUCCUGUUGUUUUGUUUUCCCAUGACGGGGAUUCCUGAUCUGGUUUGUUGGAUUGAUCGCAGCGGCUCGUACAGCACCAGCCGACGCAGUACCCCACGUCGGAGGAGCUGAGCAUCGGCAAGAUCAAGUUCAAGGCCUUCGACCUCGGCGGCCACCAGAUCGCCCGUCGCGUCUGGAAGGACUACUACGCCAAGGUUGCCCCUCCUUCCUCCUCCUCGUUUCGUUUCUAUUAUUGUUAGAGCGCUUCCCUGUACAGUUGUUUUUUUGUCUGAUUUGCGUUGGAAUUUGGGUUGAGACUUUAGACGAAGAAUCGAAGAUAGUAGGGUUUUAGUUGCAAGUAGCAUCUCGUGUUAAAUGUACGCCGUCUUAAUUUAUUUGCUUGUUAUUGUUAGAGUGUUCCAUGUACAGUUUUUGUGUGAUUUGGUGUUGGAAUUUUGGUUGAGACAAAGAAUUUGGGGUUUUAUGUAUUGCAGUAUAUAAGUAUAUGGGGGUUGAACAUACUACAUCUGAAUUGCCAAUUAGGUAAGGUGUGCUGUAGGAUGAGGAGAAAAAUUUGUAGAAUCUUAAUAGCAUGCCAGAGCUAUGAUUUUGUGAAGAUAGUCUCCUCAGGUAACCAAGGAUGGCACACCCAUUGAGAGAUGUUGGCCAUCUGAUCAUGAUGUGAUUUCUAGUGAUACUAGAACAUGUCUGUUAUGCUGUUAUUUGAGCUCUGUCAUUCAGAUUAGCUGCCCAUUUGCAAUGGACCAUAUUUUAGUGGGGCUACCUACUGGUGCCAUUGAUUCUUCAUCAUCAAUCAUUCUGUGAGGUUUAUAGGAUGUGAUCUCUGUACCCAAUAGAAGUACACAAUCUACAUGUGCAAGUGGAACUAGUUGGUAUUUCCUAGCAAGGGUGUUGGCAUUGCCUAACCUUAGUAGAACAAUCUUCUGCGUAGUCCUUUUUAAUUCUUAUGGUAUUCUUUAUUUCAACAGAACACAGCUCCAAACAAAAAUAUGGGAAAAUUGUCCACGUAUCACUGUGCUUGGAGAGCUUUCCAAAUGUACAACUCAUGCUUCCCACUUGACCGAAUUACCCUAAUAAGACUAUGAGGUCUGCCUGCUUACAACUAUUGUGCAGUUUUGAUCCUCCAUCUUACUCUGGCAAUCAUCAGAACUCUGGUCAACACCCUGCUCCAUAUGGAACGGUGUAGAUUUGCCAUGGCUGAUGAUGGAGAGGUAAAGUUUGCCACCAGUGUUAAACAGGUUCAGAUCAUAAGUUUUUGUGGUAAUUUGGCAAUGUGGGAAGUCUGAGUGCUAUGAGUGCAAGGCUCUCCAGACACGCUGAUUCUUAGUCUACUUUCUCAAAAAGAAAUACUAGGCCAUUAGAGCAGCCCUAGUUGUUUUCAUGCUCAGUUCAGUCCAAGAGCUCCAGUGCUGCAUUCGAUCAUUCCCAUGCCUCACACCCAUGCCCUGUCUUGUGUGUGGAAAUUCUAAUCAGCUUGGUAGGGGUUGACUCGUCUUAAAAGUUUGGUCAUCAACGGUUCAAUUUCUGUAUGCUGGAGCUGCUCUAGCAGAAAUCAACAAAUCAUCCACUUUAUGCUUUCUGUUGUUCUUGGAUGAGUCUCUUUGAGAGUUCGUGAGUUCACCUGCGGUUUUUUCAUAAAAUCCCCAUCUGCCUAGAAUGGUGGAACAAGACAAAUAUCCUUUCCGGUUCUUAUAUUUCUUCAUUUCAACAAAGCACAUUCUGGAAUAAAAAUAUGCAAAAGUUGUCCAUGUAUCACUGUGUUUGGAGAGCUUUCCAAAUUUAUGACUCAGGCUUCUCUCUUGACCAACUUAUCACUAAUAAGACUAUGAAGGGUGCCUGCUUAUAACUAUCGUGAAGUCUUACUACUCAAUUUUGAUUUUUGUGAUAGUUGGUAAACAGGUUAUGUCACAGUUUUGUUGGUAAUUUGGCAAUGUGGGAAGUCUUGAGUGCUAUGAGUGCAAAGCUCUCUGCACACAAUGAUCCAAGGUCAAUUUCCGUUGGAAAAUUAGAGGGCUUUAGAGGAAUCCUGGAUUUGGCGCUUUGUACUGUUCUUGGAUUAGGCUUGCUGAAGUACCUGAGGUCACUUAUGGGUUUUGCAACAUAAACCUCAGCUGCUCUAGAAUGGUGGGAACAACCAUAACGUAAUUUGGUAAUCUUGCUGUAAUUAACUAAUCAAGAAAGGUGUAAAUUAUGUUGUUAACCCAUUGUGUUUUGCUAAUUUGCUAAAGGGAAAUGAAUACACUGAAGGAACAUGUAAAUUCGUCUACAACAGCUGGAAAUUGUUCAAAACUUGAAUUCAUGCACUCAUCUUCUCAUAAACCACAUCAAACCUUCCCCAAUGUCACCAUUCUCUGCUCCUGUGAGGGACGAGUUCACACGUUGCAUCCAUCUUGCUUGCUCGCCCCACUGCAUUUCCAAAGAUCUUACUUGCAUGACUAAAUGUUUUCCAACGCACGUUGCAUGAGGCUUCUAUUUAUAUUUUCGGAACACCCAUGUUAGAGCCAUGUUAAAUGGAUUAAGUUUUGUUGAUGCAAUGCUUGCUCAAGAAAAAAUAAACAUGAUUGUUUAGCACUAGGCAUGUAAUACUAGGGCCUAAGUUCAGCUAACUUAUUGCCCUGGCUGAACAAUAUCCCAGGCUUUGACAAUUAACUGUAAAUUGUGAUUGAACUUGAUGAGUUCAAUAACUUCACAGUUUAGUGUUUUUGCAUAUGCUUUUUGCUGGCUGCUUCUAAUUUCUUAUCUGUCUUACAGGUUGAUGCUGUUGUGUACUUGGUGGAUGCUGUUGACAAGGAGCGGUUUGCCGAGUCAAAGAAGGAGCUUGACGCUCUUCUUGCAGAUGACUCACUUGCGAACGUUCCUUUCCUCAUACUCGGCAACAAGAUUGACAUCCCGUACGCAGCUUCAGAGGAGGAGCUGCGGUACUACCUCGGGCUGAGCAACUUCACAACUGGAAAGGGCAACGUGAACCUGUCCGACUCCAAUGUCCGCCCCCUGGAGAUCUUCAUGUGCAGCGUGGUGCGCAAGAUGGGGUACGGCGAGGGCUUCAAAUGGAUGUCCCAGUACAUCAAGUGAAACGCCGCGCACCUCCUCUUUCCAUAGCACUGCUGGUGUUGUUCUCGCAGGCAGUUGGAAUCAGGUCUGGGCCGUCACUACGGAGAAAUCCGCAGCUGUAUGAAAAAGUUUAUGGUAGUUAGUGAUAGGGAAAACCUGUAAUUUGGUGUUAAUCCUAGAUAUGCGAUGCGUCUAUUUUCUUUUCUGAUUGUUUGUGGGUAAUGGUCUGAAGUCUUAUAACAGUCGAAAAAGCAGUUGCUGGAAUCCCUUCGAGGCAGCGAGAAGCAUUCCAGCUUAUGUAAUCACGUUACUCCAAUCAGUGAAAUGUUUGCUAGCAAACUCUGGUGGGCUCUCGUCGCUAAUGAUUGAGUUUGUGGUCGAUUCGAACAUGUAAAAGCAUUUUCGCACGGAAGCAUGAAAUGGCUGGAAAAGUGGAUAAAUAAAAAUAUAAAAUGACAUGGCGCUAGAUUUUUAGGCUGGAGUUCCUAUCCGGAUCUUUUCCAUCUGUCGAGACGCCGGGCGAGAGCGACCCUUGCGGCCACGGAACGGCCGUGCAGCCCCUCGGCUGCUUCCUCCCCGUACGCACCCGUUCCAGGUGGGGAAAGCUAAAAGCUUCCCUCUGACCCGAAAACAAAGCAAGAAUGCCAAGGAUUACCUCAUUUUUUGUUGCAUUUCGGGGUGGGAAGCUUCACAAAGCAUUAAGAACCACGAGUCAUGGUGCCGAUCAACUAACUCCUUUCGCCAGAACCCAACAAUAAUCGGGUUCCGUUUUCAGCUCGAACCCGAUCAUCUCUCGCGGCUGAGACGACGGGACAGGGUAGGAAGUUCCGUGCAGGCUUUGGUUCCGGCUGCCCGCCAACCGGUUCCGGCUCACCUCCGGCGUCGCCUACCGCCGCGGUCGCUCUCCGCUUGCCCUUUGCUGCCCGCAGCCGGUGGACCGAUAGGGGUGGCCGAGACGACGAGCGCCACGGAAAAUCGAAACGGCCGCGUCGGAUGGGAUGGGGUGGGCUCGGCACGCCCGCGCGCCGUCGACGCAUCCCAGGCGGGCACGGACGGGGUCGGCAGGCAGGCGCACGGGCACGGCACGACGCGGGAGGCGGACCCGUGAUUUGGCGGCUCGCACGCGCCCCAGCGUGUGGGUUGCCAGUUGGCGGCGGAGCCAGCGAGGAGAAGGAGCGGCUCGUCCGCGACCGGCGGAGCACGGCGGGGCACGGGCCAGAACGCCAGAGCAGAGGUAGGUGCAAGGCAACCUCGGACCAGACGACCGAUUACAUGGUGAGCAGACAAAUCAGACCCGUGUCUGGAAUUGGCGUGGCACGGAGCCGGCGGAAGUUCCUUGGCGGCCAACGGCUUCCAUUCUCCUCCUCCGGCGUCUCCAUCUGAACCGACGGCGAACAGAACCCGUCAACAGUGUACGGGCACAACGCCCGAGGUGGCACCGGUAGCGGUGGCGACCCGUCGGCGUGGCUGCUCGGUUACAUUACACGUUCAUGCGCCUAUUGCGGCACCCCGUACGACUGUGCUGCCGCUCCAUGUCCAUGAGUAGCAUCUACGUUAACGCAACGGAGUCCGGCGUCGUCUGAAUUCUCUCGGCCCG
This 98357-nucleotide long non-coding RNA is filed under the name Setaria italica (foxtail millet). RNAcentral's name for it is "long non-coding RNA (SITA_LNC003439)". The record is from RNAcentral. Lineage: Eukaryota; Viridiplantae; Streptophyta; Magnoliopsida; Poales; Poaceae.